CUCUCAUUCCGGUCAUGCUUACUCGUCGUUUCCUGCUAUUGCAUGUGAAGUAAUCCUCUCUUCCCCUACUCCGGGUUCUACAACCUGAACUUCUCUUGUACCCUUCCAAUUCCUCCUCCCAAAUUUUCAAUCUCAUUGUUUUGUUCUUGUGGACAAGUUGAAAUUCCACAGUCAUUAACAUUGACUGCACUUGCUGUGAUUUUUUGUCUUUUGUUGCCACCACAGUACAUAGCUAGAAAGGCUGCUUCUUGAACUUCUUUAGUCACCCCACGACAAAUGGCAACACCAUUCCCUUCUUCUCCUGAUAAAUGCCAUUUGAUCCUUGUAAUGGCAGUUUUAAUGGUAAAUGUAUGUGGACAAAACUUACACUUCAGUACUUUAUUGAUUAAUGAUCCAACCAUUUUAUCCCUCUUUUCAACAUAAUUCCAAAACCGAUCAUUUGAUUCAACCUAUAGAAAAAAAAGGGGGGGGGUCAAAAUAUAGAAUAAAAAUCACAUCUGGAUGGAUGAGAAACUACUUCAGUGCUAUUACCCUUAUUUUGCUAUUAAAAUUGACAGUCAGUUUAUUGGAAAAAGACGACGAUAAUUCAGUUAGAAUUCUUACUUGUUGAGUAUUUAAACCCCUAAUUUGACUUUGCAAGGAAGUGUCAAGGCCAGGAUUUGAGGCAUUUGACCUAGCAGUUUGAUUUUGCAAUUCUUGGACUUGGACGUUAUCCAUCUGUGACCUGUAUAAAAAUGAAGUGAUCAUAUUAUAAAACCAAAAAUCAAUGGUGUUAUUAUAAAACCAUUCAAUAUUUGGUAGUCUCUCUUAAACAGUCAAAAUCAAUGGUGUAUCUAAUUAUCAAAAAGGUUUUAAUACCGUGUUAGAACACAACAGCUAGAAGUCAAUCAGUACCUCGUAGAGUUGCCAGAGUUUCGAAGCAGGAAGUUCUCUUGUUGCAUAUUGUCUAUGUCAGGAAUUACAGCAGCUUGAUCGACUUGUCCUUGAUUAGAAGGAAAUUGAAUCCUGAAUCAAAAACCAUUCGUAAGCAAUAUGAAGCAUUACAUACUUAUGAUUAUCUUGUUUGGUUUAUGUUCAAGCUAUGAUGUUACGGAAAAUACUAAAAAUGAAAAAUUGGAUACCGGGGAGCAGGAAAAGAAGGUCCAGGUUGAUUGAAGCCACCAUGUUGAGAAGUGGUUGCGUUCGGUGUCAUAUAGCCAUGUCCCGGCCGAGGUUGAUGAGUAUUGGAGUACUGAAGCCUGAAUAAUAUUCAAAUAGUUAAACUUAGAACUGUUAUUCUCACAAAAAAGAGAGAUAGAGAGCUCAAAAAGACUUGAAAGAUCCUCGUCAAUUUUGGUCAAGUUCAUUGUUUUCAUGAUUAAAAAAGUGUAUAUUCGAGGUUAAUACCUUUGAUUCAUUGGAGGUUGAGGUCCAGGUAGCAUCGCAGGCACUUGAUUCCUCAUUGGUAACUGAUAAUUAGUCAAUUGUUGGUCCCUGAAUUAGCAACACUUGUUAGUAAUUUCUUUAUACAUAUGCAUAAUUCUUUGCUAUUAAUCCACUAAGUAUUUGAUAUCAUUUUAGCUUACCUCAAAGGAUUGGCACAUUGAGGAUCAAAUAAAUUAUGAUUAGGCUGAUACCUAUAUUCAAACAUAAUGAAUUCACUGAUAAGUACAACAACAAGAGGAAGAAGAAGAAGAAGUUAAAUAAUGAUUGAAAAACAUUUUUUUUUUUUUUCAGAAAAUACUAAACAUGAAAAAUUGGAUACCAGGGAGCAUGAGAAGAAGGUCCAGGUAGAUUGAAUUCACCAUGUUGUGAUGUGGUUGCGUUCGGUGUCAUAUAGCCAUGUCCCGUCUGAGGUUGAUGAAUAAAGGAAUAAUGAUGCCUAAUUCAAUGGAAAUUGUAGCAAAUUGGAGUAAGCAUGAGUACUCACCAUGGUUUCAGGAAAUGAAGUUGGAAACUGAGUUGUUUGUUGAAUACUAUCGUUGAUCACAUUGUUCUGUCCACCUUGAUCAUUGCAUAAUAUGGAGCCUUGGUUGUCUGCCGGCCUGCUUCCAUGGAAUAAUAUAUAGGAUAAACUGAAGUAACUAAAUUGCAAGCAAUCAUCUUCUGAUAAAAUAUGUUUAAGAAUGACGUACAAGAGAAAUAGUGAUUCAAGAUCGAACUCUGUCAAGUCAUCCAUAGAUGGUUGGAACCCUUCCAUCUGACCAAAAGUACAAGAUGAUUAGUACAUACUGAGGUGAAAAAAGAACAGAAAGCACAUCUGAGUGGAUUACUGGGUACACACGUUACAUAAGUCAAAAUAAAAGAAAAACAAAUAAAUGGUGAAACGCAUAUUUUAAUGGCAGUCCCAUUAAUUGGAAAAGAAAAGGGUGAAUCUAAGAAAAGAAAAGCCUUUUUUAUUAUUUUUAAUACUAAUAUAUCAAAAAAUAUUAAUUUAAUAUAUUUUUUUAAAUAAACAGAUUUUAAAAAACAAAUUAUAUUUUGAUUGCGGGCAUAACAAUCCUGGCAGUACCGUUGCCGUUUUUUAGUUUACACAUUCUCUGGAGCGUCGAUUCCACAUUGAAGCAAAUUAAAAGAAUAAAAGCAAAUAUUAAAUGAUUUAAUAAAAGUGACUAAUGAAAAAAGUGCUUAAAUUCUACAAACAGCUGAUAGAUAGUCGGAAUCCCUUGAACACAUUUGAUAUUUUAAUUAUUCUUAUUUUGUUUAUUGAAAGGUAAUUACCGAUCAAGUUAAUUCAUUGAAUCAUUGUAAGAAAAAAAAAAGUAGAAAAAUACUGAAUAAAAAAGAAUGGCAGUCCCAUUAAUUGGAAAAGAAAAGGGUGAAUAAAAAAUGAGUUAAAAACACUACUUUACCUACCCAAUUAUGAAGCUUAGAAGAAGAUGCCUAGAAAAUGUAAACACAUGAAUAUGAGAAACAAUAAUAUACUUUUCUUUUUAAAAUAUUUUUUAUUUAAAAAAAUCAAAGUUUUUGAAAAGCAUGUGCUCUAACAAUAACAGAUUAAAUAUGUGAUUAAUAGCAUGUGAUUAAAGGUUUUCAGUCGAUGCCAUUACAUGCAGUCAAAGACUCCAUCCUUACUUUAAAUAAACAAAACCUACACUCAAUAAUAUGUCCUAGUUUUUUUGGCCAGUGUUUUUCCGUGGUUGGAUUAAUUUUUUUAAAAUAUAAAAAUAAAAUAUUAAGAGUGAAGAAAGUUUGUUGGGCGAUAUUAUUAAACUUGUUCAGGGGAGUUAAUAUUAAAAUCUUCUAAUCUAAUUUUUUAUUUAAUUUAAAUUUUUAAUUAAAUUAUAUGAGAAUUAACUCAGUUUAAAUCGAUCAAUAUCCAAAUACAACUUAGAAAACUAGAAAAACAUGGCCUAGCUUUUAAAAAAACUUCUAGAUAACUUUUUUUUUUAUAUAUAUAUAUGCUAAUUCGGCCCAAAUAUGAAAUAGACAAAAAAAAAAUUAAUGAUAAAAAAAAGGAAAGAAAAGGAAAAAAAACAGAAAAAGCAAAACACUAUCGGUUACUAUUGUAAUCCAUAAUGAAAUGAGUAUGGGUGAAUAGUGAUUCUCUUACACAUUUUAGUUUUUCUUUUAAUUAAUAAAAAAAAAUAUCCCACAAAACCUGAAAACUAAUAUAAUUUGAAUUAUUUUAACAAACUUAUAAAUCACGUUAAUCUUAUAAAAAAAUAAAAUAAAAAUUAAUAAAUUAAAGCUGAAUUAUAACCAGCCUAUUAUUAAAUAAACAAAAAAGGCAAAACACCUUGAAUUACAUACUAUUGUAAUUUACAAUGAAAUAGGUGUGGAUAUAUAGUGAUUCUCCCAAGUCUCUUAGCUUUUCUUUUAAUGAAAAUUAAUAACCGUAUAAUAUCUUUCUUGUGGAUGCUCUAUCGUUGCUAAAUUAAAACAUCUUUUUUUUCUUUAUCUACAAUUAUGUGAAACAUUUAAAAAAAAAAAACAUUGUUAUUUUAGUUUUUUUUUUAAUAAAUACCAUCAUAAUAUGAUGUGGUUUUGUUAUUUACUCAAGUUAUUCAGUUAAUAUGUGAGUCAACCAGUAAACUAAACUUUGGAUUACGUUUCUUAACUAUUCGUAAGCUUCCUAUUUAUUCUUAGUAAUCAAAAUAUUUUUUUUAUUUUUAAUAUUAAUAUAUUAAAAAAUAUUAAUUUAAUAUUUUUUUAAAAUAACCAGAUUUUUUAAUAAACAUAACUCUGAGUACAAAAACAAUCAUGUUUAGAUUGCGAGCAUAAGCAUAACAAUCUUGACAGUACCGUUGUUGUUUGGACUUUGAGAAGGAUAAAACGAAAGAGUUAGAAUACAUUUAAAAUAAAAAAUUAAUUUUUUAAAAAUACUUUUAAAAUACAAAAACGAACUAAUAAUAAAAUAAACUUUCAUACACUUAUCAAAAUCCCAGGAACGCAACAAUCAGGCAUUAGCUUCAAGCAACCAGAGGGAGCUUCACUGCAGUAGAACACUUCAACAUAGCUUGAUUUGCUAUCCAAUCUGCACACCAGUUGGAUAGCAAUUUCUUUUCAUAACAUUUACCUUUGUAAAAACUUUCUAUUUAUUUUUAGUUUUAAUAUCAAAUUCAGUCUUUAAUAUUUAUCUUCAAAAUUUUAAUAUAAAAUUUGACGGUCAAAAUUUCACUUAUUUUUAAUCAAUUAAAUUGAACAAAAUCUUGUUAAGUCAAACAUCAACUCUACAUUGAAUUGUUUUUUCUUCUUAGACCACAAGAGCUCCAUAACAAGUUUAUUGAAAUAAAUUAUCAAAUGAAAUUAAAGGAAUUAUGAUGCCUUGAUGGAGUUUGAGGCCAAUUUUAUAUAAAACUUAAUGAUAAAAAAAUAUCAUAAAAUUUCUAAAUCUCCCAAUUGUUGUCUGUUUGUUUAACAGUAAACAAUUUGAAGAAGCUCGAGAUCGAUACACUAAACAUAAAACUUUUUGCAUAAUACAAGCACUUGCUAAUUCAAUGGACAUUGUAGCAAAUUGGAGCACUCACCAUUGUUUCAGGAAAGGAAAUUGGAAACGGAGUUGUUUGUUGAAUACUAUUGUUGAUCACAUUGUUCUGUCCACCUUGAUCAUUGCAUGAUAUGGAGCUUUGGUUGACUGGAACCUCCGGUGGCGACCUGCUUCCAUGGACAGUGACGACAUUAAUUGGAAAAGAAAAGGGUGAAUCUAAAAUAAGGAGUUAAAACAGCAAAGAAUCUUGAAAAGACGAAAACAAUGAAUUCAACGUUUAGGGUUAAUUUAAUCAGUAUGAACACCACAGGGCAUGGAUUAUAAAAUCUGAGAAAAAGAUCUAUCUAUUUAUCAUGGAUUACUUUAAAGAUUCAGACAAGAUGAAUGACAAAUAAUUUACCUGGAUUCAAGAUGUUCUUCAAGUGCUAGCUGGUUUGCUUGAGCAGUGAUCAGCCAAAAGAAAAGGAAGAGAAAUCACAGAUCACAGAAGAAUUUAUGGCUUAGAAAAAUAAUAAAGUUGCAGUAUACAUAAAUCUAGUUCGCACUGAUCAUGAGAUGUGGAAAGGAAAAUAGGGAAUUCUAUAAUGAGAUGAGAUGUGGAAAAGAAUGUUACUGCCGCUAGCUCCCUUAAAUAAUACUAUUUAUUAGUAAGGUAUUGUUUGAUAGGAAGGAAGUUGCCAGGAAGCAACCCAAACAUUACAUUAUAUGAUAUAGAAAGUUAACGUGUGGAACCGCCCCCUUUGAAGAAGCUGCCAAGAAAAUGUAAACACAUGAAUAUGAGAAAGAAUAGCAUAUUUCUGCAUUGUGUGAAUUUUUUUUUUUUAAUUAUUUUUAUAUUGCAAUGUAAAAACAAUUCAAAAAUAUUAAUUACAAACGGUCACUUGAUAUAAUUUUACAGACUUUUAAUUAGCCUCACUCAUUUGACCCAUGUCAUGGGUUAAUGGUUCUCAGCAACUCUCCAUUCCGUGACCUUUCUGGCCCUACCUAGAACAACCAACACCCCGACAAAAAUAAUAAUAAUUUUACAGUCGAAUCAUGUUUUUUAAAAACUUGAUAUUUUUUUAUUUUAAAUUAAUUUUUUUAAUAUAUUUAGAUUAUUUUAACAUUUUAAUGUUAAAAAUAAAUUUUAAAAAAUAAUAAAAAUAUUAUUUUAUUAUAUUUUUAAAUUAAAAAAAAAACAAUUAUUAUCUCAAUAUCAAACAUUAUCUUAUUCUAUGAUACUAUCCUUGGAACUUUUCCACACCAAUGGAAAUUUGUUUUUCCCAAACACCCUUCUACAAAUUUAUAUUUUUAGCCCUCAGACCUAUAAAGUAUGAUUUGCUAGCCAAUCUGCACACUAGUUUCCCAUUAAUACAAAGAUGAUCGUGUUUUUUUGGUGCCAAAAUUGUCGGCCAAUAAUUUUCCAUUUUUAUCCGAGUUUUUAAUGAUUUUUUUAUCUCAAAUUUAUAAAUUAAAAAAUUAAUAAAAUAAAAUUUUGAAUCAAAAUUAAAAAUCAAAAUUAAAAUGAAAAUGCAAAAACUUAGGGAACAGAAUUUUGAAAAACACGCCAGGCUACUUUUUGAUUUCAGUAUCAUAUUUGGUGUUCACAGUUUCAAUUAUUUUUAAUGAAUUAAAUUGAAUAAAAUUUUAUCACAUCAAAUACCAAUUUAAAUUAAUCUUCUUCUUUUUUACCUUUUUACCUUGAAAACUUUAUAAUUAAUUAAAAUAAAUUAUCAACCUCAAAUUCCCAUGAAUAUAAAAUUAAAAAUAAAAUAAUCAGCUCAAAUAAUAAUUAAUUAACAUCUUGCCUGAUAGCAAGGAAGUUGUCAGGAAGCAACCCACCGCUCACCUACCAAACAUGAGAGUGUUUGGAGAUUAUUUUGGUUUUUUUUUUUAUGGCCAUAUAAAAAAUAUAUAUUUUUAAUUUUAAAAAAUAUAAUGUAUAUUGAAAAAAAUUAUUUUUUAAUAAAAAAAAUUAUCACAUCUCCAUACCAAACACCCAUAUUAUAUUAUAAGAUAUAAAAGUUAACGUGUGGACCCCACAAAUGUUGAAACUUCGAAGAAGCUGCCAAGAAAAUGUAAACACAUGAAAUUUUCAAAAAAGAAUAGUAUAUUUAUGCAUGCUGUAAAUGUUUUUUAAAAAUAUUUUUUAUUUAUAAAUAUAUUAAAAUAAUAUUUUUAAAUUUUUUACUUUUUAUAUCAUAAUAUCAAAAUAAUUAAAAAAUAGUAAAAAUAUAUUUUUAAAAAACACAUUAGGAUUGUAAAGAUAAACCAGUUCUAACAUUUAAAUUGUUUUAAAAGUAUUUUUAAAAUAUAAAAAUAAACAGUGUUUAAGGUGUAUUUGGUAGUUUUUAUCCUUCUGCCUUUGAGUGUGUCUAUCAGAGCAGAGUGAUUUUACUUAACCAUGAAAUUUUUGUGAGAUAAAUUAUAAUGAUUUUUUUUUCUAUUUUACUAAUAUACCCAAGGUGUUUAUAACUAGAUGCUACUUGCUGAGGUGUAUAUUAGCAACAGAGGAAAGCAUACAAAAGUAACAAAAAAAAAAAUGGAUAGUAAAGACGAAAGCAUAUCAAGCUAACAAAAUCAACCCCACCAAUUCUCAAAUAUUCAGAUUUUAAAAAACAGAAGGAAAUAAUAAUUUAAGAAGAAACAUGUUUUCAAGCUGUGUCAAAUGCAGAAUGCUUUAAUUAAUACGAGGAAAAUCUUGUUGAUAAUAUAGUUCGGUAUAGCGCACUGCCAGUUUAAAAUUACAAUCAUUAUUGAUUUUUAAAGUAUUUUUUAUUUAAAAAUAUAUAAUAAUUUCAGAAUCAUGUUUUUUAAAAAAUUAAAAUUUUUAAUAAUUUUAUAUUAUUUUAACAUUUUAAUGUUAAAAAUAAAAUUUAAAAAAUAAUAAAAAUAUUAUUUUAAUAUAUUUUUAAAUAAAAAAAAUAAUUUUAAAAAAAUUAUUAUCACAUUAUCAAACAAUAUCUUAUUUUAUGAUAGUAUACAUGAACUUUUCCCCACCAAUGGAAAUUUUUUUUCCCAACACUCUUCUACAUAUUUAUAUUUUUAGCCCUCGAUCUAUAAAGUAUGAUUUGCUAUCUAAUCUGCACACUAGUUUCUUAUUAAAAAAGUUGGUAUUCCGCUAAUUGUUGUGGUUGUGAUUUGAAAAAAAUUAUUUUAUAAAAAUUAUUUUUAAUUGAGGUUGGUUUAAAAAAAAUAAAUGUUUGGUUAAAAUUAUGGUUGAAAUUAAGGUUGAACAAAAAAUAGUUAGUGUUUGGUUAAAAAUGCUUUUGAAAUUGAGGUUAUAAAAUAAUUUAAAAAUAUAUAUAUUAAUAUUGAUGCCUUUUAAUUUAAAUAUUAUAGAUUUAACUAUUUCUAUUACAUCAUGAAAUAAAUAAUAUUUUAUAUAAAAAUAUUUUUUAUUGUUCCAUUAAACUAUCUAUAAUUCCAUCAUGUAUGAAAUACGUCUAACAAGUACUACAAUUUUCAUAAAUUUUUUAAGAGCGUAACAACAUCAGAUAAAAUAAAAUCAGGAACAAAAUUGAGAUUGCGAUCAAUUUCUGUAAAUGCGGCAUCAUAAAGCGAUCUCCGUUUAAUUUAUGUAGUCAUUGAAUAAUGUUUAACACUAGUUUUCUGAAUAAAAUACAAUUAAAAAUUAAAUUUUUUUUUAUUUUUUUUUAUUUUGUUGGGUCAGACUUGAUUUAAUAUAUUUUUAACGUUGAACUGGAUUGGUCCAAUCGAAACAGUGGAACAUGCUCCACUGUUCCAUGCAUAAAACCCAUGACCAGGGAUUACAAGAAGCAACAACGAGCUGCUUUUUGCAACUUAUAGCUGUGCCACAAUUAAUAGUGGAACCCACUGGCAUAACUGUGGCAGGAGAAUUACCAAAUAAUAAAAAUUGUGGUUGCGGGUCAACUUUAUCUACAGCUACAAUACCAAAAUUAAGAACCAAUAAUAUUUAGUAAUUUUUUCUAUCUUAAAUUUAUAAAUUAACAAAAUAAAGUUUUAAAUUAAAAUUAAAAACCUCCAGUAAACAGAAUUUUGAAAAACACACCAGACUACUUUCGAUUUCAAAGUUUCAAUAAUGAUAGGAAGGAAGUUGCCAGGAAGCAACCCACCGCUCACCUACCAAUGAGAGUUAACGUGUGACCCGCCCCAAUGUUCAAACUUCGAAGAAGCUGCCAAGAAAAUGUAAACACAUGAAAUUUUCAAAAAAGAAUGGUAUAUUUAUGCAUGCUGUGAAUUUUUUUUAAAAAAAAUAUUUUGGCAUUUUAAUGUUAAAAAUAAUUUUUUAAAAAUUUUUUAGAUUAUUUUUACAUUUUAAUGUUAAAAAUAAAUUUUAAAAAAUAAAAAAUUAUUAUUUUAAUAUAUUUUUAAAUAAAAAAAUUAUUAUCACACCAUCAACCAUUAUCUUAUUCUAUGAUAGUAUACCUGAACUUUUCCACACCAAUGGAAUUUUUUUUUUUCCAACACCCUUCUACAGAUUUAUAUUUUUAGCCCUCGACCUAUAAAGUAUAAUUUGCUAUCCAAUCUGCACACUAGUUUUCCAUUAAAAAAUUACUAUUUUAAGUGCGUCCAGACUGGUUCAAAGUGAAUUUCACAACUUUUCUGUGAGAGCUUCAACUCUACAUUGAAAUGUUUUUUCUUAAACUGUGAGAGCUUCAUAAUAAGCUUAUUGAAAUAAAUUAUUAUAAUGAAAUUAAAAACAAAAAUGCUUAAAAAAAAACAGAGAGACGCCGUGUUUUCUCUAUUGCUACAUGGUAAAAGUCUGAGCAUAUUUAUUUAUUUAUUUUUAUUUUUAUUUUAAUAAUAUUACUGUUAUAUCUACCGCCUGCAAAUCAAGAACGGUAGUUUCAUUUAAAAGAUUCUAAAGUUCAUAUUUAGAAAAAUUAGCAGAAAGGACGAAAACACAACAAAUCAUACCCAGAGAAGCAAUAGCCAGAAACAAGCUACCUCAAGUCUUGCUCCACCUGGCUAAGAAAUGCAGCGUGCCCACUUGGAAUUACACAUCAUCCAAAUUCCAGGGCAAAUAAUUGGUUGGAUUUGUUUUUCGAGGAGUCAUCUCAAAUUUGAAAAUAAAAACAGAAAAUAGAUCCAGCAAAUGAUUCCAAAUAUCUUCUAAAAAGAACAAUGAAAUAUGUUUUUUUAUUUACGGUAAGGAAAGAUAUUAAUGGAAAAAAUAAAAAAAAUCAAUUUAAAAAAUAUAUAAUAAGUCAAAAUCUAGACUUAAAAUCUAACUCGUAUCAGGUUUCUAGUUGAAUUGAAUAAUUGAAUAAGAAGGUGGGAAUGGGAGACAGCAAAAGGUGUCAAACAGAAAAAAAGAAAAGAAAAAAAAGAUCCAUAUUCCAAAGGAGAGGGUCAAAGAUUGCGGCCGAUUCAAAGGACGAGCUUAAUCUCAUGAAUCAUUUUUUAACUUUAUGUAAGACUUGACACGUGUCCUCUAAACCCUCCUGCCCUCCGAUCCUUGCUAAACCCUUGUUCUGGUCGUAAUCAUCCAUUAGCGUAAACCUAUGCUUCUCUGACUUUGAUCCCAAUAAACCAACCAUGGAGUUGGUGGUAAUGUAAUUGAUAUUACUUUUUUAAAUUAUUUUUAUUUAAAAAAUAUCAAAUAAUUUUAAUGUGUUGGUAUUAAAAAAAUUAAAAAAUUAUUAAUAUAUUUUUAUUUGAAAAAUAUUUUUUAAAAACCAUAUGUAGAAUUACUAAACACCCUUAAGCCAGUGGACAAAGACACAAACGAAAAAUACAAAGGAAAAGGGAUAAAAGCAUAUAUUUGGAGAUGAUAAAGGGCAUUGAGAUCAAAGAGGAUAAGUUUUCCAGUGAUGGGAUUGGAUGUUGAUGAAAGAUUGUGUGGAUAAGAGCAUAGUAAUUAAUUUUACUAAAAAGUUCUUCAGUGACCUAAUUCUGGCCCAACAAAAUUAUCAUUAUCCAAUAACAAUUUGAUUAAUUCAGUGUUGCUUAAUCCCAGUUUGCUAUUGCGUUUUAAAUGGUAUUGGUUAAAUUUUAUUUUUUUAUAUAUUAUUUUGAUGGGUUGAUAUAAAAAUAAUUUUAAAAAAAUAAAAUAAUUUUAAAAAUAUUAUUAUAACACCAACUUAUGAAAUUUUCUUUAUUGAUUAGUGAAUUUGAUUAGACUAAGAAUCUCCAUCACAGCCCAACAUCAUUAGCUUAUCUGCCAUCCCUUUCAAGAGAAGAAGAUUUCGAAUCAGUCCAUUCAUUCCCAUCUGUAGCAUCUUUCUCAAGCGUCAAUGGAGAAUUACUUCUGGAUUCUGAGUUGCCAAUAAAAAACAAAAAACCCUUAUAAACUAGUUCGUCUCCCAGUUCUUAAAUUAGUUUCCACAUUGUUUUUCACAAUUUUUAAGAAAAGAAAAAAAAAAUAAAAAAUGAUCAUAAGCUAUAUAUCUAACACUCACUUGAAAGAAACUGAUAACCAUGCAAGCAUUUUACAUGGCAGUAUUUGAUAUGGGGUAAGAUUUUGGAGACAAAUUAGAGUACUCAAAUUGAAUGUACUAGGUGAAUUGCCUGCGCGGUGCUGCGGGUUAUAACAUGAACUGAGCAAAAUCUAAAGGCACUGAGAUCAAACUGAGCAACCACACAGAGUAAAUCUGAAAACAUUGUAACCAUUGAGAUCGAAACUGAGCAACCAUUUUGGAAAAAAUAAAAUUUAAAUUAUUUUUUUAAAUGUUUUUUAAUCAUUUUAAUAUUAAUUAAAUAAAAUUUUAAAAAAAAUUAUUUUAAUAUAUUUUUAAAUAAAAAAUAUUUUGCAACGCAACUUUUACCUCACUUAAAUAAAUCCUUAUUCUAUUGCACAUAAACAUAUGUUUUCAUGUAUAGUGGAUUAACCAAUCUUUUUAGUUUUCUUAUAUUAUUCAUAAAGAUCGAAACGCUUAAAAAUAAAAUUUUAAUAAUCAAGAGAAAAAAAAAUAGUUGAAUUUUUGUACCUUCCACAAGAAAAAUAGAUAGAUGUGUGAAAUUUUAUUCUAAAUAUAUUCUUAUAAAAAUUUCAAAAUUCCAAUUCAUGUUACUCGAUUAUUAUUCUUUUUUUAAGUUUCUUCUCUCUCUCUUUUUUUUUCUUUUUAAUCUGUAUUAUGCAUUUUUAAAAUAUAAUUUAUUGCUAGUUAAUGAUAUAAGAUGAUUUGUACUAGUGAAUAGAUCUAUUAUUUUAUUAGGUUACUUUAAUGAUAAAUCAAUAUAGUAUUAAUUUGUUUUUGGGAUUUUCAUCUUGGAAAUACUCAAUAGGAUGAAAAUAUAAUAUUAAUUAAACUUUAAAUUAUAAUUAUUUAUCUAUCCAGUUAAACAACUAUGACAGUUCAAUAGUCUUAAAAGAUAAUGAAAUAUAUAAAAAAAUGAAAAAUAGUAUUUAUGUUAAUUGUAAGCACACGAUAUAAAUAAGGAAUAUUUCAUAUUAAUAAACGCUUUACGAGUCCAAUCAAUCAGAUGUUAAUUAACAUAAAGAAAUUAACAUGGUGUUUGCAGAGAAUGAAUUGUAGAAAGAGAGAUUGAGAGUGUGAGCAAUAAAAGAUGAUGCUUACCCUUUAUUCUAUAUUAUAUUAUAAUAUAGAUCGAGAAGAUAACCUUACAGGAAAAAGACAUCCUUUGCGUGAGGAUGCUCCCCUCCAUUACUGUCUCCCACCAUUCUUUUGAACUUACAUAGAUGUUUUUAAGAGAAGAAUAAAAGAAUAAAAGAAAAUAUAAAAUGAUUUAAUACAGUACAAAAAUUAGUUUUCAAUACAGAUUAAAAUAAAGCAAAGUGACUAAUGAAAAAAGUACUUGAAUCCUACAAACAGCAGAUAGAUAGUCGGAAUCCCUUGCGCACACAUUUGAUAUAUAGAUAAUUAAAUCAACAUUAAACCAAAUUAAUAUAACCCUUUUGAAAAAUCAUCCACUACUUUUAAAUAAUUAAUUAUCCCUAUUAAGAAAAUCCAAUGACGACAAUGUAUUUAAGGAGCAAUAUUAAAGCAAAGAAAUUAAAUCAAUACAGGUAAAUAAAUGAUCCAAAGAUUAAUCCAUUCAAUAGAAAAAAACGUAACUGAAUCCAUAAACUGCAUAAAUUCGGAGAAGAAUACUUCUCAACAACAAAUUGAGAAUGAUAAAACAAAAGAGUUAGAAUAAUUAGAAAUCUGAUCAAUUUAGUUACCCAUCACUGUAUUAGUCAUUCCUUUCCUCAUCUGUGCUCUCUUUUUUUCCCUCUCUCUAGUGCAAUUCCCACACGUCUUCUUUAUGCCAAAUAGCCCUCUUUACAGAGGAGGCAGCUCCCUUUCUCAAAAGCAGGCAGCCCUCUUUUUUAAUCAGAGACUAACUUGUAGCACUUUACGAUACCUUUCCAACGCAUCAAGAAUCAGAGCAAUCCGAUAUGUGUGGAAAGUUAUGAUUAAAAUACUUUAAGUGUAUCAAGGCUGUUUCUAAGAAAAAGAACAUUACUUUAAGUUUAUACAGGCUGCUGUUUAAAAAGUCAAGAAAAUAAAGUUUUGGAUUAAAAUAAAAUAAAAUAAAAACUUUAAGGAAAAAAAAAAAGCACGCCUAUGAAGCUUGAUAGUAUAUCAAAUUAAAUAGAAGCUCGAUUAAAAAAUGCCCUUUAAUUUCUAUUAUUUCUAUUCACAUUUUAGCAUUUUAUUCCAAUGACAGAGCAUUUGGAAUGCACUUUCAUAGACUCAUCAAAACCCCAGGAACGCCAUCAAGCUUUAGCUUCAAACAACCAGAGGGAGCUUCAGUGCAGUAGAAAACUUCAACAUCUACUAUGAAGCUUGAUUUGCUAUCCAAUCCACACAUCAGUUUUCCAUUGAUACAAAGAUACCGUAUUUUUAACCAUCUAAUAGUAAAAGUUUGUAAUCAAGGGGUUUGCUCCCUCUGUGACCUUAGGUUCGAGCCUUGUGGUUAUUAAUAUUGAUGAUCAUUAACUUCAAGAUCUAUAAGAACUGGAAGCUUACUUGGUCAUUAACUUCAAAAUCCGUGAGAAUUAGUUAAGAUGCGUGCAAGUUGGCCCGGAUACCCUCAAUUAAUAAAUUAAAAAAAGCUGUAUUUUUGUUGCCGGAAAAUUAUCCACCAAUAACUUUUUAUCUUUUUCCAAGUUUUAUAGGUGACUUUUUUCUUUCAUCUCAAAAUCAUGGAUCAAAAGUGAAUAAAAUAAAAUUUCGAAUCAAAACUAAAAAUAAAAAAAUAAAACAUGCAAAAAGUCCAGGGAUCAAGAUUUUAAAAAUCACGCCUAUACUACUUUCUAGUUUUAAUUAUGCGAAGUUCAAUCUUUUUUCCUCUACAAAUUAAAUCAUGUACGUAAACCUGUUACCUACAUUUUGUAAUAUUUCUGGAUCUGCUCUUUGAUUCAUCAAGGACAGAGUUGAUUGCAGCUUCGUCAUAGAAAAGUUCGUCUUCUUCAUCUUCUUGGUUGGCGAGGAAAUAUAAGUGGACUCUUCUCCAGUUUAAGGAUUCCAACCUAGCACAUGAAUGAUAAAGGGCACAGUCAUCAUUUAAAUAAUAAAGGACAUCCUUAGCAUUAGGAUGCUCCCAUUCCAUCACUACUCUCGCUGUUGUAACCCAUUUUUGGGUCCCCACAUAUAAAAUAAUAAAAUAUAAAAAAAUUCAAAAAAAUAUAUUACAAAAAAAAUAUAACAGUGAAAAAUGCCAGAGCGUCAUAAACAUGCUAAAAAAAUUGUUUGAAGAUUUUCAAAAAUAUAAAAAUUAUUUUUUGAUAGUAUAUCAUUAACUGAUGAGAGCCCCGAUGAUAAAGAAAAUUCAAUUUGUGGAAGAAAAAUGCAAAAUCAGAAGUUUAUGGACUCAAUUAAAUUUUAUUGAAGGUUUAAUUGAAUUUAUGGAGAUUUUAAUUGCAAGAAAAAUUGAUUUGGAGUUAAUUUGGGCUUUAAUUAGGAAGAAAUUAAUUUUCUGGGGUCAAAUUAUAAUUUUGGAAGUUAAUUUGGUCAAAUCAGGGGCUUAAUUGCAUAAAUUAUUGAAGUUUAUGGCCAAUUAGGGACUUAAUUGAAGAAAUCCGAGACCAAGGACUACAUUGUAAAAACGCGCGAAAAUGGAGGGCCGAAAUUUGAAUCUGAUGCUUUUGGCGCCUUUUCCUAUUAAAUGAAACGGCGCCGUUUCAUUCACUGUUGCAAAAAAAAAAAAAAACAGAAGCCCAAAACGGUGCCGUUUUGACGGCACUGUAGCUCUUCUUCUUCCCCUGGACACACGAGGCAGGGGAAGAAGAAGAUUUUUUUCUUCCCCUUUUCGCCUAAUUACUUUCCUUCUGCUCAAAAAGACGCCGAAACAAGGACACCACUUGCCGACCACUUUCCACGUGUUGGACGGGCGUUGGACGGGCGGCAGCACACCGGCCACCACCAUGACGUCCCCCCCCUGUUUUUCGCCUAUAAAACAGGGGAGGAAGAGAAGAAAAAAAAAAAAAACAGAGGGAGAAGGAGAGAGAGGAGAGAAGAGAUAGAAGAGAGAGAAGAGAAGAGGAGAGAAGAAGAAGAAGAAGAGAAGCAGCAGAAGAAAACGAAGAAAACAGAAGAGAGAGAGAGAGAGAGAGAGAGAGAACCACCGCCGGCCUCCGCCACCAUCGCCACCGUGCCUACGCCGCCAGCAGCACCGCCACGACGCACCGCAGGUAAUCUCUCGCCGCCCUGUCGCCUUCUCCUUUGCUGCCUCCCCGUUUGCAUGCAGAACGUGAAUUAAUUCACGUUCUGCAGCUGAAGAGGCUGGUUACUGUGCUUAGCACAGUAACCAGCCCAUUUGGUAAUGGGCCGGUUGGCCCAGCCCACUGAUAUGGGCCGGACCCGGCCCAUUUCAAAUUUUUUUUUCCAGAAGUUUUACAAUUUUUCCAGCACAUUUUUUUUUAAUCAAUUUUGCUUAAUAUCGGUAUGUAUUUUACAUUGUGAAAAUAUAAAUUCGGUAUUAAAAUACCCGGUUUUCGUCCCGCGGUACUGUUCACACGUCACUAUUCAUACGGUACUGUUCAUACGGUACUGUUCACACAUGCAUAAAAAAAAAAAAUCAUGAAAUAAUAUUUUACACUAGUUUUCUGAAACACAAUUAAAAAUAAAAAAAUAUUUUUUUUAUUUUAUUAGAUUUAAUAUAUUUUUAGCGUUGAACCGGAUUGGUCCAGCCAAUACCGUGGAGCCAUCAAUGCAUAAAACCCAUGAACAAGGAACCAAUUCUCUAUUGUUCAUGUGAAGAGUGAAUCAUGACUUCACUGUUCAUGGGUUGUCUCGUUACAAGAAGCAGCAAAGAGUUGCUUCUUGUAACCCAUGGCUAUACCACAAUUAAUGGAGGAAUCCACUAGCAUAAAACUAUGCCAAGAGUAUUAUCAAACAAGAAAAAUUGUGGUUACGGGUAAACCUCGUCCACAGUCACAAUAUCAAAAUUAUCGGCCAAUAAUUUUUCGAGUUUUUAGUAAUUUUUUAAUUUUAAAUUUAUAAAUUAAUAAAAUAAAAUUUUAAAUCAAAAUUAAAAAAACUCCUUGAAACAGAAUACACCAGACUACUUUUUGAUUUCAAAGUUUCAAUAAUGAUAGGAAGGAAGUUGCCAGGAAGCAACCCACCGCUCACCAACCAAUGAGAGUUAACGUGUGGACCAGCCCCAACGUUCAAAUUUCGAAGAAGCUGCCAAGAAAAUGUAAACACAUGAAAUUUUCAAAAAAGAAUAGUAUAUUUAUGCAUGCUGUGAAUAUUUUUUUAAUAUUUUUUAUUUAAAAGUAUAUUAAAAUAAUUUUUUAAAUUAUUAUUUUUUUAUCCACCCAUCAAAAUAAUUUAAAAUAUUAAAAAAUUAUUUAAAAAAAAAUCAAAAUUUUUAAAAAACACAUUGUGUGUGGUAAAGAUAAACCUGUUCUAGAUUAAAAGAGUGUUUGGUUGUGCGUUUCAACCUGCGUUUCACCAAAUUUUGAAUUUUUUUUUUGCUAAAAUUGAGUGCGGUUUGUACUUUUUGGAUCGUUUUGAUGUGCUGAUGUUAAAAAUGUUUUUUAAAAAAUAAAAAAACAUCAUUGGCAUGUAUUUCAGCACAAAAAACUAUUUGAAAAGUAACCGCUACCACAUUACCAAACACACUCUAAAUGUGCAAAUGAGAGUGAGACUCAAAUCUAAUUACGUAACAAUUAUUAAUUGGGAUGAAAAGAAAUUAAAAGACAAAUAACCAAUAUUCUCAAGGUGUAUUUCGUAGUUCUUAUGCUUCUGCCUUUGAGUGUGUAUAUUAGAGCAGACUAGCAGAGUGAUUUUACUUAACCAUGAAAUUUUAGCGAGACAAAUUAUAGUGAAUGUUUUUCUAUUUUACCAAUAUACCCAAGGUGUCUAUAACAGAGUGAUGCUACAUACUGAGGUGGAUAUUAGCAAUAGAGGAAAGCAGUGUUGUAAAAUCUAGACCGGGCUAGCAGGUCAACUAGAGAACUAGACUAGUCCGGGUAGGAUAAAAAACCGGCCAAAAAAAAGAGGUAUAUAUAUUAAUUUUAUUGAACGAUCACCCGAGUAGGAACAUACAAAUGUAACUAAACAAAAUAAUAGCAAAGACGAAAGCAUAUCAAGCUAGCAAAAUCAACCCGCCAUUUCUCAAAUAUUCAGAUUUUAAAAAACACAGGCAUAAUAAUUUAAGAAAAAACAUGUUUUUCAAGCUGUGUCAAAUGCAGAAUGCUUUAAUUCAUGCGAGGAAAAUCUUGUUGAUAAUAUAGUCUGGUAUAGUACAAUGACAAUUUGAGAUUAGAAAGGAUUUUUUAUUUAAAAAUAUAAAUAAUAUUUUUUUAUUUUUUUAAAAUUUAUUUUUAAUAUUAACACAUCAAAAUAAUCUAAAAACACUAAAAAAUAAUAAUUUAAAAUAAAAAAAUAAAAAAAUUAACUUUUUUUUUAAAUACAUUUACAAUAUAAAAUAAAAAAUGAUCGUAGUAUUUGCCUGGUGGCCUCCCUCGGGACACAACGCUGCACUUCCUUAAAUGAAAAUAUUUAAGUCGGUAGCUGCAUGAGGUUUUACCUCAGGGUUUAAAGCAUCAGACCUCAUCCUCAAUGAACAUGAACCCACUCUGUAGAUUAUUAGUUUUUAUUUUUAUUUUAUUUUUCAAUCCAAGUACUCCAUGGCUGGACCUUAUCGUCUUGAUCCAGAAAUUGAUUGCCAAGAAUCACUUCGUACAGUAAACAGACUUUGUACAGUAAAUAUAAUUUUAUCUUUAAUUAAUUGGUUGGAAUUGUUUUCUGAGGAGUCAAUUCAAAAUUUGAAAAUAAAAACAGAAAAUAGAUCCAGCAAAUGAUUCCAAAUAUCUUCUAAAAGAACAAUGAAAUAUGUUUUUUUUAUUUACUGUAAGGAAAGAUAUUAAUGGAAAAAAUAAAAAAAUCAAUUUAAAAAAUAUAUAAUAAGUCAAAAUCUAACUCGUAUCAGGUUCCUAGUUGAAUUGAAUAAUUGAGAGCGAAACGUGUCAAGACUGACACGAGUUCAAAAUAGACUCCACAACAGGAAAAAAAAAAAAAAAAAGAUCCAUAUUGUGGCCCGUAGUAGUAUUCCGGAGGAGAGGGUCGAAGAUGGCGGCUGGUUCAAAGGAUGAGCUUAAUCUCAUGAAUCAUUUUUUAACCUUUAUCGUAAGACUUGACACGUGUCCUCUAAACCCUCAUGUCCCUCUUCCGAUCCUUGCUAAACCCUUGUUUUGGUCGUAAUCAUCCAUUAGCGUAAAGCUAUGCUUCUCUUGACUUAAUUUGAUCCCAAUAAACCAAUCCAUGGAGUUGGUGGUAAUGUAAUUGAUAUUACUUUUUAAAUUAUUUUUAUUUAAAAAAAUAUCAACAUAAUUUUAAUGUGUUGGUAUUAAAAAAAAUUAAAAAUAUUCUAUUAAUAUAUUUUUAUUUGAAAAAUAUUUUUUAAAAAACCGUAUGUAGAAUUACUAAACACCCUUAAGCCGGUGGACAAAGACACAAACGACAAAAUACAAAGGAAAAGGGAUAAAAGCAUAUAUUUGGAGAUGAUAAAAGGGCAUUGAGAUCAAAGAGGAUAAGUUUUUCAGUGAUGGGAUUGGAUGGUGAUGAAGGAUUGUGUGGAUAAGAGCAUAGUAAUUAAUUAUUUACUAAAAAGUUCUUCAGUGACCUAAUUCCGUGGCCCCACAAAAUUAUCAUUAUCCAAUAAACUAUUUGAUUAAUUCAGUGUUGCUUAAUCCCAGUUUGCUAUUGCGUUUUAAAUGGUUACUGGUUAUUAUAACACCAACUUAACUUAUGGUAAUUUUCUUUAUUGAUGAGUGAAUUUGAUUAGAUUUAAGAAUCUCCAUCACAGCCCAACAUCAUUAGCUUAUCUGCCAUCCCUUUCAAGAGAAGAAGAUUUCGAAUCAGUCCAUUUAUUCCCAUCUGUAGGCAUCUUUCUCAAGCAUCAAGGAGAAUUACUUCUGGAUUCUGAGUUGCCAAUAAAAAACAUAAAACCCUUAUAAAGUAGUUCGUCUCCCAGUCCUUAAAUUAGUUUCCUCAUUGUUUUUCACAAUUUUUAAAGAAAUUUUACGACUGCUGGGCCUUGACUUGUCUGUUUAAUUUCUAUUAGUCUUAUUCACAUUUUAGUAUUUUAUGCCAAUGAUAGAAUGCACUUUCAUAGACUCAUCAAAACCACAGGAACGCAAUCAAGCUUUAGCUUCAAAACAACCAGAGGGAGAUUUAGUGCAGUGGAGAACUUCAACAUCUACUAUGAAGCUUGAUUUGCUAUCCAAUCUUCACGUUAGUUUUCCAUUGAUACAAAGAUACUGUAUGUGUUUUUGUUGCCAGAAAGUUGUUCGAUCAAUAACUUUUUAUCUUCUUCCAAGUUUUUUUUUUUGUGUGAUUCUUUUUUCCUUUCAUCUCAAACUCAUGAACUAAAAGUUAAACAAAAUAAAAUUUUAGAUAAAAAAAAAAAAUAAAAAAUAUAAGAUGCAAAAAAUUAUAAGGUAAACAAUAAACUAAAUUUAGAAUAUGUCUCUUACUAUUCGUAAGCUUCCUAUUCCUUUUUAGUUUUUCUUAAAGUUAUUCUAUUUGAUGUCAUGAGUGUUCCAUUGAGAGAUAAAAAAGAAGACAAAUUCCCAUCCUCUUCACCUUCUUACAAUGCAUUACAGUAAUAUCUCUAAGAGAAUUGUAAAUCAAUUUUUGCAUUGCAAAUACUUUUCAGUUCCGGUAAAUCAAACAAUUUCAGAAUUUUCCAAGAUAAACAGAUUUUUAAAUACACUCAAACAUAAUUUUAAAUAUAAAAACAAAUUAUGUUUUUUUGAUUGCGGCAUAACAGUGAUGGCAGUACCGUUGUUGUUUGGACUUUGAGCAGCAGUAGAUAUCUCCAGCGUACUGUUACCUGCCGGCUAGAAAAUGUAUGAUGCCGUUUUUUAGUUUAAUAGAGAGAGGGCAGAAAGCCUUAAGAAAAUAAUUUCACAUUCUGUGUGGUAGAAACCUGAUUCCACCCAAAAAAAAAAAAUAACACGGUAAUUGAAGCAAAUUAAAAGAAUAAAAGAAAAUAUAAAAUGAUUUAAAAGAGAACAAAAAUUAAUUUUAAAUGCAGAUUAAAAUAAAGCAAAGUGACUAAUGAAAAAAGUACUUCAAUCCUACAAACAGCAGAUAGAUAGUCGGAAUCCCUUGCGCACACAUUUGAUAUAUAGAUAAUUAAAUCAACAUUAAACCAAAUUAAUAUAACCCUUUUGAAAAAUCAUCCACUACUUUUAAAUAAUUAAUUAUCCCUAUUAAGAAAAUCCAAUGACGACAAUGUAUUUAAGGAGCAAUAUUAAAGCAAAGAAAUUAAAUCAAUACAGGUAAAUAAAUGAUCCAAAGAUUAAUCCAUUCAAUAGAAAAAACAUGAAUGAAUCCAUAAACUGCUUAAAUUCGGAGAAGAAUACUUCUCAACAACAAAUUGAGAAUGAUAAAACAAAAGAGUUAGAAUAAUUAGAAAUCUGAACAAUUUAGUUACCCAUCACUGUAUUAGUCAUUCCUUUCCUCAUCUGUGCUCUCUUUUUUUCCCUCUCUCUAGUGCAAUUCUCUCACGUCUUCUUUAUGCCAAAUAGCCCUCUUUACAGAGGAGGCAGCACCCUUUUUCAUCAGAGACUAACUUGUAGCCCUUUACGAUACCUUUCCAACGCAUCAAGAAUCACAGCAAUCCGAUAUGUGUGUGGAAAGUUACGAUUAAAAUACUUUAAGUGUAUCUAGGCUGUUUCUAAAAAAAAGAACAUUACUUUAAGUUUAUCCAGGCUGCUAUUUAAAAAGUCAAGAAAAUAAAGUUUUAGAUUAAAAUAAAAUAAAAUAAAAACUUUAAGGAAAAAAAAAAAGCACGCCUAUGAAGCUUGAUAGUAUAUCAAAUUAAAUAGAAGCUCGAUUAAAAAAUGCCCUUUAAUUUCUAUUAUUUCUAUUCACAUUUUAGCAUUUUAUUCCAAUGAUAGAGCAUUUGGAAUGCACUUUCAUAGACUCAUCAAAACCCCAGGAACGCCAUCAAGCAUUAGCUUCAAACAACCAGAUCCGGAGCUUCAGUGCAGUAGAAAACUUUAACAUCUACUAUGAAGCUUGAUUUGCUAUCCAAUCCACACAUCAGUUUUCCAUUGAUACAAAGAUACCGUAUUUUUAACCAUCUAAUAUUAAGAGCGUGUGAUAAAGGGGUUUGCUUCCCCUAAUAUUAAGAGCGUGUGAUAAAGGGGUUUGCUUCCCCUGUAGUUUCAGGUUCGAGCCCUGUGGUUAUUAAUAUUGAUGACCAUUGAAGGCUUACCUGGUCGUUAAUUUCAAGAUCCAAGAAAAUUAAUCGAGGUAUGGACAAACUGGCUUAAACACUCAAGUGAAUAAAAAUAAAAUAUUUUAUUUUUGUUACCGGAAAAUUGUCAACCAAUAACUUUUUAUCCUUUUCCAAGUUUUUUAGGUGACUUUUUUCUUUUAUCUCAAAAUCAUGGAUAAAAAAUGAAUAGAAUAAAAUUUCGAAUCAAAACUAAAACUAAAAAAAUAAAAAAUGCUAAAAGUCUAGGGAUUAAGAUUUUAAAAAUCAUGCCUACGCUAACUUCUAGUUUUAAAUAUUUAAAACAAGGCUCCAUAUAUUAUCAUAUAUUCAUAGAGACAUACCAAUGUAGCUUUUGAUGUUUACCGGUUUGGGUAUGUCCAUAUGCUUUUAAAUAUUUUUUAAAAUUUAUAUUUGUUUUAAAAAAAUAUUAAAUUAAUAAUUUUUUAGUUGUUUUUAAUGAUUUUGAUGUAUUGAUAUUAAAAAAAAUCUAAAAAUAUAUUUUUAAAAAAUAUUUUAUAUAACAGUAUCAAACACAUGAUAACCUUGUCCAAAAGCUUUCGACCGAGCAUAAAAUGGUUUUCAACCCAAUCAUACUUUUUCCUCAUUAUAAAUAUAAAAUAAAGUUCAAGUGAAGUAGGGUCCAAUCUUAACUGGUUCAAACAUUAUUGUUAGAACGUGACAGUGUCCCAGCAUUAGUAGUGUAGCACGUGCCAUGUCUUAAGCUUAUGUGAUCCGAAAACAAGGCAAUUGGUGUUUGAUGGAAUUAGCUGUCACUAAAAAUAAAAUAAAAUAAAAUCCUCCGUGAACUAAUUAAUUACUCAAUUAAUUCCUAAAUUAGUUUUUUUAUUGUUUUACACAAAAUUUAUAUAAAUAAAAAUAUUUUAUUAGAUAUUUUAGAUACUCCACUAUUAUAAUAUUUUAUUUAAGUUUAGAUUUUUAUUUCAAAAUUGAAUUUUAUUUAAUGUAACAAGUAUUACGAUGUUUUUUUUAUCUGAAAAUUUUUGAAAUAUUAUUUGAUUUUAUUAAUUUAAAAACAAAUAAUAUUUUAAAAGAGUACGAAAUGUUGUAUAAAAUUUAUAUGUAUUUAUUUUCUGAUAUACGUGUUCCAAGAAUUAGCAGGGAUACGAUGUUUUUACAGCAGUGCUUUUAUGUUAUCGGUCAUGGACCCGAAACACGGUUCAUGACAAUAACGCAAAACACAACAAACAUUGAUGCUAUGCUGAAUCCUUGAAGUGCGUCUAACAAAAUCUCAAUAUCCGGAAUGCCUCUUCUUCCAUGGCAUCUUGCCUAACUCUUGAUUGUCUCAGGUCCUCCAAGGCAUUACUCCACUCUUUUUUUUUUUUUUUUUUUAUUAAUGUGGAUGUCUGGACCAGCUUGCACACACCUCGACUAAUCACACGGGCCUUGAAGUUAACAACCAUGUAAGCCUCUAGUGGCUAUUAUAUGAAUAUCCAUAGAGCUCGAACCUGAGACCACAAAAAAAAAAAAACUCUUAAUUUCAAACUCUUAUCACUAGACCACUUUCUAGAUGGUUGCAUUCCUCCACUCCUUGGUUAACUAUCUCAUGGAGGUUAACUCCCCCCAACUCUCUUACGGAUAAAGUAAGGAAGCCAUUUACACUUCAUAAGAAACCGUAAUAUAACAAACAGAGGAUCUGUAAGUUUCAGAGAACGACAUCAAUUUAAUUAUGCGAAGUUCAAUCUUUUUUCCUCUACAAAUUAAAUCAUUUACGUAAACCUGUUACCUACAUUUUGUAAUAUUUCUGGAUCUGCUCUUUGAUUCAUCAAGGACAGAGUUGAUUGCAGCUUCGUCAUAGAAAAGUUCGUCUUCUUCAUCUUCUUGGUUGGCGAGGAAAUAUAAGUGGACUCUUCUCCAGUUUAAGGAUUCCAAUCAAGCACAUGAAUGAUAAAGGGCAGAGUCAUCAUUUAAAUAAUAAAGGAUCGAACAUCCUUAGCAUUAGGAUGCUCCCAUUCCACCACUGACUCUCACCAUUCUUUUGGAUGUACUCCAUCACUCUAAGAGAAGGGGGAUGAGAUAGCUGGCCAUUUUCAAGCAACGGAAGAUGAAUUGCCAGCCUUUUCAGCAUCUGACAAUUUGUUAUCCCAAUUUGUUGGAGAGAAUCGCAGAUCGAACUCUUUAAAAAUAGAAAUAUACCAUGAUAAGAUGGAGAUGAUGGUGGAGCGGAGCGGAGCAGAGCCAAGAAGACGAAACCAAGCUCUCCAUGUUAUAGCACUUCCAAAUGUCGGUACUGGCAUUUAUUGAAAUGAAACUUAAAAUCAACUGUUUUGAAAGCCAUUUGAUAGCUAGGAACUCAGAAUCCAUGAGAUUAAGUAUUUGGCAAAGCCUUCCCCGUGAUCGGAGCAAUCUCACUAAUUUAUCGACGGAAUGGCUAGAAUUGUCUUCCUCUUAACUAAUCUUUAGCAAAUUGUCUUAAUAUGGUUUUACCAAAAAGAAAAUAAUAAAUUUGUUCUAUUACUAUCAACUGCCAGAACUCCUGACAAGUAAUUACGACCAGUUUUUUAACAUCCAAGCUCUUGUAAUCUCACAAACGCUUGAGACCCAAACCCAAUCAACAGAUCAGAGAACCUUUAUUUGUCAAGGCUCCAUACACUUUCUCGACAAGAACCGGAGGAGGAGGCUGUGGGGAAUUCGAUGGUUGAAAAAGGAACGUGAAUUAUGCUGGAGAGCAUGCAGGUGGCGAUGUGUUUGGAGCUUAGCCUGGUGUUCCUCCAAAUCCUUACUAAAUUAUUACAAAGUAACAUUAUAAUAUUUUUAAAUCUGUUUAAUUUUUUUGGUUUAAGAUCGUGUUUUUUUGUUGUUGAAAAAUUAUCCUUACAAAGUAACUUUUUAUCCUUUUCCAAGCUUUAUGGUGAUUUUUUUAAUCUCAAAUUCAUGAACAAAAAAAGGUAGCAGCGUGAAGCCUCGCCAAAAGCCCAAGAUUAAAAUAACCAUGCUCCUAGCCCAAGCCCGCCAACAUCACCCCCAGCAGAUUGGAAAAAUGCUCAUAACCAUUCCGGAAAAACACACCUAGGCUACUAUGGUAUACUAGAAAGUGGAAAUAAAUCGAUAUUAAUCAUCAAAUAAAUCGUUAGCAGAAACCAAAAAUAAAUAAAUAAAUUGUUCAUGCUACUCCAUCUUAUUGAUGGGAAUGGCUUUUGACCAGCAUACAUACGACUCUGCUAAAAUUAUCUGACAAAUUAUCAGGCUUAUAAAAAAACUUAAUAAAAUUAGAAAAAAAAUUAUCAUUUUUAUUUAAUAAAAGAAUAUUAAAAAUAUUAAUUUAAUAUUUUUUUUAAAAUAAACAGAUUUUUAAAUGCAAUCAAACAUAAUUUUGAGUACAAAAACAAAUUACGUUUUGAUUGCAAGCAUAACAAUCUUGGCAGUAAGUACUUUUAUGAUUUUAUUUUUGCAGCCACGUACAUGCUUUAGGAGUUCUUUUUAUUAAAUCAAUAUUAAAGUAAAAAAAAUUAAAUCAAUACAGAUAAAUAAAUUAACUAAAUAUAAUCAAACAAUUAAUCCAUUUAACAGAAAAAACAUUACUGAAUCCAUAAACUACAUUAAUCCCCUUUCUUUUCUUUUCUUGUUUUUUUUUUCUCUGGUGGAAUUCCCACACAUCUUCUUUUUUUUUUCUCUGGUGAAAUUCAAUAGGAUGAAAAUAUAAUAUUAAUCAAACUUCAAAUUAUAAUUGUUUAUCUAUCGAGUUUAAAAAAAUAUGACAAUUCAGUAGUCUUUAAUGAAAUAAAAAAAAAUAAAAAAUGUUAUUUAUGUAAUUGUAAGCACACUAUAUUAUAUUACUUUACAAAGGGACGAAGGACAUCCUUUGCAUUAGGGUGCUCCCACUCCACUACUGACUUCCACCAUUCAUCUGGAUAUGCCUCGAUUGUUUUAAGAGAAGGGGGAGGAGAUGGCUGGCCAUUUUCAAGCAACGGAAGACAAAUUGGCAUCCUCUUCAGCUUCUUACAAAAAAAUACCUUAAUAUUUUUAAGAGAAUUGCAAAUCAGCUUUGCACUGCAAAUGCUUUUCAGUUCUGGUAACCUAUCCAGUUGCAGAGUUGUUAACUUUGGGAGAAUGACUUCCGUGAUGGAAUUGGAGGUGCUGCUUUCUUCAUCUGUUGUUCCUAUUAUCUCCUCCAUUUUCUCACAAUUGGAAACUUCAAUCCUUCUCAGGUUUACGAGGUUUGGCAGCAACACAAGCGGGAACAGCUUCUUUAUACUUUUACAGUAAUAACAAAAAAACUCUUUAAGACCAGAAAAUGUACCGUUACAUGAUGGCAAUCGUGGUGGAGCAGAGCAGAACCAAGAAGAUGAAACCAAGCUCUCCAUGUUAUGGCAUUCCUGAAUGCGGAUGUGCUCCAGUUCAGUUGCAUUCUCUAAUGACAAAACAUCACAUAAACUUCUUGCAUCGAUGCAUUCACAAAUCAGUCCUUGAAUGCCAUUUAAGAACUUAACCUGAAAAUCUCUAUCUCCGUUGAUACUCAAAUUACCCAACCCAACUGUUUUACUUAAAUUUCCAAACAAUUUCUCUUUCAAACUAAGCACCUCUCCUACUAAAAUUUUGUAUGUGCUUAAUGAUUGAAUCCCAUCCCGAGAUCUGAGAUACUCCACUAAGUCAGAAAAACCUUUGAAAUGGCACUCCAAAGUUUCCAAAUUUCUCAAGGAUCCUACUUCCUUUCCUUUAACUGUUAUCGGAGCAUCUUCGAUAAACUUUUUCUUCAGUACAAAGACUUGCAGGUGAGAGAGUUUUGGUAAUAUCCCACUAGGAAACUCCUUUUCACCACAUCCAUUCAUUCUAAGAUACCUCAGGUUGGUUAGGCAUUCCAUUCCUUGCGGCAUCUUUUCAAGUCGAGUACGAGCGAGAUCCAACCUCUUCAGUGCCCUGAGCUUCUUUAAUGAUGGAACAUAUCUUAAGUUCUCACACAUUUUGAGCAAUAACGCAGUGAGACUCACCAAAUCAGAGACAGAGUCUGGCAAGUUUUCAAUACCUGUGCAAGACAGAUCGAGGACCUUGAGCCCAUGCAAUUGCUUGAAAAAUGAAUCAGCAAUAAAUCGCAACCAAGGAUUUUUACAUAGCAAUAGAGUUGAUAGAUUGGGACACCUUGGUGAAUAGCUGGAAGGAAUUUCUUCGAUCUCGUUUCUCAUUAGUGAAAGCAUCGUCAGAUUCUCCGUCCACUCCUCUGCAUCUGGCAACUCUUUUAACUGCACACCUGCUUUAACCAUGACUUGAUAUUCGUCUUGCAGUAUAUGGAUGGCCAUGUCCCUAAUCAAGUCAUGCAUCUUGAUAUAUCUAGUAUCAUCAUAAACCAUUUGAGCACUUUCCAAUAGGCAGACAUAUUCAAGUCUAUUAAGCAUCGUGUGGCCCUCAUCAAAUGCAUCUCCCCUGCUCCUCAUUCCUUUAAUAAUUCCCUCAUCGAUCAAAUAACCUAUCAACUGCUCCCUUUGAAUCACACCAUCUUCAGGAAAUAAUGCACAGUAUAAGAGACAUUGUUGUAGUGCUAAAUCACCUAACCGAUCAUAACUAAACCUCAAUAACUUGAAUACCUUCUCAUCCAUGUCCCUAAAUUCUGAUUCUCUCAAUUUCUUCAAUGUAUUCCUCCACUCAUGUAGAUCAUCCACUCCCCUCAAGCUUCUUGCCACUGUAAUAAUUCCUAGUGGCAAACCAGCACAUUCCUUUGCAAUAGCUUUCGCAAUUCGUUCCACUUCUGGUGAAAGUGCUACAGCACGUCCAAGUUUCUCCAUGAACAAAGUCCAAGCUUCUCCAUCAGAAAGUGGAUUCACUUUGAUUUUACGGUGGCAAGCCAUCCGAUGACAAACCGUUUCUGAUCGAGUUGUCAUAAUCAGCUUGCAUCCUUUCAACUUUUCAGGAAUUCCCACUUCGUGUAGCUCAAAAUUAUUCCACAAAUCAUCUAAAAUGAGAAUCCAUUUUUGUUUCUUCCUUAGUUCUUCUGACAACUUGGCAGCUCUAUGCAGUUCAUCAUUUUUUCUUGAAAGAUCUAGAUCAAGAUGUUCAGCAAUAAGAAUCUGCAAUCUAUUAAUGCUGAAAUCUUGAGACACAGUCACCCACCAAACAUUAUCACAAAUAUCUGGUCUUUGUAGAAGCUCAUUAUGGAUAUGUUGCAGUAUUGUGGAUUUACCAACUCCCCCCAUCCCAUAAAUGCCAAUGGUUGGGACUUUAUCAUCCAUUAAGAAAGACCAUAUCAUAUUUGUAUUCCAUUGGAAUGCUCGACCCACUAGCUUUGUUGAGCUAGUAGGUAAUGGAACUCCUCUAGUCUUGUUGCAUUUCAGACUUUCAGAAGAUCUAGCUCCUGCGCCAGCCUCCUCCAUUGGUUCUGUCCUCACUCUAACCAUGUCCAACAACGCAUCAUGCCUAUUUACAUCAUUGUUUACUGAUGGAGCACAAGGUUGAUCAUAACAUCUUCCAAUGUCAAGACAAAAUUGGGAUGAAUCUCCUCGAGGCUCCAGAAGCUGCACUUGCUCUGUUCUUGGAAUAGUCUCAAAUGCAUCAUGCUGAAAAGAUCCUUCACCAGUGUUUUCCAUGUCAUUUUCUGCUUGUAAAUGCGACUGAAUUCUCUCUUCUCCGGGACCUUGUUCCACGCCUUGAACUCCCACUUGUACUGCUUUGCUCUGUUCCAACACUCGAUCCACGGGUUCUGUCCUCGUUCUGCUCUCGAGUGCCCCUUCGGAAACUCCAUCUUCUUGUGCUCUCAUUCCGGUCAUGCUUACUACGUCGUUUCCUGCUAUUGCAUGAGAAGAAAUCCUCUCUUCCCCUACCCCGGGGUUCUACAACCUGAACUUCUCUUUGUACCCUUCCAAUACCUCCUACCAUUGUUGAGAUUGAACUUGCUGUGAUUUUAUGUCUUUUGUUGCCACCACGCAUAGCUAGAAAGGCUGCUUCUUGAACUUCUUUAGGCACCCCAAGACAAAUGGCAACAUUAUGCCCUUCCUCUCCUGAUAAAUGCCAUUUGAUCCUUGAAAUGGAGGUUUUAUUGGCAAAUGUAUGUGGACAAAACUUACACUUCAUCCUACCCUUAUCACUUUCUUCAACAGAAUUCCAAAACGGAUCAUUUGAUCCAACCUUUUCGACCUAUAGAAAAAAGAAGUCAAAGUAUAGAACAAAAAUCAGUCAAAAUAUGGAAUAAAAAUUGACGGAUCAAGUUACAGAACAGAAGUUUCCGGAUUGAGAAACUAUUUUGCUAUCAAAAUUGAUAGUUAGUUUAUAGCACAAUCAUAGGGGAAAAAAGACUACGAUAAUUCAGUUAGACUUCUUACUUGUUGAGUAUUUAAACCCCUAUUUUGACUUUGGAAGGAAGUGUCAGGGCCAGGAUUAGAGGCAUUUGGCAUAGCAGUUUGAUUUUGCAAUCCUCGGACUUGGAAGUUAUCCAUCUGUGACCUAUAUAUAAAUGAAAUGAUCAUAUUAUAAAAAAUUUCGAUAAUUGUUAGUCACUCUUAAGCACUAAAAAUCAAUGGUGUAUCUAAUUAUCGAAAAGGUAUUAAUACUAUGCAGAAAAACUAAUUGUUUUUUUUACAGAAAAUACUAAAAAUGAAAAAUUGGAUACCGGGGAGCAGGAGAAGAAGGUCCAGGUUGAUUGAAGCCACCAUGUUGAGAAGUGGUUGCGUUCGGUGUCAUAUAGCCAUGUCCCGGCUGAGGUUGAUGAAUAAAGGAGUUCUGAUGCCUGAAUAAUAUUCAAAAAGUUAAACAUAGAACUGUUAUUCUCACAAAAAAGAAAGAUAGAGAGCUCAAAAAGACUUGAAAGAUCCACGUCAAUUUUGGUCAAGUUCAUUGUUUUCAUGAUUAAAAAAGUGUAUAUUCGAGGUUAAUACCUUUGAUUCAUUGGAGGUUGAGGUCCAGGUAGCAUCGUAGGCACUUGAUUGCUCAUUGGUAACUGAUAAUCAGUCCAUUGUUGGUCCCUAAAUGAGCAACAUUUGUUGGUGAUUUCUUUAUACAUAUGCAUAAUUCUUUGCUAUUAAUCCACUAAGCAUUUGAUAUCAUUUUAGCUUACCUCAAAGGCAUUGAUGGUCCAGGUAACAUGGGAUUGGCACAUUGAGGAUCAAAUAAAUUGGGAUUAGACUGAUACCUAUAUUCAAACAUAAUGAAUUCACUGAUAAGUACAACAACAAGAGGAAGAAGAAGAAGAAGAAGUUAAAUAAUGAUUGAAAAACUUUUUUUUUUUUUUCAGAAAAUACUAAACAUGAAAAAUUGGAUACCAGGGAGCAGGAAAAGAAGGUCCAGGUUGAUUGAAUUCACCAUGUUGUGAUGUGGUUGCGUUCGGUGUCAUAUAGCGAUGUCCCGUCUGUGGUUGAUGAAUAAAGGAAUUAUGAUGCCUAAUUCAAUGGACAUUGUAGCAAAUUGGAGUAAGCAUGAGUUCUCACCAUGGUUUCAGGAAAUGAAGUUGGAAACUGAGUUGUUUGUUGAAUACUAUCGUUGAUCACAAUGUUCUGUCCACCUUGAUCAUUGCAUAAUAUGGAGCCUUGGUUGACGUCAGCCGGCCUGCUUCCAUGGAAUAAUAUAGAGGAUAAACAGAAGAAUAACUAAAUUGCAAGCAAUCAUCUUCUGAUAAAAUAUGCUUAAGAAUGACGUACGGUGUCAUAUAGAGAAGUGGUGAUUGAAGACCGAAAAGAUCAUCAUCCAUAGAAGAUGGUGGGAACCCUUCCAUCUGACCAAAAGUACAAAAUGAUUAGUACAUACUGAGGUGAACAAAGAACAGAAAGCACGUAGCAAAGAAAAAAAAAAAGUAUAUAUAUAUGAGUGGAUUACUGGGUACACACGUUACGUAAGUCAAAAUAAAAGAAAAACAAAUAAAUGGUGAAAAGCAUAUUUUAAUGACAGUCCCAUUAAUUGGAAAAGAAAAGGGUGAAUCUAAGAAAAGAAAAGCCUUUUUUUUAUUAUUUUUAAUACUAAUAUAUCAAAAAAUAUUAAUUUAAUAUUUUUUUUUCAAAAUAAACAGAUUUUAAAAAACAAAUUAUAUUUUGAUUGCGGGCAUAACAAUCCUGGCAGUACCGUUGCCGUUUUUUAGUUUACACAUUCUCUGGAGUGUCGAUUCCACAUUGAAGCAAAUUAAAAGAAUAAAAGCAAAUAUUAAAUGAUUUAAUAAAAGUGACUAAUGAAAAAGGUGCUUAAAUUCUACAAACAGCAGAUGGAUAGUCGGAAUCCCUUGAACACAUUUGAUAUUUUAAUUAUUCUUAUUUUGUUUAAUGUAAGGUAAUUACCAAUCAAGUUAAUUCAUUGAAUCAUUGUAAGGAAAAAAAAAAGUUGAAAAAUACUGAAUAAAAAUGAAUUGCAGUCCCAUUAAUUGGAAAAGAAAAGGGUGAAUCUAAAAUAAGGUGUUAAAAACACUACUUUACCUACCCCAAUUAUGAAGCUUAGAAGAAGAUGCCUAGAAAAUGUAAACACGUGAAUAUGAGAAUCAAUAAUAUACUUUUCUUUUUAAAAAUUUUUUAUUUAAAAAAAUUAAAAUAAUAAUUUUUUUUUAAAAAAAUAAUAAUUAAAAAAGAAAUAAAAUUCAAAGUUUUUGAAAAGCAUGUGCUCUAACAAUAACAUAUUAAAUAUGUGAUUAAUAGCAUGUGAUUAAAGGUUUUCAGUCGAUGCCAUUACAUGCAGUCAAAGACUCCAUCCUUACUUUUAAUAAACAAAACCUACACUCAAUAACAUGUCCUAGUUUUUUUGGCCAGUGUUUUUCCGUGGUGGGAUUAAUUUUUUUAAAAUAUAAAAAUAAAAUGUUAAGAGUGAAGAAAGUUUGUUAGCGAUAUUAUUAAACCUAGUCAUGGAGUUAAUAUUAAAAUCUUCUAACCUAAUUUUUUAUUUAAUUUAAAUUUUUAAUUAAAUUAUAUGGAAAUUAACUCAGUUUAAAUCGAUCAAUAUCCAAAUACAACUUAAAAAACUAGAAAAACAUUAAAAAAACUUAUAGAAAACAACGUUUUUUAAAAAAAAAAUAUUGAAACAAUGAAAGAUUUGAUUGAUCCCAGUCCCUCACGACUGGAGUCAUAGAUUCUAUUGAGUUUAGUAAUUUUUUAUAAGUUUUUUUUAUUUAAUUAUAUGAUAAAAAUAGAUGCUUAAAAAAUUGAGUAUCAUCCCUAAAAUAAAUAUUUAUUUAAGAUUUUAAUAACCCUAUAGAAAGCAAACAAAAAUAAAUUAUUUAGUCUAUUUCCAAAUCAAUCUACUAUUGAAGGAUGAAAUUAAAAAAAAAAUCAAUUAAAAAAAUUAAAAGACUAAAAAAAAAAAAAACAUAUUCGAUCAAUGGGUAAACCUGUCAAACUUGUGGCUAGUACAUAAAACCUAUGAACCAGGUUAUGGACUUAACUAAGAUUAUAAUUAUUUUGGCUAGUACUGUCAAAAUUAUUUUUUUUUAUAAUUAUAAUCUUAGUUAAGUCCAUAACCUGGUUCAUGGGUUUGAUGUACUAGCCACAAGUUUGACAGGUUUACCCAUUGAUCGAAUAUGUUUUUUUUUUUUUUAGUCUUUUAAUUUUUUUAAUUGAUUUUUUUUUAAUUUCAUCCUUCAAUAGUAGAUGAUAAAAAAAAUAUAAAAUAAAUAAUUGUAAAAUUAAACAUCAACCAUACACACACACACUAAUUCGACCAAAAUAUGAAAUAGGCAAAAAAAAAAAAAAUAAUUAAAAAAAAGGAAAGGAAAGGGAAAAAAAAACAGAAAAGGCAAAACACUAUCAAUUACUAUUAUAAUCUAUAAUGAAAUGAGUGUGGGUGAAUAGUGAUUCUCUUACACCUUUUAGUUUUUCUUUUAAUUAAUAAAUAAAAAAAAUAUCCCACCAAACCUGAAAACUAGUAUAAUUUGAAUUAUUUUAACAAACCUGUAAAUCACGUUAAUCUUAUAAAAAAAUAGAAUAAAAAUUAAUAAAUUAAAGCUGAAUUAUAACCCGCCUAUAAUAAAAUAAACAAAAACAAAUUUUUAAAAACAAAAAAAAAGGGCAAAACACCUUGAAUUACGUACUAUUGAAAUUUACAAUGAAAUAGGUGUGGAUAUAUAGUGAUUCUCCCAAGUCUCUUAGCUUUUCUUUUAAUGAAAAUUAAUAACCGUAUAAUAUACUUUCUUGUGUUUGCUCUAUCGUUGCUAAAUUAAAACAUAUAUUUUUUUUUUAUCUACAUCUAUGUGAAACUUUUUUAAAAUAAAAAUAUUUAAAAAGAUAAAUGUUAAAACAAAAACAUUGUUAUUUUAAUUUUUUUUUUAAUAAAUACCAUCAUAAUAUGAUAUGGUUUUCUUUUUUACUCAGGUUAUUCAGUUAAUAUGUAAGUCAACCAGUAAACUAAACUUUGGAAUACGCUUCUUGACUAUUCGUAAGCUUCCUAUUUAUUCUUAGUAAUCAAAAUAUAUUUUUAUUUUUAAUAUUAAUAUAUUAAAAAAUAUUAAUUUAAUAUUUUUUUAGAAUAAUCAGAUUUUUUAAUAAACAUAACUCUGAGUACAAAAACAAAUUAUGUUUAGAUUGCGGGCAUAAGCAUAACAAUCUUGACAGUACGGUUGUUGUUUGGACUUUGAGAAUGAUAAAAUAAAAGAGUUAGAAUAAAUUUAAAAUAAAAAAUUAAUUUUUUAAAAAUAUUUUUAAAAUACAAAAACAAACUAAUAAUGAUAAAUAGACUUUCAUACACUUGUCAAAAUCACAGGAACGCAACAAUCAGGCAGGCAUUAGCUUCACUGCAGUAGAAAACUUCAACAUAGCUUGAUUUGCUAUCCAAUCUGCACACCAGUUGGAUAGCAAUUUCUUUUCAUAACAUUUACCUUUGUAAAAACUUUCUACUUAUUUUUAGUUUUAAUAUCAAAUUCAGUCUUGAAUAUUUAUCUUCAAAAUUUUAAUAUCAAAUUUGACGGUCAAAAUUUCACUUAUUUUUAAUCAAUUAAAUUGAACAAAAUCUUGUUAAGUCAAACAUCAACUCUACAUUGAAUUGUUUUUUCUUCUUAGACCACAAGAGCUCCAUAACAAGUUUAUUGAAAUAAAUUAGCCAUGUCCCGGCUGAGGUUGAUGAAUAAAGGAAUUAUGAUGGCUUGAUGGAGUUUGAGGCCAAUUUUAUAUAAAACUUAAUGAUAAAAAAAUGUCUAAAUCUCCCAAUUGUUGUCUGUUUGUUUAACAGUAAACAAUUUGAAGAUGCUCGAGAUCGAUACACUAAACAUAAAACUUUUUGCAUAAUACAAACACUUGCUAAUUCAAUGGACAUUGUAGCAAAUUGGAGCACUCACCAUUGUUUCAGGAAAGGACAUUGGAAACGGAGUUGUUUGUUGAAUACUAUUGUUGAUCACAUUGCUCUGUCCACCUUGAUCAUUGCAUGAUAUGGAGCUUUGGUUGACUGGAACCUCCGGUGGCGACCUGCUUCCAUGGACAGUGACGACAUUAUAUUGUUUUUUGCGAAUAAUAGGAUAAACUGAAGAAUAACUAAACUGCAAGCAAUGAUUUUCUGAUAAAAUAUGCUUAAGAAUGACGUACGAGAGAAGCUCAGAAAUAUCUUCUAGUGAUUGAAUACCCAGCUGAUCCCAUGUCAUGUUGUCAACCUCCAUAAAAGAUGGUUGGAACCCUUCCAUCUGACCAGAAAAGAUCAGAAAAGACAAAAAAAAACUGAGGUCUAAAAAGAACAGAAAGCACAGAUCAGAAAAGAAUAUAUAUAUAUAUAUAUAUAUAUAUGACUACUUGUUUGUUAAAGAAAUUCGGAUGAAAAAUAUGAAAUAUAAAUGUUGUUGUUAAUGAUUUAAUCCUUUGUCUUUUAAGAUAAAUUAUCAUACUCAAAUUCUUUUUAUGAUAGAUAGAAAGAUGCAGUAUAACUGUUGAAGGUAGAAGAGCUGAUUGUUUUGACGGGGUGAACAAAAACCUCUUUCAACUCCUCUUUAUUCAUAAUUUGGGGAGCAAAACAAAUGCAAGAUUCAUUGUUUACUGUUAAACAAACCUCUUUCAACUCCUAUUUAUUCUUUUUUAAUUAUUCUUAUUUUGUUUAUUGAAAGGUAAUUACCGAUCAAGUUAAUUCAUUGAAUCAUUGUAAGAAACAAAAGUUGAAAAAUAUUGAAUAAAAAUAAAUGGCAGUCCCAUUAAUUGGAAAAGAAAAGGGUGAAUCUAAAAUAAGGAGUUAAAAACAGCAAAGAAUCUUGAAAAGACGAAAACAAUGAAUUCAACGUUUAGGGUUAAUUUAAUCAGUAUGAACACCACAGGGCAUGGAUUAUAAAAUCUGAGAAAAAGAUCUAUCUAUUUAUCAUGGAUUACUUUAAAGAUUCAGACAAGAUGAAUGACAAAUAAUUUACCUGGAUUCAAGAUGUUCUUCAAGUGCUAGCUGGUUUGCUUGAGCAGUGAUCAGCCAAAAGAAAAGGAAGAGAAAUCACAGAUCAGAGAAGAAUAUAUGGUUUAGAAAAAUAAUAAAGUUGCAGCAUACAUAAAUCUAGUUCGCACUGAUCAUGAGAUGGGGAAAGGAAAAUAGGGAAUUCUACAAUGAGAUGAGAUGUGGGAGAGAAUGUUACAGCAGCAAGGUCGCCUCAAUAAUAAUAAUUAAUUAACGUAUUGUUUGAUAGGAAGGAAGUUGCCCGGAAGCAACCCAAACAUAUUACAUUAUAAGAUAUAGAAAGUUAACGUGUGGACCCGCCCCAUGUUCACACUUCGAAGAAGCUGCCAAGAAAAUGUAAACACAUGAAAAUGAGAAAGAAUAGCAUAUUUCUGCAUUGAGUGAAUUUUUUUUUUUAAAAAUUAUUUUAUAUUUAAAAAUAUAUUAAUUUUUUUUUUAUAUUGCCACGUAAAAACAAUUCAAAAAUAUUAAUUACAAACGAUCACUUGAUAUAAUUUUACAGACUUUUAAUUAGCCUCACUCAUUUGAACCAUGUCAUGGGUUAAUGGUUCUCAACAACUCUCCAUUCCAUGACCUUUCCGGCCCUACCUAGAACAACCACCAUCCCGACAUAAAUAAUAAUAAUUUCACAGUUGAAUUAUGUUUUUUAAAAAACUUAAUAUUUUUUUAUUUUAAAUUAAUUUUUUAAAUAUUUUUAGAUUAUUUUGACAUUUUAAUGUUAAAAAUAAAUUUUAAAAAAUAAUUAUUUUAAUAUAUUUUAAAUAAAAAAAUAUUAUCACACCAUCAAACAUUAUCUUAUUCUAUAAUAGUAUACCUGAACUUUUCCACACCAAUGGAAUUUUUUUUUUCCAACACUCUUCUACAGAUUUUAUAUUCCUAGCCCUCGACCUAUAAAGUAUGAUUUGCUAUCCAAUCUGCACACUAGUUUUCCAUUAAUACAAAGAUGAUCGUGUUUUUUUGUUGCUAAAAUUGCCGGCCAAUAAUUUAAGAGGUGCGUUUAUUUAAGAGGUACAUCAGUUAAUGAGUUUGGAGUACAAAUUUAUAUUUUCCAUUUCUAUAAAGAGAUAGUGUUUUUUUUUUCUGCCAAAAAUUAUCAACCAAUAAUUUUCCAUCAUUUUCCGAGUUUUUCAGUGACUUUUUGUCAGUUAAAAAUAUAAAGAUUUUUGUGGUGAUUUUAGCCCAACUUUGGGGUAUCGAGUCUCCACUGAGAAAUUAAAAGAAUAGAAAAAAAUAUUACAUGGAGACAAAUUAAGAGAAUAGAAGAAAAUAUUAAAUGGUUUAAUAGAGAAUAAAAUUUAAUUUUAAAUGCAAAUUAAAAUAAAGCAAGGUGACUAAUGGAGAAAGUAGUGGAAUUCUACAAAGAGUAGAGCGUCGGAAUCCUUGCACACAUUUGAUAUUUUAAUUAUUCUUAUUUCGUUUAAUAACUCAAUUGGAAGUUCAAUUCCCAGAAUUUCCGCUUUCGAAAAAUCAUUCAUCACUUUUAAAUACGCAAAUGAUUAUUAAGAAAAUUCAACGACAACAAUAUACUGAAGAGCAAUAUUACAGUAAAGAAAUCAAAUCAAUACAAAUAAAUAUAUGAUCCAAAUAUAAUAAAGAAUUAAUCCAUUUAAUCGAAAAAAACAUGACUGAAUCCAUAAACUACAUGACCCCUUUUUCUAAAGGAGGCAGCCCCACUUUUUCAUCACGUCGCCGUGGUCCCACACAUUUUUAAGUGCGUCCAAGCUGGUUCAAAGUGAAUUUUACGACUCCUGAGCCUUGACUUGUCUGUGAGAGCUUCAACUCUACAUUGAAAUGUUUUUUCCUAAACUGUGAGAGCCUCAUAAUAAGCUUAUUGAAAUAAAUUAUUAUAAUGAAAUUAAAAACAAAAAUACUUAAAAAAAAAACAGAGAGACGCCGUGUUUUCUCUAUUGCUACAAGGUAAAAGUCUGAGCAUAUUUAUUUAUUUAUUUUUAUUUUUAUUUUAAUAAUAUUACUGUUAUAUCUACCGCCUAGAAAUCAAGAACGCUAGUUUCAUUUAAAAGAUUCUAAAGUUCAUAUUUAGAUAAAUUAGCAGAAAGGACGAAAACACAACAAAUCAUACCCAGAGAAGCAAAAGCCAGAAACAAGCUACCUCAAUUCCUGCUCCACCUGGCUAAGAAAUGCAGCGUGCCCACUUGGAAGUACACAUCAUCCAAAUUCCAGGGCAAAUAAUUGGUUGGAAUUGUUUUCUGAGGAGUCAUCUCAAAUUUGAAAAAUAAAAACAGAAAAUAGAUCCAGCAAAUGAUUCCAAAUAUCUUCUAAAAAGAACAAUGAAAUAUGUUUUUUUAUUUACUGUAAGGAAAGAUAUCAAUGGAAAAAAAAAAUCAAUUUAAAAAAUAUAUAAUAAGUCAAAACCUAGACUUAAAAUCUGACCCAUAUCAGGUUCCUAGUUGAAUUGAAUAAUUGAGAGCGAAACGUGUCAAGACUGACAAGAGUUCAGAAUAGACUCAUGAAUCAUUUUUUAACCUUUAUGGUAAGACUUGACACGUGUCCUCUAAACCCUCCUGUCCCUCUUCCGAUCCUUGCUAAACCCUUGUUCUGGUCGUAAUCAUCCAUUAGCGUAAACCUAUGCUUCUCUUGACUUUGAUCCCAAUAAACCAACCCAUAGAGUUGGUGGUAAUGUAAUUUGUAUUACUUUUUAAAUUAUUUUUAUUUAAAAAAUAUAAAAUUAAUUUUAAUGUGUUGGUAUUAAAAAAAAUUAAAAAUAUUUUAUUAAUAUAAUUUUAUUUGAAAAAUAUUUUAAAAAAACCGUAUGUAGAAUUACUAAACAUCCUUAAGCCAGUGGACAAAGACACAAACGACAAAAUACAAAUUAAAAGGGAUAAAACUUAAAAGCAUAUAUUUGGAGAUGAUAAAAGGGCAUUGAGAUCAAAGAGGAUAAGUUUUCCAGUGAUGGGAUUGGAUGGUGACGAAGGAUUGUGUGGAUAAGAGCACAGUAAUUAAUCAUUUACUAAAAAGUUCUUCAGUGACCUAAUUCUGUGGCCCAACCAAAUUAUCAUUAUCCAAUAAACUAUUUGAUUAAUUCAGUGUUGCUUAAUCCCAGUUUGCUAUUGCGUUUUAAAUGGGUAUUGGUUAAAUUUUAUUUUUUUAUAUUUAUAUAUUAUUUUGAUGUGUUGAUAUAAAAAUAAAUUUAAAAAAAUAAAAAUAAUUUUAAAAAAUAUUAUUAUAACACCAACUUAUGAUAAUUUUCUUUAUUGAUUAGUGAAUUUGAUUAGACUUAAGAAUCUCCAUCACAGCCAACAUCAUUAGCUUAUCUGCUAUGUUAGAGAAUAAUAUAAAUCAUAUUCUGGGACCUCAUCUAACAGCUUAAGCUAUUAGGUUGAGAUGGUUCUUUGACAUGGUAUUAGAGCCUUGAUGACCAAGCGGUCACGAGUUUGAAUCUCACCAUCCCCAUUUAUUUGAUAAAAAUUAAGCACAAGACAAUGUAGACCUGUGCAAGUUUUAAGCCCAAAGAGCUUUCACUUGAGGGGGUUUGUUAGAGAAUAAUAUAAAUCAUAUCCUGUAACCUCACCUAACAACUUAAGCUAUUGGGAUGAGAUGAUUCUUUACAUGCCAUCCCUUUCAAGAGAGAAGAUUUCAAAUCAGUCCAUUCAUUCCCAUAUGUAGGCAUCUUUCUCAAGCAUCAAGGAGAAUUACUUCUGGAUUCUGAGUUGCCAAUAAAAAACAAAAAACCCUUAUAAACUAGUUCGUCUCCCAGUCCUUAAAUUAGUUUCCUCAUUGUUUUUCACAAUUUUUUAAGAAAAAAAAUAAAAAAAGGAAAAAUAAAAAAAUGAUCAUAAGCUAUAUAUCUAACACUCAUUUUAAAGAAAUUGAUAACCAUGCAAGCAGUUUACAUGUCAGUAUUUGAUAAGGGGUAAGAUUUUGGAGACAAAUUAGAGUACUCAAAUAGAAUGUACUAGGUGAAUUGCCCGCGCGGUGCUGCGGGUUAUAACAUGAACUGAGCAAAAUCUAAAAGUACUGAGAUAGAACUGAGCAACCACAGAGAGUAAAUCUGAAAACAUGGUAAGCAUUGAGAUCGAACAGGGCAACCAUUUGGAGUAGGCUGUUAGCACGCUGCCAGAACAAUUCAAAAAGGGCCUAAGAUUAAACAUCCUGAGUGCAAAUAAUGGUUGAGCCAGAUGAAAUAAAAAGCAAAGAUGCUGGCAAAGCAGGACCGACAAUGGAACUCCAUGAAGAACAGCAAAAAAAGCAUGGGAUUUUGACGGUGCUGCUCAAAAGUGUGGAUGCGCGGUCUAAGCCCAGAAGGUCUCCUGUUGCGAGGAAAUAGUGUUAGCUUUCAUCUAAAAGAUGAUAGGUAUUGCCAGGCCAACGCUUAGGGAAAGCAAGGUAAUGUGCAAAAGAAUUGGAGCAAUUAACUGUAAUGUUUAAAACUUUGGAAAGCUACCUGAGGCAACACCAAGCCCACCAACAGAUUGUAAAAAUGCUCAUUACCAUUUUGGAAAAAAUAAAAGUUAAAUGAUUUUUUGUUUUUGUUUUUCAAUCAUUUAAAUAAGAUGAUAUUAAAAAGAAAUUUUAAAAAAUAAAAAACAUUAUUUGAAUAUAUUUCUAAAUAAAAAAUAUUUUCCAAUACAACUUCUAUCACUCUUAAACAAACCCUUAGUCUAAUGCAGAGAACAUGUCUUCAUAUACAUUAUACAGUGGAUUAAUCAAUCUUUUUAGUUUUUUUAUAUUGUUCAUAAAGAUAAAAAAAAAUAGUAUCUAUUAUUUUAUUAGUGAUGAUAUAAGAUAUAAGAUGAUUUGUAUAUAUAUAUUUUUUCCAAUACAUGUCUUCCUUUUUUUUCUUUUUAAUAUAUAUUUUUAAAAUAUAAUUUAUUGCUAGUUAAUGAUAUAAGAUGAUUUGUAUUCGUCAAUAUCAAUAGAUCUAUUAUUUUAUUAGGUUACUUUAAUAAUAAAUCAAAAUAGUAUAUAUAUAUAUAUUUGUUUUUUUUUUCUGGGGGGGAGAUUUUCAUCUUGGUGAUACUCAAUAGAUGAAAAUAUAAUAUUAAUUAAACUUCAAAUUAUAAUUAUUUAUCUAUUCAGUUAAAACAAAUAUGACAGUUCAAUAGUCUUAAAUAAUAAAUAUUUCAUAUUAAUAAACGCUUAACGAGUCGAAUCAAUCAGAUGUUAAUUAACAUAAAGAAGUUAACAUGGUGUGUGCAGAGAAUGAAUUGUGGAAAGAGAGAUUGGGAGAGUGUGAGAACUAAAAGAUGAUCCUUACCCUUUAUGGCUUUAUUCUAUAUUAUACUAAGGGACGACUGACCAUAACAUUACAAGGGGACGAAGGACAUCCAUUGUUUUGGGAUUCUCCCACUCCACCAGUGUCUCCCACCGUUCUUUUGGAUAUGCUCGGAUGUAUUUAAGAGACGGGGGAGGGGAUGGUAGGCUAUUUUCAAGCAACGGAAGAUAAAUUGGCAUUCUCUUUAACUUCUCACAAUACUUUACAUUAGGGGUGUUCAAAAAAAUCGAUUAACCAAAAAAACCGAGAAAACCGAUAAAAAAUUAACCAAGAAAACCGAACCGAGAUAGAAAACCGAUUAAACUGAUUGUUAAAACCAUAAAAUCUUGCCAGGUUCGGUUCGGUUCCGGUUUGACCUCUUAAACCGAUGAACCGAACUGGUAGUAUAAAUACCACGCACACAGUCACACACAAACACAGUCACUUGACACUCAGUAACCCUAAAUCUAAUUAACAUUCUGAACUGAAGAAUGAAGCCGCUGCCCACACCAAAAACUCAAAGAGCAAAGAGCCAAAGACUCUUCCUUCUGCCCACAGAGCCCCACACCAAAGACGAUUUAUCGUCUUCUCCCUUCUGCUGUUCUGCAUCUGUCUUGCCCUUCACCAUCAAAUUUCAUCCUUCCUCUUCUCCCUUCCGCAUCUGUCUCUUCCAUCGAUUUGCAUCCUUCCUUUGUCUUCCCUUCUGCAUCUGUCUUGCCCCCUGCUUCUCUCUUCACUUGCAGGUUGCAGCAGAACGACAGGGCUCCUCCAUUGGUAAGAUUAUCUUCGUGUGCUUAACUGCUUAUAAGUCCAACAUAAUUAUUUUCAAACUUUGAUGCUUCUCAGUUCUCUGACCUUUGCUUCUCUUUUUUUUAUCCUCAGGUUCACCCCCUUUUCCAUUUAAUCAAGAACUAGGGUUUUUGCUUCUUUCUUCAGGUUAGUCCCUCCUUCCCUGCCCUAUCUUCUUUUUGUUAAUUUAUGUUGGUAUUGAAAUAUGCUUGUUCAUUUAUGUUGGUAUUGAAAUAUGCUUGUUAAUUGUUAUAGUUUUUUUGUUAGUUUAUCAAUUAGUCAAAUACUCAAAUGUGUUUGUCACCUGUUACAACAUUUUUUUUUUCAUGUUUGUCGCCUGUCGGGUGAAUGAGUGAAUAACUAAAUAUGUUUUUUCAUGAUUAUCGGGGAAUCGGGGAUUGGGUUUUUUCUAAACCGAAAAGAAUUGGGUUUUUUCAUGACUGUUCCUUCAUUUUUGGUUCCCAUAGCAUGAAUGUCAGACCGAUUAGUAGGGAGAAACAUAUUCACUCAUUCCCAUAGCAUAAAUACUAAUCUGACAUUCAUGCUUAUUUAUUUUAAAAAAGAAUUAUGAUUCUCAGACCGAUUAAAGUCCAAUUUGCUGGUUCAAACAAUUUUCUCCCUACUGCCACUGCCAGCUUCUCAUAUGAAGUUAUUGAUGGUUAUUUUGAGGAUUCAGGUGUAUCAUCUACUUGAAGUAUUUUAAUCUAGAAUCCCAAACUAUUCACAUUUUUCUAGGGGAUGGUAAAUGAGAGUUGGCAUUAUACAUAAUACUAAACUCCUCCAAUGCUACAGUACAGCUAAAAAAGUAGAAUUUGUUGCAGCAGUGAUAAAUUUUAAAUUCUACACAUAAUUUUAAAGAGACUAACAAACAAAACUAGUUCAUUAAUAGCUGCACAGACAAAUAUACAAGGCAUCUUUCUCAAUUAAUUUUUUUAGAUCACAAAACACACUUUCAGUUUCAGUUCCAGUUCAAUUAAUAGCUGCAAAUAAUGUUUUUUUUCAUUAUUUUAUAAUCUGUUUUAAUUUCAGAUGGAUAAUCGGGAAGAUCAUACACCAAUUGAAUCAAAUCCUUCAAGUUCAGAACCCCAUUCUUUUCCUAUUCCAGCUCCAGUCCUAGUUGCUACUUCUAGUACAAAUAGCAACGCUGAAAGUGAAGGUAAUCCAGCUUCUAGAUCUAAUAAAGAAAACACAUCUCAGAUUUGGGAUCACUUUAAAAAAAUUAGAUGGUAAUGUUAAGCGCUCCUAGGGCUGCAUGUAUGUAUUGUGGAAAAGAUUAUGCAUGCCAUACUAUACUUAAUGGGACUAGUAACAUGUGGAGUCAUCUAGGUGUAUGCAAAAAAGUUUCCUUUUGUGAUUGACCGAAAACAAAAACUUUUAGUCUUACAACCUAGCCUAUAAUAAAAGGGGGUAAUAUGGAGAGGAAAAUCUGGUGACUAUUAAGGCGGUGGGUUAUAGUUAUGAAGAGUGUAGGAAAGCCCUAGGAAAAAUGAUUAUACUUGAUGAGCUACCUUUUAACUUUGUUGAAAACCAAGGAUUUAAAUCAUUUUGUCAAGUAAUGCAACCUAGAUUUGAUGUUCCUUCUCGUUUGACGAUUUGGAGAGAUUGUUUAAAAAUUUAUGUAGUUGAGAAGGAAAAAUUAAAGAAAGCUCUUAAGGAUCAACGUGUAUGUUUAACAACCGAUACUUGGACAUCAAUCCAAAAUAUUAAUUAUAUGUGUUUGACUGCCCAUUGGAUUGAUGAAGGUUGGAACUUGAAUAAAAGAAUUCUAAACUUUUGUCAAGUUUCUAAUCAUAAAGGUGAAACAAUUGGCCAAACAAUUGAGAGUUGUUUGUUAGAAUGGGGAAUUGAUAACAUUUUAACAGUUACAGUAGACAAUACAAGUUCAAAUAAUUUGACAAUAAAAUAUUUGAAGAGAGUAACAAGUAAUUGGGCAACUAAUAUAUUGUCAAAUGACUUCAUGCAUGUUAGAUGUUGUGCACAUAUUGUUAAUCUUAUUGUAUGUGCGGGAUUGAAAGAUAUUGAUGAUUCAGUUGUUAAGAUUAGGAAUGCAGUGAGGUUUGUUAGAUCUUCUCCUUCUAGACAACUUGUUUUUAACCAAUGUGCGGAGAGGUUGAAAAUUGGGAGUAAAAAAUCUGUUUGCUUGGAUGUUGCAACUAGAUGGAACUCUACAUAUAUGAUGCUAGAUGGCUGUAAAUUUGAUGUGGUUUUUAUGAGGUUAGAAGAAACGAUCCUAGGUAUUUGAGUUACUUUGAGGUUGAUUCAAAAGGAAAACAAAAAAACUUAGGUCCUCCUGCUUUAGAAGAUUGGGAAAAGGCUAGAUCUUUUGUCAAGUUCUUGAAACUAUUUUACACGGUUACAUUGAAAUUUUCUGGCUCAUUGUAUGUGACAUCUAAUUCUUUCUUCAUGAAUUGAUUUCCAUGCACACAAGCAUAUCUCAACUUUGUAGAAGUGAAGAUGUUUAUGUAAGUAAAAUGGCCAAGAAUAUGAUGGCAAAGUAUAAAAAAUAUUGGGGGGAUCAAGAUACACAAAACUUUUUGUUGUAUGUGGCGUUGUGUUAGAUCCACGUUUCAAAUUGAAGUAUGUGAGAUUUUGUUUUGGAAGAUUGUAUGAUGUUGAAGAGGCUGAAAAUUUUACAAUUAAGGUUAAAGAUACUUUGCUAAGGUUGUUUGAGCAUUAUAUGAAUGUUGAUGAGAAUGUUGAGGUGUUCAGUGUUGGAACUAGUAUAAAUGAAAAUGUUAAUGUUGAUUUAAUGGUGGUAAAUGAUGAUAUGUUGGAUGACUUUCUCAAUUCAAAAAACAUUUAGAGGAAGAAGGGGUGUCAAAAAAAAAAUGAGGUUGAGAGGUAUUUGGGUGAUGAUUGUGAGGAUCCUAAUGAUUUUAAAUUAGAUAUUUUGGGUUGGUGGAGGUGUAAUGCUACAAAAUACAAGAUUCUUUCUAAGGUGGCACAACACGUGUUAGCUAUUCCGGUAUCUACAGUUGUUUCUGAAGUAGCUUUCAGUACUGGUGGUCGUAUUUUAGAUCCAUUUCGAAGCUCUUUAUCUCCAUCGACAGUGCAAGCACUGGUUUGUUGUCAGAAUUGGUUGAGUUUAGCAUCAAUUCCAAUCAACAUCAGCAAUUACAUGGAUUAUAUUGAAAAUUCUGAGAUGAUUGAGUCAGGUAAUUUCUUUUACAAAUUUAAAUGUAGUUAUUUUAUAAUAUCAUUUAUUUACAUAUGUUUAAUCUAACUUUUUAAUUUAUGUUUUUGUAGAAUUUGGUGAAAGUUUAAAAAUCUCAACUGAUUGUUUGUAAGCAGUAUUGGUGGCUUGGUGCAAUUUUGGAAUAUAAUUAUUCUGGGUAAUUAAUUUACUUUACCUUGUUAAUUCCCUUUAACAUUUUUCAUACUUAAAUUAAUUCUUUCAAUAGUUGAACUCUAAUAUGUUGCUGAUUUGCUAGUGUUUUUUUUUAUAUAUAGCAUUAUCCUUACUAGAAUUUUUGGAUACCCAUGCUGCUGUUGCUGGAAUUUUUGGAUGCUAGUCUUGUGUUUUUUUUUUUCAAUUUAUGCCGGAUGUUUAUGAUAAUUUAUUGAUGGUUACUAAUGUAUUCGCUUGUUAAUGUUAACUUUUCUAGUGCGAACAAACUUUUAAUUUGAGGUGUUCAAAUUUGAUCAUGCAUCUUGCAUAUUGAAAUUGAUUUAUUGCAUUGCAUACAUAUUGAAAUUGAUUUAUUGCAUUGUAUCUGUCAAAUUAAAUUCAUGUCUAAAUUCAUGUGAAGAAUUAAAUGGUUUACAUUCCUUGGAUAUAUGAUUUUCUCAGCAUAGCUCAUUGCCUGCCUGUAAAGUGUAAAUCAUUUGAACAACUUCAGGCUUAUAAACCAGGAAACAAAACAUGAAAAAUAAAUUUAUUUGUCAUCAGUCUUGGGAUGCCCCUUGAAUUUGAAGUUGUCUGCAUAAGUGCAUAUGCAUUAACCUGAAAGGAGAAGAAAAUUCGGAGUGACCAGGAGAAGAAGAGCCUUGCAGAUGGCACUUCCACAUUGCAUGCAUAUUGAAAGAUAAGUGUUCACUGUUCAGUAGGGAAUUCCUGUUUAUGGCAGCCAAGCUGUGAAUUAAUUCAGGUUUCUGUAACUUUUAAAACUCAAUUUACUGUAAGGCUAAGUGAAUUUUAAAAAAACUGAAAAAAAACCCGGAUUUAAUGAAGGGAUUAGGUUUCCCGGUUUUUUCCAAAAAAAACCGGAUUCAACCGAACCAGACCGGCUCGGUUUGAACCGGUUUCCGGUCCGGUUCGGUUAAAAUUUAUCUAAAAUAUUGAAAUUCGGUUCGGUUGGUUUUUUAAGUCUAAACCGAACCGAAUCGAACCGUGAACACCCCUACUUUACAUCAAUAUCUUUAAGAGAAUUGCAAAUCAAUUUUGCACUGCAAUUGCUUUUCAGUUCUGGUAAAUAUCUCAAUCUUAGAGCUCUUAACUUUGGGAGUUUUAAUUUUGUGAUGGGACUCGAGGUGCUGCUUUCUUCAUCUGUUGUUCCUAUUAUCUCCUCCAUUUUAUCAUAGUACCUCACUUCAAUCCUUUCUAGGUUUACGAGGUUUGGCAGCACCACAAGUGGGAACAACCUCUUCAUACUUUUACAUCCAACACAAUAAAACUCUUUAAGCCCAGAAAACAUACCAUUAUAUGAUGACAAUGGUGGUGGAGCAGACCAGAACCAAGAAGAUGAAACCAAGCUCUCCAUGCUAUUGCAAUCCUCAAUGAUGAUUUCCUCUAGUUCAGUUGCAUUCUCUAAUGACAAAACAUCACAUAAACUUCUUGCAUCGAUGCGUUCACAAUCCGGAACUUGAAUGUCAUUUAAGAACUUGACCUGAAAAUCUCCAUCUUUGUUGAUACUCAAAUUACCAAACCCAACUGUUUUAUUUGGAAAAUCAUCCAUGUCUACCCAACAAUCCACCAUUCCUACUAAAAUUUUAUAUGUGCUUAAUGAAAUGGCAUUUCAAAUUUUCCAAAUUUCUCAACUGUUAUCGGAGCAUAACUAGUCCCCAUAAACUCUUCUAGUGCAAAGACUUGCAGGUGAGAGAGUUUUGGUAAUAUCCCACUAGAAAACUCCUUUUCACCACAUCCAUUCAUUCUAAGAUACCUCAGGUUGGUUAGGCAUUCCAUCCCUUGCGGCAUCUUUUCAAGUGCAGUACAAGAGAGAUUCAACCUCUUCAGUGCCUUGAGCUUCUUUAAUGAUGGAACAUGUCUUAAGUCCUCACACUUUCUGAGCAAUAAGGCAGCGAGACUCACCAAAUCAGAGAUAGAGUCUGGCAAUUUUCAAUACCUGUGCAAGACAGAUUGAGCCCAUGCAAUUGAUUGAAAAAUGUAGUGAUUGUCAAUUAUUUUAUCUUGACCACUGGCAAAAAUUUGUUAGUACAUGAUUUCUUGUAACAAAUUGCCACGUAUCACCAUACUCCCUGUUUUUUUCCUGCUGAAAUAAGUCUUUGGAUCUGUUUUGGUGGGACUAAUAUCAACAUAAAAUGAGUAUCCCUAUUUUUCAGGCAUCAGAAUAUUAUGCUCACUUGGUUGAUUUUAUAAAGGAGUUCUGAUGCCUGAAAAAUAUUAUGCUCACUUGGUUGAUUUUCUAGUUCCAUUAGGUGCAUAAAAAAGAGAUAGAGAGCUCAAAAAGACUUGAAAGAUCCUCGUCAAUUUUGGCCAAGUUCAUUGUUUUCAUGAUUAAAAAAGUGUAUAUUCGAGGUUAAUACCAUUGAUUCAAUGGAGGUUGAGGUCCAGGUAGCAUCGCAGGCACUUGAUUCCUCAUUGGUAACUGGUAAUUAGUCCAUUGUUGGUCCCUAAAUUAGCAACACUUGUUAGUAAUUUCUUUAUACAUAUGCAUAAUUCUUUACUAUUAAUCCACUAAGCAUUUGAUAUCAUUUUAGCUUACCUCAAAGGCAUUGAUGGUCCAGGUAGCAUGGGAUUGGCACAUCGAGGAUCAAAUAAAUUAGGAUGAGGCAGAUACCUAUAUUCAAAUAUAAUGAUAUUAGGCAGAUAAAUAGAACAACAACAAGAAGAAGUUAAAUAAUGAUGAAUAUUAUGUACAAGAAGAAUUUAAAUAAUGAUUAUUCUCACUUAGUUGAUUUUCUAGUUUCAUUAGGUGAUGCAAAUCAGGAGACUCUUGAAAGCUGAUUAAAGCUUAUUAGCUGUAGUUAUUAUUUUCCUAGUUAGCUGAUAGUUUCCGAGUCAGAUUAGUAUUAGAUCGUAACUCCUUAGCUGUAGGGUAUUUAAGAGGGGAACAGAACAGAAGAUGGGGCAUUAUUUGUAUUCUUGGCAAUUGCUUUCUUUAAAUACAAAUUGGAGUGAUUCCAUAGAGAUUCUGUAUUAAAUUAUUUAUUGUUCUUACAGAGAGCAACGAGAGGUUGUACCGGAGGGCAUUUAGAUUAAUAUGUGCACAAAAAAAGAGAGAGAGAGAGACGGAGAGCUCAAAAGAAGUUAAAUAAUGAUGAAUACCUUGUUGGAGUUUGAGGCCAAUUUGGUUCAUUUUGGUUGAUCCAUGAUGAUGAUGUUCCAUCUGAACCUCCCAUUGUUGUCUGUUUGUUUUAUAAUAAACAAUUAGAAGAUGCUCGAGAUAAAUAUUAUGUAGCAAAUUGGAGCACUCACAUUGUUCUGUCCACCUUGAUCAUUGCAUAAUAUGGAGCUUUGGUUGUCUGGAACCUCCGGUGGCGACCUGUUCUGUCCACCUUGAUUAUUGUUUUGUUGGGGAAUAAUAGAAAAAACUGAAGAAUAACUAAAUUGCAAGGAAUCAUUUUUUGAUAAAAUAUGCUUAAGAAUGACGUACGAGAGAGGCACAGGUAUAUUGAAUAUAUCUUCUAGUGAUUGAAGAUCGAACUCAUUUGAUGUCCAGUUGAUCAUGACAUCAUCCUCCGCAGAAGAUGGUGGGAACCCUUCCAUCUGAGGUUUAAAGAAGAACAGAUAAAACAGAUAAUAAAUAUAUAAGUGGGUACACCUUGUUAUAUCUAAGUCAAAAUAAAAGAAAAACAAAUAAAUGGUGAAAAGCACCUUGUUCUAUCUUAUAAUAUAAUAUUUGAUGGGGGUAUAUAUUAUAUUAUUACAAAUUACAAAUAUAACGAUCAUAACUAAGCCUCAAUAACUUGAAUACUUCCUUGUCCCUAAAUUCUGAUUCUCUCAAUUUGUUCAAUGUAUUUCUCCACUCAUAGGUCAUCCACUCCCCUCAAGUUUCCUGCCACUGUAAUAAUUCCCAAUGGCAAACCAGCACAUUCCCUUGCAACGUCUUUCGCAAUUCCUUCCAUUUCUGGUGAAAGUGCUAUAUCACGUCCAAGUUUCUCCAUGAACCAAGUCCAAGCUUCUCCUUUAGAAAGUGGCUUCACUUUGAUUUUGUGCUGGCAAGCCAUCCGAUGACAAACCGUUUCUGAUCGAGUUGUCAUAAUCAGCUUGCAUCCUUCUAACUUUUCAGGAAUUUCCACUUUGUGUAGCUCAAAAUUAUUCCACAAAUCAUCUAAAAUGAGAAGCUAUUUUUGUUUCUUCCUUAGUUCUUCUAACAAUUUGAGAGGUCUGAGAUGAACAUCAUCUUCACUUGAAAGGUCUAGAUCAAGAUGUUUAGCAAUAACAUUCUGCAAUCUAUUAAUGCUGAAAUCUUGAGACUUAGUCACCCACCAAACAUGAUCACAAAUAUCUGGUCUUUGUAGAAGCUCAUUAUGGAUAUGUUGCAGUAUGGUUGUUUUACCAACUCCCCCCAUCCCGUAAAUGCCAAUGGUUGGGACUUCAUCAUCCAUUAACAAAGACCAUAUCACCUUCUUAUUCUCUUCAAAUGCUUGACCCACUGGCUUUAUAGAGCUAUUAGGUAAUGGAACUCCUCUAGUCUUGUUGUUUUUCAGACUUUCAGAAGAUCUAGCUCCUGGGCCAGCCUGCACUACUGAUCUUCCACUAUUCUCAACGUACUCUUCCUCCACUGGUUGUGUCCUCACUCUAACCAUGUCCUGUGCAUCAUGCCUAUUUACAUCAUUGUUUACUAAUGGAGCACAAGGUUGAUCAUAACAUAUUCCAAAGUCAAGACAAAAUUGGGAUGCAUCUCCUUGAGGCUCCAAAAGCUGCACUUGCUCUGUUCUUGGUACAGUCUCAAAUGCAUCAUGCCAAAAAGAUCCUUCACCAGUGUUUUCCAUGCCAUUUUCCGCUUGUAGAUGCGAUUGAAUUCUCUGUUCUCCUGGAUCUUGUUCCAUGCCCUGAACUCCCACUUGUAUCCUUCCAAUACCUCCUCGCCAAAUUGCCGAGUACUGCAUUGCUUUGUUCCAACGAUCGAUCCACUGGUUCUGUCCUCAGUCUGCUCUCGAGUGCCCCUUCAGAAACUCUCUCUUCUUGUGCUCUCACUCCGGUCAUGCUUACUAUACGUCGUUUCCUGCUAUUGCAUGUGAAGAAAUCCUCUGUUCCCCUACUUCGGGUUCUAAAACCUGAACUUCUCUUUGUACCCUUCCAAUACCUCCUCCCAAAUUCCACAGUCAUUAAAAUUGAUUGAACUUGCUGUGAUUUUAUGUCCUUUUUUGCCAUCAUUCAUAGCUUUCCAGGCUGCUUCUUGAACUUCUGUAGUCACUGUUGCUACCCAAUUUUUGACCCAUGUUUUGAUAAUUUUUCAGAAAAAUCCAAAAAUAGAGAAAAACAUCGAAAAGCCAAAAAAAUACUUUUUUAAUAUAUUUGCGUUGUUUUUAGCUGUUGCUACCCAAUUUUUGACUCAUGUUUUGAUAAUUUUUCAGAAAAAUCCAAAAAUAGAGAAAAACAUCGAAAAGCCAAAAAAAUACUUUUUUAAUAUAUUUGCGUUGUUUUUAGCAUUUUCAGCGUCGUAAAAAAAAAUUUAAAUUUUCAAAGGUUUUUCGAACGCGUGCAACUUUUCACGCGUCAUUUUUAAUCAUUGAUUUUCCUCAUUGAGUCGACGUUGAUAUUGCUCAUUUUAAAAAAAUACAAACAAAUUAAGAAAAAUCAAAUUUACAAAAAGAAAGAAGUUGAGGGACCAAUUUUGAAAACCUAGCAAUAUUUUUGCCUAUAAAUACUGGUCUUCAACACACACAAAAGAGGGGGGGACAAUUUUGCACAUUCAGAAAAAACACAAAAAAACCUAACCCUAAACCUAAACCUAUCUCUAACCAAAAAAAAAAGAAGCCGCCGGCCCCCCAGGCUUUUGAUUUUUCCUUCCCCACAACAGCUAACCGAAAUCUCUAGCCUUCCACCAACUCCUCCUCCCUUGCCCUCUGCCAAACGGACAAACUCUCAGCCCCUCACCCCACACAAACCAGCCGCCCCACCCAUUCAGUUGGCCACUCUCUUUUCUCCAGCCAAAGCCAUCGCCCCCUUCUUCCUCUGGUCUCCCGACAAACCCAACAAUACCCUUUCUUCUCCGGACGACCGACCGCAACAACCCACACCGCCUCUCCGUCCGAUCUAUUCACUUCACAACCCGGAAGAAACCCACUAUCAGGCCCAAUCUUCCCCUCAAUAGCGUCUUCUUCGCCUUCGGUCUCUUCAACAGCAAUGGCCACAGACCAGCCAAGACCGAACAUCUAUUUCAACCGGUCGGUCGCAGAUCCACCCAUCAUCAACGACCUAGCAACGGCCACAGAAGACCAUCACUGCUAGAUCGGCCAUCAACAGAAGCCUAGUCGUCGGUGACCCCUUGGUCUUGCCGCCGCUGAAAUAGAGAAGGGAGAAGGUAGAGAAAUUGGAGUGAGCUAAAAAAGGAAAACUUAAACAGAUAGAAAAAAGAAAGAAAAUUAAAAUCGAUUGCCUUUUGUGUUUUUUUUUUUUGCAGAUAACGGUGGUUGUCACCACUGGCGAGGAAAAGAAGAGGGGAAGAAUUCGAUCCAGAUCCCCCCUGUUGCUGGGUUUUUCUCGUGGCAGUGGCACGUGGAGCAACGCGCCGCCACUGUUCCGGCCCUGCACUGUUCCUGAUUUUGUUUGAGAGGUUGUUUUUUUGUAACUUUAAGUUUGUUUAAUGUAAUAUAUUUUUAUUUUUUAGUUUUUUAUAAUUUGUACUUUGUAAAUGUGGAUUAAAAGAAAAGGAAAAGAAAAGAAACGAAACAAAAAAUAUAUAGUAAAAGUGAGUGUGUGUUUGGAUUUUCAUUUAUUUAUGUAUGUAUGUAUGUAUGUAUGUUUUUUUUUUAUGAUAAAAUCGCAAAGAUUAAAUAAGAAUUUAAUAUUUUGAUUUGCUCACAGUCUAGAAUUAUUAACUUAUACGUAAGUUGUAUUUCUAAUAUCUGAUGAAAAGACAAAAUUUUAAAACUUCUUUAACACGUCAAAGCCACGAAGCAACUUACCUCAGGUAGGGUGUGUGUUAGGGGUGCUAAUACCUUCCUUAACCACAACCAGUCCCUUACCCGUGAAUCUCUGACAAGACCAUUACACCCGGGUUUCCUAGUAGCCCUCAAUUAAAUACAAGGUGGCGACUCCAACGAACCAAAUCAAAGCAAACGCAUAACGAGAAAAAAUUGCCAGCCGACGCCGUGCGGGUGACGUGUGGCAGUCACCCCAAGACAAAUGUCAACACCACGCCUUCUCUCUCCUGAUAAAUGCCAUUUGAACCUUGAAAUGCAAAUUUUACUGGACCAUGUACGCUGACAAAACUUACACGUCAUGCUACCAUCAACCCUAUCUUCAACAUAAUUCCAAAAUGGAUCCUUCGAUCCACCCAUAGAAAAAGAAGGGGGGGGGGAGGGUCAAGGCUAGGAUGGAUGAGAAACUACUUCAUUGCUGUUACCUUAUUUUGCUAUUAAAAUUGAUAGUUAGUUUAUUGCAUAAUUAUAGGGGGGGAAAGACGAUGAAAAUUCAGUUAGACUUCUUACUUGUUGAGUAUUUAAAUCCCUAAUUUGACUUUGCAGGGAAUUGUCAAGGCUAGGAGUUGAUGCAUUUGGCAUAGCAGUUUGAUUUUGCAAUCCUGGGACUUGGAGGUUAUCCAUCUGUGACCUGUAUAAAAAUGAAGUGAUCAUAUUAUAAAACCUUUCGAUAAUUGGUAGUAUCUAAUUAUCAAAAGGGUCUUAAUACGUACUGUAUUAAAACACAACAGCUAGAAGUCACCUAGUAGAGUUGCCAAAGUGCCGAGGCCCGAAGUUCUGUUGUUGCAUAUUAUCUAUGUUAGGAAUUACUGCAGCUUGAUCGUCUUGUCCUUGAUUAGAAAGAAAUUGACUCCUGUAUCCAAAAUAAUUCGCAAGUAAUACAAUACGAGAUUUAAUAGUUUUACUGACGGAAUUUUUUCAUCGGCGUAAGACACAUAUUCCGUCGGUAAUUAAUUUACCAACGAAAUCACCAACAGAGAAUCUUUCAUCGGUAAUUUUUUGUCCGUCGGUAAAUCUAUUGGUAAUGAAAAAAAUUUAUUACUGAUGGAUUUACUAAUGGAACAUAAGCGUCGGUAAUAAUAUUUUUUUAUUACCAACGAAUUUACCAACGGACAAAUUAUAAAAUAUUUAAAAACAUUUUAAAAAAAAUCAUUUUAUAAAAUUAUACUCAAAAUGCUUGGAAAAAAAAACAAGAAAAUCAACUCAAACAAAUUUGCAACAAAUAAAUAAAAUGAAAAAAAAAAUUCAACUAAAAAAAUUCAUAUGAAAAAAAUGAAGUUGCAAUUGCUAAAAAUUUAAAAAUCCUAUAAAUAUAUCAACAAAAAUUGAUCUCAUAUGAAAAAAUAAAAUCUCACAACAACAUUUAUACAAUUAUUAAGAACAAAAACAAUUAAAAAUAAAAUAAAAGGCAAAUAUAGUGAAAACAAUCAUGAAAAAAGAAGAAAAAAGAAAAAUCUUACCUUAAUGUAGUUGCAAGUGAAGCUAAGGAGAGAUUUUUUUUUCGUAAAGCAUAUUAAUUAAAAAAAAAACUAAGAGGAUAAAAGAAGAAAGAAGAAGAAGACAUACCUGAGCAUGGAGGAAAAGAGAAGGAGAUGAGGAGAGAAAAGAAGACAAAGAAAUAGAUAUUGAUGUUUUUUACAUAUAGUGAAGAAGAAGAAGAAAUGAGUUUCUUUUUUGUGAAAUAAGGGGAUUCAGAUUUUUUAUUGGGGCACAUUAGCGACGGAUUUAUUGACGAAUAAUUGAAUAUUAAUAUUUUUUAAUUAUUUCGUCAGUAAUUCCAUCGGUAAUAUUUAAUAUAAAUUUUUAAUUUCGUAAAAAGCUUUCAGAAACCGCCAACAAUUAUCGAUGAUUUUUCAAUCCUUCGGUGAUUCCGUCUGUAAUAUUUAAAUGAAAAUUUUGAAUUACUUGAAUUUUUUCAGAAAACCGCCAAAUAAGACCGACGACUUUUCAAUUCGUCGGUGAUUUUGUCUGUAAAGAACAAGAAUUAACAGUGCAAUUGAAAAAGUGAACAGUUCUGGAGCUCUCUGGAAAAUACUGACGAAAAAUUCUGUUAGUGAUUUCCUUCGUAAUUGACAUGAUGAACAGUGUUCACAGUUUACCAAAGAAUUUACCGACGGAAUAAAUUCUGUCGGUAAUUACGUUGGUAAAAAUGACAUAUCAUCAUUUAUUGUUUUACUUUGUUUUAAUUUUUUUCCCCACUGUAAUUCCCUCGAUAUAUACCGAGGGAAUAUUUCCGUCAGUAAAAUCCCUCGAAAAUAUUUCCUUUGUAUUUAUCGAUUUUCUGGUAGUGAUAUUAAGCAUUACAAACUUAUGAUUAUCUUGCUGGGUUGCUGGGUUGAUGUCCAAGCUAUGAUGUUGCUUUCGUAAUUGAAAAACAAAUUUUUUUUAAUAGAAAAUACUAAAUAUGAAAAAUUGGAUACCGUGGAGCAGGAAAAGAAGGUACAGGUUGAAUGAAGCCACCAUGUUGUGAAGUGGUUGCGUUCGGUGUCAUAUAGCCAUGUCCCGGCUGAGGUUGAUGAAUAAAGGAAUUAUGAUGCCUUGAUGGAGUUGGGGGCCAAUUUAGUUCAUUUUGGUUGAUCCAUGAUGAUGAUGUUCCAUCAAAACCUCCCAUUGUUGUCUUUUUGUUUAACAAUAAACAAUUAGAUAAAUAUUUUUGUAUAAUACAAACACUUGCCAAUUCAAUGGACAUUGUAUCACAUUGGAGUAAGCAUGAGUACUCACCAUGGUUUCAGGAAAUGAAGUUAGAAACUUAGCUGUGUCACACGUGUGCGACAUCGUGGUGAAAACAUUCACUCUCGAAUUCUAUUUUUUAUGGAAAAUGUGUGGAGACAAGGAAUUCUUGCUCAAAACUGUCAUUUUUUAUCAAAACCGAGUCCCCCGGGUCAAUACGGGUCAAACCAUAUUGACCAGGGUAAAAAAUGAGUUUCCAUGACGUUUCGGGUCAAAACCGUCAUUUUCGAUCAAAAUCGUCAUUUUGGAUCAAAACCGAGUCCAUCGGGUCAAUAUGGGUCAAACCAUGUCAACCGGGAUAAAAAAUGAGUUUUCAGGUUGUUUCGGGUCAAAACUAUUAUUUUUCGGUCAAAACCCGGUUCACCGGGUUGAUACCCCUCAAAUGUUGUUUUCUGUGUUUCAAUAUAUAUUUUUUUUUUUUGCGGUUGAAAUGGGCUUUUUCUAAUACUGAUUUAAGUUUUUCAGUUUUAUUUAUAUAAUUAUUUAUUAUUAUAUAUAAUAAAACAAAAUUAAUAAUACAAAAAUUUAUUAUAGCGUCAGUUGCUGCGGUGCAUUAUUUUCCUUCGAAAUGAAUUCAUUGUCCCCUGCUCAUUGGCUAUAAAUAGCCACGACAUCAGAGGGAAAAAAAAAGAAAAAAAAAAGAAAGAAAGAAAAGAGAGUAUUACUAUUUGAAUUGUUUUUAGUUUUUCUUCACGAUAGUAAGAUAUUGUUUUUUAUUAAAAACAAGUUGAAAAAUAUCAAAAAUAUCCUAACCAUUUGAUCUAAUAGUGUUAAUUCUGGACCUUUGAUUUAAUAGGAUACAAUAGGGUUUACCAUACUAGAUUAAAACCCAAAUCCAUCUAAGCCUUUGAAAUAAUCUGCCUAUUGAUUCUAUCGUGCCAUGUCACCCGGUGUACCGAGCUUUCAGUGCAUCGCGCCACAACAGAUCAACGCUCAGCUCAUCCAGACCGUCUGAUCAACUUGCAGAUAAAGCCAAUCACAGCUGAAGGAUCAGUUCAUCCGCGAUCCAAUGGCUCACAACCUUCAGCUGCACCGGUGUCCCAUACUCGCGUUCACACCGAGCACAAUCUCGGAGCCUCUCUCUCCUCUCGACGGUGAUUCUCUCUCUCUCAUCCGAUCUCCCAUUUCCGGUCGUGUGAAGCUUUCAAACCACCACAGAAAGGUUGCUACCUUGCUAUAAAGCAAAACCCCGGCGGUUUUCAGCGUUUUCUCCGCCUCAUCUAGCCGGAAAACGACCGCGAUUUCGUCAACCACCCGAAACUUUAAACCGACGAUUCUCCCUCGUCAGCCAUCAACAGCCGUCGAAACCACCUUCAUCAGAAUACUCUCCAUCAGAUCUACUAGAAUCAACCAUUCGUUGGUUGGAAAUCUUGCCGGAAAAUUUCGCCGCCUCCAACAGUAACCGCGCGUGAGCCACACGCGCCACCAGGGGUAUUUUCAUAAUUUUCCAAGAAAUCCAAGGGUAUUUCAGUCUUUUACCUAUACAGUGGCACUCAAGUAAUUUUUUGAAAUUCCUAACAGUUUUUAUUUUAUUUUUAUAUAUAAGUAUUUGUAAAUUCUCUUGCAUGUAAAAAAAACCAAAAAAACCAAAAAUAAAUAUAAAAGGAAUAACGACGCGGGUCCAACACCCAUCUUAUCAUGUCAUCGUUCAUGGGUCCAAAGCCCAAUUAUCAAGUAUGGUUAUACCCAUUUCUCAACGAUAUCAAAAUAUUUUUUGUUUUAUAAAUGAAUAUUGUUUGUCGGCAUGUCUCUUUUUACAGAAAAGGACUGAUGUCAAGGAUAUUUAUACCAAAUAUGGAUUAUGUCCAUUAUUUCCUUUUGAUAAUCCAGACGUAACUCUCCUUUUUAGGGUCAAAUGUCAAUAUUUUAGACAAAUCUCCUAUUUUUAGGGACUAAUGUCAUUUUUAACGUGUCUCCUAUUUUUAGGGACCGACGUUAACCAUUUAAAAAAAAAACAAAAUUGCAAAUAAGCUCAAAAUAUAAUAGCAUUUGAAUCAAAUAAAAAACACACAAGUAAGGGUAACCUUUCUUUUGAAAGGAUGUUUUAAGGGUGGUGUCUACCUUCCCUUAAUCAUAACUAACCCAGUACCUGAAUCUCUGGGACCAGUGUCUAAUUUGGGAUUUCUAGUUCCCUCAUAUUACUAGAUGGCGACUCCAAUAAAAUAUUCAUUUCCCCCAAUCAAAAAAAAAAAUCUUUUUGUUAAAUAAACAAAAAAGCGGAGCCGUCGCCCGACGUCGUGUAUCGAUAGAAUGGCGACUCCGCUGGGGACCUAGGGUUGAACCAACUACUUGUGUGUGCUUUUCAUUUGUUUUUUUAUUAUUGUUAUUUAUUUUUUGAGCAUUUAUUUUAUUUGCACUAUUUAUUUUAUGCAAUAUCAAUUGUAAAUCAUUUCAUUUUUUAAUUACACAUGCAUGCAUGUUAUUUAUUUGUGUAUUCACACACUUCAGUGAACCCAUAAAAGCUCUGGACCCGAGCUCGUCCUUUUUAAGAUUAGAAAAGAAAGAUUCAGGUGGCAAGUGUGACUUAUGUCCACUGAUGCUCAUUUGGACUUUCGCUUGGAUUGUAACUCACCCUAUACAACGGGUAUUGUGGAAUUUUCUUCCCAUACUCAUGUUGUAUAAGGUUAAGAGGCCGACUACCCCAUGGGUAAUUCGGGCAAUCUAAGAACCAAAAAAUAUCUUUAGGGAUAGACUAAAUUGAGCCAAAUCUUAUGAGCUAGAUCCUAUCAAUUAGAUAUACCUUUUAGGACACAAACAAAUGUCAAUGCAUUAACAUACAUGUUUAUAUACAUUUCAUAUUCUCAUUAAAUCUCCACCGAUCCUUAUAGGAAGUGUGAGAAAAAAAACAUUACUAUUGAGGAAUUUUUGACCAGAUCAGAAUUGAACCAACAUGAUGAAGGGGAUUGUUUGCCAUCAGAAUAUAGCAUCAUAUUUCUCCCCUAAAUCGGUUCAAGUCCCUGUAGGUUUGGAGUCCUCAGUGAGAACUUUCUUAAGAGAAUCUGAUCUGGUCUGUUCCUCGUCAUAAGUUUAAAAAAAAAAAAAAUUUGAAACCAAUAACACACAUGCAUAAACCAUAUGGCAUUUUUGCAUCCAUUUGUGCAUUUCAUUUAGUUUACUUGCAUUCACUCAGGUUGAAAUAUAGGUCCCCCAAAAGGCCGUAAAAUUCAUUACACUCGACAACGAAGGAAGAUAAUGGAGAACGAAGAAAGGGCACACCUAGAGGCUCAUUAUCAAAGAGAGUUGGAGAACAUGAAAAAUGAUAUAGCACGACUUACAAGUCUACUCGAGCAGACCCUAGUAUCCAAGUCUGGGGAAGGUACCUCUACUCAGCCGGCAGUUGCAACUCCAUCUAUAUCUAUGCCAUCAGCUCCCUUUGUAUUCCCGCCUCAAAAUUUAGGGGCAAAUCCCUCUUCAUUUGAACAACAGUUCACUGCCAAUGUUCCACCAGCACAAGUGCCAGUUACUAUAAACCUGGCAACUGAUGACCCACAAAGGAUGAAAUUCUCUGAAAAUGUCGAUUAUGAUAAAUUGACCGCUCUAGAAGAGAGAUUGAAGGCAGUAGAAGGGGCAGACUUAUAUGAUCCUGUUUAUGCUGCAGAAAUGUGUUUAGUUCCAAAUGUAGUUGUACCCAGAAAAUUUAGGGUACCAGAAUUCAUCAAGUAUACUGGAACUGAAUGCCCAGUCACUCAUCUUAAAUCUUAUUGCAAUAAGAUGGCAGAAGUAGUGAAUGAUGAGAAACUUCUCAUCCAUUUCUUUCAAGACAGUCUUUCUGGAUCGGCAUUAAGCUGGUAUACAAGGCUGGAUAACACCAAGAUCAGAAAGUGGAAAGAUUUGGUAAAAGCCUUUGUGGAGCAGUAUAAAUUCAACAUGGAGGUAGCCCCGGACAGGUCAAGCUUGUUAGUCAUGGAAAAGGGCAGCAAAGAGACUGUAAGAGAAUACGCUUUGAGAUGGCGUGAAAAAGCAUCUCAUGUACAACCCUCUUUGUUAGAAAAAGAAAUGGUCACUCUUUUUUCUAACACUUUUAAAUCUCCCUACUUUGAACACCUGGUGGGUAGUUCGCUCAGCAUUUCUAUGAUGCUGUAACUAUCGCUGAGAGAAUAGAACAAGCGAUAAGAGCGGGGAGAAUGUCAGAGCCUACUGAGAAGAAAGGCUUUAUUGGGAAAAAGAAGGAUUCUGAGGUGAACAAUGUGGAAGGAGUGUAUAAGGGUAAGAAAACAAAUUACCACCAUUAUAACUUCCAAAUGCCUACCCAACAAGUUGCAAGUGUAAACUUCACUAAACCUUUCCCUACCAACCAACAAAACCAACCACUGACCAACAAAGUAACCAGAUCGUUAAUCCUCCAAGAAGGAAUUUUCAAAGAACCCAAGAACGACUGCCACCAUUACCACUUCCUUUGGGAAAUGUACUCAAAGUUGUUGAGUAUUGGGCAAGUAGCUCCCGUUCCCUUAACCCCACUGCAACCUCCAUACCCAAAUUGGUAUAAGCCAGAUCUGAAAUGCGAGUAUCAUGCUGGCGUGGCAGGGCAUAACAUUGAAAGUUGUAAUGCAUUUAAAAACAAGCUUCUACAAUUGAUAAAAGCUGGAUGGAUAACUUUUGAUGAUUCACCGAAUGUAAAUUCCAAUCCUUUGCCCAAUCAUGCCACAAGCAGUGGAGGAGUGAAUGCUGUAGGAAUGGAGGGUAAGAAGGAAAGAGUUUUGAAGGUUUCCAUGGAAAGACUGUAUGGUAUGUUGGUACAGUCUGGUUAUUUAUCUGAGUUUGAACCAGUGAUGAAUGAAAAUAACUACUGUAAGUUUCAUGGCAAGGUGGGACAUCACAUUGAUGAUUGUGAAGAAUUUCACCAAGAAGUGAAAAGGAUGCUGACUUUCGGCAUGUUAAGGAUAGAGAGUGAAGAAGAGAGUAGUGAAGUUGGGAUGAUAGGCCGUCAGGAGACAAAAAUGGAAGUUUGUAGACUCCAACCAACUGUGGGUGGUCCACCAAAACUAAUCCUGACCAAGCCUGUAUGCACAAAUAGUGAAAGUUAUGGCUCAAUGCCUUACAAUUAUGGGUAUUCUUUCAACAUUAAGAACCCUACUCCCAUCUUUCAUCCUGAAAUCGGUGGUUUAACUCGAAGUGGUCGGUGUUUUACACCAGAAGAAUUAGAAAGGCAGAGGAAAGCCAAAGGAAAAGAGAUAGUUGAUGCUUUUAAAGGCAUGGAAGUGAACAAGCCUAUAAGUGAAGACGAGUCUAAUGAGUUUCUGAAGUUGAUGAAGCAUAGUGAGUAUAGUGUGGUGGAUCAAUUGAAGAAAACUCCUGCUAGAAUCUCUUUAAUGUCACUUAUCUUGAGUUCUGAGUUACACCGUAAAGCAUUGCAAAAGGUGUUGAAUGAAGCAUAUGUGCCACAGGAUAUUACUCAAGAUACAAUGGAACAUUUGGUGGGAAGAAUUCAAGCCUCUAAUUACUUAUACUUCACAGAAGAUGAGCUAGACUCGGAAGGGACUGGGCAUAACAAGCCUUUGUACAUCACCGUGAAAUGUAAAGACUAUUUGAUCGGCAAAGUGCUUGUGGAUAAUGGUUCAGCGUUGAAUGUGCUACCAAGGCAUAUAUAGAUGAGAUGCCAAUUGAUGCUACUUACAUGAGACCAAGCACAAUAACAGCUAGAGCAUAUGAUGGUUCUCCUAGAAGGUGAUAGGGGCCAUUGACAUUGAAUUGUUUAUAGGGCCUCAGAUGUUUUUAUAACCUUACAAGUGAUGGACAUCCAUCCUUCGUAUAGUAUGUUAUUGGAAGGCCAUGGAUACAUGCCGCUGGGGCUGUGACAUCAUCUCUACACCAAUGUUUGAAGUACAUUAUCAAUGGUACUCUAGUGAAAGUUAAGGCAGAAGAAACCUUAUCCACGAUAAGGAAUGUGUCGGUCCCUUAUAUUGAAGCAGAAGAUUGCAAAGAUGGAAAUCUCCAUGCUUUCGAGAUUGUGAACACUGAAUGGGUACCAGAGAAUACAUGGUGUUAAGAAGACCAAUUAUUUCUGAUACUGCCAGAAUGAUAGCUAAAUACCUUUUGAAAUAUGGGCUACCAUUCUAGAAUGAUCCAAUUGCUGGAAAUCUUAAGAGAGUCAACAUAAUGAAAAUUAAGGCUGCUGAUCAGAAUUUUGGGCUUGGCUUCAAGCCUAAGAAAGAGGAUUGUUGCUACCCAAUUUUUGACCCAUGUUUUGAUAAAUUUUCAAAAAAAAAAAAAUAAUAAAAAAAUAAGGGUUUACAUGUGGCGAUAACAUAGAGCAUCAGGGCUAAUAUUAAGGGAGCAAUAUGUUUAGGAGAUAAUUACUGAAUCAUAUAUAAUUACUGCAAUAUAAAAUACCAUAGAUAUAUGAUUUGAUUUGUGCUUGUUAGGGAAAAUAAUCACUGCAAUAUAAAAUACCAUAUAUAUGGGAUUUGUUGGUGCUGAUUAUAGAAGACAAUCUCUGCAAUAAGUAUUGCAAUAUUUCCUUAAAUAACACGUGUAGAGAUUUUCUGUAUAAAUGAACAUCCAGUCAUAAUAAAAGAGAGGAGGAGAAAAUUUAGAAGGGGAGCAAUUUUAAAAAACAAAAAAAAAGGGGCAAGCCACAAAAGAGAAAACCUAUUUUUUUUCCUCCUGGCCGAAGCCAAGCCGUGCCUCCACCUUUGGCCUUGCGAUUUUGUUUUUUUUUUUACACAGAGACCAACCCCUCUCCCUUGGAAACCGACCAAAACCAGAUCCCCCUUAGCUGCCACUUUCUCCCCUUGGCCAUUUCAUUUUCCCUCUUCAGCCGACCAUUAGAGCAGCAGCCCCUCUCCUUUUGCAACCAAAACCAAAUCUCCUCCCUCACUUCUUCUUCUUCUCCCAGACCCACAGACACUCGGACACAAGCCUCUUUUCCCCUGUCUCAGCCGACUUAGAGCAUCCGGCCACCACCUCCUCAUCUCUCUCUAUCAGUUGCAGCCCCUUCGCUAGACCUUAAUACCCCAGCCUGCAACCACCGUAAACACCAUUUACAAGCCUUCCCUCUCUGUCAACACAGCCCACAUAGCCCCCAGAAACGACUCUCCACUCAUCUUUUUUUUUCCCCUCAGUUCAACCCCGCUUGAUAACAUUCACUACCAGAAAAUCGCUAAAUACCAACGGACAUACCGACGGAAUUUUUUCUGUCGGUAUUUUUCGGCCGAAAUCACCGACGGACAAUAUUCGUCGGUAAUUCAGUCGGUCAUUACCGACGAACUCCGUCCGUCGGUAAUUACCGACCGAAUUACCGACCGAAAAUUCAGAAUUAAUGAAAAAAGGGCGGGCAGUGGCGCGGAGGUUUUGGCGGGUGAUGUUUCCGACGGAAUCACCGACGGAAUUAAAAACUGGGGCCCGUACGCGUGAUGGGACCUAUUCACCGUCAAAAAAUACCGACGGAAUCACCGACGGAUUUGAAAUGCCAGAUCCGUACCGGUGAUGUGACGGGUGCACCGUUAAAAAUACCGACGGAAUCACCGAGGGAUUUGAAUAGCAGGUCCGUGCGGUGACGUGUCGAUUGCCCGUUAGAAUUACCGACGGUUUGCCGACGGAUUCACCGACGGAAUCCGUCGGUAAGUCCGUCGGCAAAAGUGAAUAUAUGGCACUCUGCCGACACUCUCCUCCCCCAUUUCUCCUUCUUCUUCCUAAUCCUAACCCUCCCCAUCUGCAAAAUAACCAGCCCCCCCUCGCCCCAAAACAAAAAUUUCCUCAUCUCAGCACAACAAGUUGUUUUGUUUUGUGGUCACAGCAUCCGUGUUCUGAUUUACCGACGGAUUUUAUCAUUUUUUGUAAGUAAUUCUAUCUUUUAAAAUUUUAACAUUUAAAUGUCAAUUUUAUUGUUUUUUUAGUAUAUGUAUUAUUUUUUUUUAGUAGAUGUACAUGUUUUAUUGUUAUUUCUCAAACAAACUUGUAGUAUAUGAAUGUAUAAUUUUAUACUUGUUAUGGUUUGUUUUAGAUUUUGUAAGAUUGUAUUUGUUUGAAAAUUGUUAAAACUUAAUUUGUAGAAUUACCGAAUUACAUGUUAUGUUUUGAAAUAAUUAAGAGCUUGCUUAAUUAAUGGGUCCUUUUUAUAGAGGUUCGAUAGAAGUCAUGGAUGAUCGUUCAUGGAUGUAUCUAGAUUCACCCCAAGGAUUGCGGAGGAUGGAUUAUUGUAACGGGGUUCAGGGUUUUAUUAAUUUCGCAACAUCUAUUCCCAGAAAUUUUACUGGAGGCGGUAUUAGGUGUCCAUGCAGGAAGUGUCAAAAUAAAAAGUAUCUGCAUCCAGAUGUUGUAAUGAUGCAUCUUCUACACAAAGGGUUUGUGGAGGAUUACGAGUGUUGGUAUGCACAUGGAGAGGUAUUUGUUAGUAAUAGGAGAAUGGGAGAAACGGUGGUUGGGUCAACUUCUAGUGCUAGCAACGUGCAUGAAGCGGCAAAUGACAACACUAAUCCUUACAGAAACAUGGUUAUGGAUGCAAUGAGAAUGAAUCAAGAUAAUGUCAAUCAAUGUCCAAUCGUAGAAGAAGAACCUAAUGCAGAGGCAGCUAGGUUUUUUGAUUUGUUGAAAGAUUCUGACGAACCAUUAUGGGAUGGCUGCACAAACCACAGUAAAUUAUCGGCUGUGGCACAGGUGUUCACCAUCAAGUCAGAUCACGGGUUGAGUGAGGCCGGGUAUGACAAAAUUAUUGAUUGGGCAAGAAGCAUUUUACCAGAAGGGAACAGGCUCAAAGAGAACUUCUAUGCUGCGAAGUCCAUGAUGAAACCCCUCGGUUUAGGAUACCAGAAAAUUGACAUGUGCCCUAACUUCUGCAUGUUAUACUACCUUGAAAAUGCUGUGAUGACCGAGUGCAUGACAUGCGGGCAUUCCCGUUACAAACCCAGAACUGGCAGGGGGAAGACUCUAGUGGCAUAUAAAAAACUUAGAUAUUUCCCGAUCACACCUAGACUGCAGAGGUUAUUUAUGUCACCAAGGACUGCUGAGCACAUGACAUGGCACCAAACACACGAUGUCGUUGAUGGUGUGAUGGUGCAUCCUUCUGACGGCGAAGCGUGGAAACGCUUUAACAGUGUUCAUCCUGACUUUUCUGCUGAAUCAAGGAAUGUUCGACUUGGGUUGUGUACAGACGGGUUCAACCCAUUUGGGUCAUUUGCUGCUCCCUAUUCUUGUUGGCCGGUCAUUCUCACAGUUUAUAACUUGCCACCGGGAAUGUGUAUGAGGCCGGAGUUCAUGUUUCUAUCUACUGUCAUACCCGGUCCAAGCAGCCCGGGGCGGAAUAUAGAUGUUUGUCUUCGACCGUUGAUAGAUGAGCUGGCGCAGUUGUGGUCCUCCGGAUCUCUGACUUAUGAUAUAUCGAGGAAACAAAAUUUCCUUAUGAGGGCGGCUUUGAUGUGGACUAUCAGUGAUUUUCCAGCUUAUGGAAUGCUUUCUGGUUGGAGCACGCAUGGGAAACUCGCAUGUCCAUACUGCAUGGAAAACAACAAGGCAUUCACGCUAGCAAACGGAGGUAAAGCUUCUUUUUUUACUGUCACCGUCGCUUCUUGCCACUUAAUCACAGGUUCAGAAAGAACAGAAAAGAUUUCUUUGUUGGUAGAGUUGAAAAAGAUGUUGCAUCCCCGCGUCUUUCUGGUGAAGAAUUGCAUCAUGUUGUAUCAGAGUACGGUGACAUUGUGUUUGGCCUUCAAUCAGGUAAGCAAAAGUUUCCUGGUUUUGGUUUGACCCAUAAUUGGGUAAAGCGAAGUAUCUUUUGGGAGCUUCCGUAUUGGAAGACUAAUCUUCUCCGCCAUAACCUUGACGUCAUGCACAUCGAAAAGAACGUGUUUGAGAAUAUUUUCAACACCGUCAUGGAUGUGAAGGGGAAGACAAAGGACAACAUGAAGGCUAGAUUGGAUAUAGCUUUAUACUGUAACCGUAAAAAUAUGGAGUUGGUUUAUGACGAGUCACGGGUUGCAAAACCAAGGGCAAGCUUCGUGUUAGAGAAAAACGCACAACUGCUAGUCUACAAAUGGCUUAAGAGUCUGCGUUUCCCGGAUGGACAUGCAUCGAACAUAUCAAGGCUUGUUAACAUAGAGGACUGCAGAUUGUAUGGAAUGAAGAGCCAUGACUGCCACGUGUUUAUGCAAACACUCAUCCCAUUAGCUUUUCGUGAUUUGUUGCCAAAGGGAAUAUGGGAUGCACUAACGGAGAUCAGUCAUUUCUUCAGAGAUAUAUGCUCCAGCAAGAUGAAUGUUGAGCACAUUGAGAUGCUUCAAACGAAUAUCAUCGAGACACUAUGCAAACUUGAGAUGAUAUUCCCUCCUUCAUUUUUUGACUCAAUGGAGCAUCUCCCUAUACAUCUACCGUUCGAGGCAAAAGCUGGAGGACCGGUCCAGUAUAGAUGGAUGUACCCAUUCGAACGGUGAGAUAUUACAGUUGCAAUGGAAUUCAUAUCUUAAAGUAUUUUCUAUGUUUUUCUUAUUUGAAAAUACUUGAAUUGUACUUCAAUGCAGGUACUUGUUUAAUCUAAAAAAAAAGGUUAAGAACAAGGCGCAUGUUGAGGCUUCGAUAUCUGAGGCCUAUAUUGUUGAAGAGAUAUCAACAUUUAUCUCGUACUAUUUCGAACCUCAUCUGAGAACAAGAAUCAAUCGCGUUCCACGGCAUGACGAUGGCGGUGAAGUGCCUUCCAGUGGGAACUUGUCAAUAUUCUCCAAUACUGGACGACCCACACCUAAAAAUGCCGUAAGAGGAAGAUAUUUGUCGGAAAUAGAAUUCAAACAAGCACACAACUAUGUUCUAUUUAACUGUGAUGAGCUGAGACCAUUUAUUCAGUAAGUCUAUAUAUGUGUAAUAGUAAUUAAACUUUGUCAGUAAUAUACUGUUAAUUAUAUAUUGUAAUAUCAUACACUCAUUAUCACUUGCAGGCAACAUCGACAAUAUUUGCUCUCCAAUAACUCGCAGCUGACCGAAUCCCAGAUCUUUCAAUUACAAGAUGAACAAUUUGCCACAUGGUUCAGAACACAUGUAAGCACUAUCACAAACUCAUUCUAACGUAUGCAUGUCAUUACGAGAUUCUCGUUCAUUUACCGUGUAUUGAUGUACAUUUAAUUACAUAUAUUUACAAGGUUUAUCAAAUGGGAAGGAGUGCGCCCAAGUCAUUGUCUUCACUAAGCCUCGGCCCUGAAAGAAAAGUUAAGUGCUACAACGGGUAUUUUGUCAAUGGAUAUGUUUUCCAUACUGAAGAAUACGGGCAAGGAAGAAAGACAUACAACUGCGGUGUUUGUGUUAAGGGAUCCACAAGUAGCCAGUUAGAAGUUGACUACUAUGGUAGAUUAGAAGAGGUCGUCGAACUGCAAUAUCAUAGCGAGCAGAAUAAAGUGUUUUUAUUCAAAUGCUAUUGGUAUGACACGACGGACAGAGGAAUCAGAGUUGAUCCGCACCAUGGUCUGGUCGAAAUCAACUCAAAAGCUAGACUCCGCAACAUAAACGAUGUCUUUGUUUUCGCAAAGCAAUGUCAACAAGUUUAUUACACAUACACCCCUUCAUUUAGAAAGGAUCGUUCAAGAGUUGAUUGGUUGUCCGUUUUAAAAACGAAACCACGGGGUCGUGUCGAGGUUGUUCAGGAUGAGAACGAAGACACAAGUGUGCGAGAUGAAGUCUUUCAAGUUCGUGAGUUGGUUGAACCAUAUCGAGUUGCUCCUUCGAUUGAAUUGGAAGAAAAUUCAAAUUUUCGAGUUCUCGAUGAUAGUCUUGUUGAUAUUGACGGAGAGGAGUUGAAUGUUGUUCUCAGCUCUAGCGGACAAGCAAAUGUCGAUGAAGAAGAUGAUAUCCAUAUUGAAGAUUGCGAUGAAGAUGAUGACAAUUCAAUUGAGGAAGAAGAAGAAAAUUCCGACUAAUUAUGAAAAUGAAGCCCUAUGUAAAAACAUUUGUCUCAUGUAAUUUAGAUUAUUGAUGAUGUAUUUUGUAAAACAAAAUAUUUUGUUUAAGCAAUGUGGUUUUGUUUUAUGUGAUGGACAGUUUAUCAGUUAAGUUUUGCAGGAAGGUAAACAGGCAAUACAAAGACAACCUUUCCUGCAUAAUGCAAUACCGACGUCCAUGCCGACGGACUCACCGUCCGUCGGUAUCUCACAGAGAGUUCGAAAAUAUUUACAACAAAAUGCCACAAUGACCGACGGCCAUGCCGACGGAAUAACAUCCGUCGGCAUCUCACAGUAAGCUCGAAAACAUAAAACCACCAUCGACGGUAUUACCGACGGCGUAGCUCCGUCGGUAAUUUGUCGGUUACCCAUUUUACCGACAGAAUUACCGACGGACCGCGCGUUUCCCAAAGUGCGUUAAUUAAUGCGCCCCUGAACUUGUCAGAUUACCGACGGAAUCACCGACGGACUUCGAAAAUUUUGGAGGGCUUUUAAAAAUUCGGGGCGAAAUUCGAAAAAUACCGACGGAAUUUUGACCUUUUACCGACGGAUUUGUAACCUGUUACCGACGGAUGUUAAUUCCGUCGGGGAGUCCGUCUGUAAAAUUGACCUAUAAGUUCCACCCCCGCCACUUCGCCUCAUUUUUUCUUCUUCUCCCCGCCGCUUCUUCUCUUCUCCUGCGUUUUUCAGCCUAGAUUUUUCAUUUUUUCCCCCUCAAUCCUUAAACACUUUCACCUUUAAUCUCUAGCAAGAUUUGGUGUUGUAAAUCUUCAUUAUAUUAAAAGGUAUGUGUUUUUUUUCUAAUUUAUUUUAUUUUAUUUUUAGUUGUUUUUAUUUUUGUUGUGUUGGUGUUUUUUGUUGCAAUGUAGAUAAAGUUUUGAAUUUGACACAUUAUUAAGGUAUGUAUAUUUCGUUCCUUUUUUUUUUGAAUAUUUUUUGAAUUUGUUGAAUAUUUGUUAAUUUAAUUGUUGAAUAAUUGAAUUUAAUUGUUGAAUUUCUUGAAUAUUUUUUGUUGUUGUGUUGUUAGAAUUUUUAUUAGGUAAUUUAACUUAGAAUUAGUUAAAGUUGAAUUUUUUGAAUAUUUUUUGAAUUUUUUGAAUUUGUUGAAUAUUUGUUAAUUUAAUUGUUGAAUAAUUGAAUUUAAUUGUUGGAUUUAUUGAAUAUUUUUUGUUGUUGUGUUGUUAGAAUUGUUAUUAGUUAAUUUAACUUAGAAUUAGUUAAAGUUGAAUUUUUUGAAUAUUUUUUGAAUUUGUUGAAUAUUUGUUAAUUUAAUUGUUGAAUAAUUGAAUUUAAUUGUUGGAUUUAAUUGAAUAUUUUUUGUUGUUGUGUUGUUAGAAAUGUUAUUAGGUAAUUUAACUUAGAAUUAGUUAAAGUUGAAUUUUUUGAAUAUUUUUUGAAUUUGUUGAAUAUUUGUUAAUUUAAUUGUUGAAUAAUUGAAUUUAAUUGUUGGAUUUAUUGAAUAUUUUUUGUUGUUGUGUUGUUAGAAUUGUUAUUAGGUAAUUUAACUUAGAAUUAGUUAAAGUUGAAUUUUUUGAAUAUUUUUUGAAUUUGUUGAAUAUUUGUUAAUUUAAUUGUUGAUAAUGAAUUUAAUUGUUGGAUUUAUUGAAUAUUUUUUGUUGUUGUGUUGUUAGAAUUGUUAUUAGGUAAUUUAACUUAGAAUUAGUUAAAGUUGAAUUUUUUGAAUAUUUUUUGAAUUUGUUGAAUUUGUUAAUUUAAUUGUUGAAUAAUUGAAUUUAAUUGUUGGAUUUAUUGAAUAUUUUUUUUGUUUGUGUUGUUAGAAUUGUUAUUAGUUAAUUUAACUUAGAAUUAGUUAAAGUUGAAUUUUUGAAUUUUUUGAAUUUUUUGAAUUUGUUGAAUUGUAAUUGUUAAUUUGUUGAAGUAUAAUUUGUUGAAUUUAUUGAAUUUAUUUUUUGUUAUAUUUUUUAUUGUUUUGAAUAUAAUUAUUGAUUAAUUUGUGAAUUGUAAUUGUUAACGUUGAAUUUAUCUUAGGAUUAAUAGUUGAAUAUGUUGGAAUAAUUAGUAUAGAUUGGUUCGAUUGGUUGUGGCUAUUGUUAAUAUUUGCAGGUUUGUGGAUUUGGGUAGUAUCUUUUUUAACUUUUGAAUUUUAUUUUACAAUUAUUAAUAUAAAAUUGUUUAGAUGCGCAAAAUGAAAACCAGAGCUGGUCGUCAAGUCGAAUCAAGUUCGUCUAGCAGCGAUGAUGAUGUUUCCUUAGGUGCCUCUCAAAAAGAGGCACCUACACCACCUGCGCCGUCAACCGAUGCUGCCUCUUCCAGCAAUGUUUCACAUCGCAGACGCGGCAUGCCUUCGUAGCGGAAUCAAUUUACCCGCCAGUUCGAGGCACAGUGGAAGGACGAUCUUUCAAUGUAAGUUUGUUAAUGUUUUAGUUUUUUUUAUAUAAAAAAAACAAAUUUAAAACAUAAUUUAUGAAGUAAUCACAAAUUAAUUUCAUUUCUUUUCAGGUUCACAAACAUUGAGGCCGCCCGAUUAAUAUCAUCGGCGUUUAAAGCGUCGAUGGAGAUUCCAUUGUUUCAAUGGAGUCAGAUAUCCAGACAUCCUGAAUGGAUGCCUCAAAUCAAUGCAUGGUUUCGUAGAUUUGAGGUUCGUGUUAAUAUAUAAUUUUCAGCUUAUUUGUAAUUAUAAAUUCAUGUUAUAAUUGUAAAUAAAUUAUUAACAUUUUAAAAAAUUAUUUUUUUAUAUACAGCAUCGAUUCUGCUGGGACGAUGAACAUGACAGUGUUGUGAGGAGGGUGUGGGAAAAUCACGCGGCAAUUAGGUAACAUCGAAAACAAUACGACUUUUUUUUACAUAAUUAUUUAUGUUUUGAAAUGUAAUUUUUUCGUGCGUGAAUUAGGUUGCGUGAUUUUUGGUAUGACGCCCAGAAAAAAGCAAAAAAAACAGCGAGGGAUAAGGGGUUACAAGGCUGGAACGAUGUUGCGGUUUGGAGGGAUUUCAAACCAAUAUACAUCCCGGAAGAUAUAUGGCCGCACUAUCUUCAGCACGUGACGUCUGAGCGGUUCACUCGACGCUCACAGUCCGGUGCCGGCAACCGGAAUCGGCAAAUUCAUGGCUCGGUUACAACGCACACCGGCGGCUCCGUUCCGUUUGCUGCACAUGCAAAACGGAUGGUAAGAUUAAUUUAAAUGAAAUAUAUCGUUCAAUUAAUUUGUUGUUAAUACAUUUUUUUCAUUAUAUAUAGGCUACGUCUCUUGGACGUGAGCCGAGCCCUAUGGAGCUGUUUGUGGAGACGCACGUGCGGAGUCAUGACCGCCAAAAGGGGACGCAACAGUUCGUUGACAACCGUGCUCAAUAGUUUGUGGUGUGUUUGUUUAACCAUUUUAUUUUGUAAGUUAUUAUUAUGUUUAUUGAAUUGAAUAUGUUUUUUUUUUUUUCAGGAGACCUAUAAUAAUCGGUUGAGGGAGAGAUACGGGGAUGAUCCUUCGACCCAUCCGGAAUUCGAUCCGGAUUUGUGGAUGGAGGCUGGAUCGUCAGGUGGACCCGAUAAAAAUCGGGUUUACGGGCUCUCCAACACUACCGCUGCCAAGUUGCGGUCGACCGGUACUGCUUCAACCGGUGGGAGCUCCCAAUCUGUAUCGAGCUCCCAAUCUAAGGAGUUUGUGGCCUUGCAGCAAAGGUGCGACCACCUAUCAGAGGCGUACACACAACUCAAAGAAGAGCAAAGAUUGGAACGAACAACGCAGAGCAGAGUCUGAACAACAAAGAGCGGCCUAUGAAGAGCUUCGUCAAAUGGUCAUGAACAUGACACAAGCGGAACAUGUGCGCCUAAUCCUUUUUGGCCGCCUAACCCCCACCCUCCUCCUCCUCCUCCUCCUCCUCCUCCUCCACCUUUAUAUUAAUUGUUUUUUUUUUAAACACAUUCAUUUUGUAAUGAAUAUUAUUUAACUUUGAGUUUUUGUUGCUUAAUAUAAUUUUAUUUGCAUAAUUGGUUUGUAUUACUAUUAAUUUAUAUUAUUUUUUCUAAUAAUUAAAAAAAAAAAUUACACAGGGAUUUACCGACGGAAUAAAUCCGUCGGCAUUGGACAGUGUCUGAGGUAUGCCAUCCCAUCACCGACAUACUCACCGACGGAAAUAAUCCGUCGGUAUAAAAAUACCGACGAAUUUACAGACGGAUUUAUUCGGUCGGUAUGAAAUAUCACCGACACUUUUGCCGACGGAGUUAGUCCGUCGGUAUUUACAUAACACCGACGGAAUGUAUUCCGUCGGUUAUUCCAAGCGGGAAACUUUUUUUUUGGCGCGCACAGGCCGUCGGUAAAACCGUCGGUAAAUGUGUUUUUUUUUAUUACCGAUGGAUAUAGCGACGGAAUGUGGAAUCACCGACAAAAGGUAUUCCGACAGGAGUAUUCCGUCGGUAAUAUAGUCGGUAAAUAAUUUACCGACGAACGUUCUGUCAAACACCGACGGAAAAUUUCCGUCGGUAAAACUGUGAAAUCUUGUAGUGGAAUCUCUGAAAUACCAGUUAGGUUUCUUAGUGACCAAAAUACUAGGUGGUGACUCCAAAGAACCAAAUCAAGCAAAAACGCAUAACGAGAAAAAUCGCCAUCGGAAGCCGCGCGGGUGACGUGCUUGUUUGAUCAAAAUUUAAUCAACAAUGCUUGUUUGAUCAUGAUAUUGUGUUGUUUUCCUUUUUCAACUUUUUAAAUCGAGGUUCCAAAUGUCAAUGGGAUUUUAUCUUUUUUUUUUUAGCCAAACUUUUCCCUUUAAUGAGAUCAUGCCUUUUCAAAAGUUCAUCUUGGUGGUUUUACACAUCACUUUCUUUUUCAAAGCGAAUCUUCCAUAACUACACCUGCACUUUACACUGAGAAUGAAUGGCCGGACUUUAAAGAAUCCAUAUUAGUUAUAGAGGAGGAGGAAUGAUAGGAAAAUAACAUUAGGGGAUUCACAAAAAUUAAUAACAUGAACAAGCUUGAAAACCUGCUAGAGAGGAGCUUGAAACCAUAGAUGUGGGUGAUGAAGAAAUCAAGAGAGAGUUGAAGAUACGGACUUUGAUCACCCUUAAAAAAAGAGAAGAGUUAUGUAGAUGUUUUUGCUUGGUCCUAUAAGGAUAUGCCUGGUUUGUAUAGGGUACCACUAGUAGAAGGAUGGAAGUUGGUUAAGCAAAGGUUGAGAAGGACUAAUCCGAAUAAAGGCAGAAAUUGAAAAACAGUGGAACGCCGAUUUUCUAGAAGUAGUCAAGUAUCUGCGAGUGUGUCCAACAUAGUGGUAGUAUCUAAAAAGGAAGAUAAAAUCAGAGUUUUUAUGGACUUUAGAGAUUUAAAUCGGACUAGCCCUAAAGACAAUUUUGUCUACCACACAUAGAUAUGUUUGACAAUGUAGCACGUAGCUCCACAUAUUCCUUUAUGGAUGGAUUUUUGGGCUACAAUCAGAUAAAAAUGACUUGAGGAUAAUGAGAAGAAACCUUUGUAACACCAUGAGGAACCUUUUACUAUAAAGUCAUGCCAUUUGGGUUAAAGAACAUUGGGGCCACCUACCAAAGGGCCAUGGUAACUUUAUUACACAACAUGAUGCAAAAAGAGGGUUAAAGUAAACGUGGAUGACAUGAUCUAGAGAGGGAGAGAAUCAUGUCCAAAUAUUGAAGGAAUUAUUUGAAAAAACUAAGGAGGUACAAAGUUGAGGCUUAACCAUGCAAGGUGUUUAUUCGGGGUGAAAUCUAGGAAGUUGGGAUUUAUGAUGAGUGACAAAUGGAUAGAAGUGGACCUUGAUUAAGUAAAGGCUAUUCAAUCUAUGCCAACUCCCAAUACUAAGAAGGAUGUAAGGAGGUUAUUGGGAAGGUUGAAUUACAUUGCUCGGUUUAUAUCCCAAUUAACCAUGACUUAUGACAUCAUCUUCAAUUGUUAAGGAAGAAGAAUCUUGGAAUUUGGAAUAAGAGUGUGAAGAAGCUUUCGCAAAAAUCAAGCAAUACCUACCGAAUCCACCCCUAUCUAUCAAGCUAAAUUGCAAAAUGGCAAGUUCUACUAGCUGAGUACGACAUAGUAUAAAUGACAAGGAAAGCCAUGAAUGUCAUCACCAAUCACCUAGCUGACCAUGCUGUGGAAGAUUUUGAGCCGUUAAAAUUUGAUUUUUCUGAUAAAGAUGUGCUUUCAGUUGAGGAAGGGAAAUCAGAUUGGUGGAUUAUGUACUUUGAUGGUGUUGUGGUAACGAAGUGGGGGCAGUGCUAAUCUCUCUUGAUAAGAAACAUUAUCCGGUUUCAGUUAAGUCGCAGUUUGGGUGCAAUAAUAACAUAGGAGUAUGAAGCUUGCAUUCUCAUUUUAGAGGUGGCAUUGGAGCAGAAUAUUAGAAAGAUAGAUAUGUAUGGAGACUCGAUUUUGAUUAUUACUAAGAGAAAGGAAAAUGGCAAACCAAGGAUGAGAAGUUAAGACCUUACUAAGAAUACAUGUCUAAAUUGGCUAGAGAAUUUAAGGAAAUAAAGUUCACCCAUCUAGAAAAGGAAAGAAACCAUUCUAACGCUUUGGUCACGCCAGCUUCUAUGGCUAGAAUAGACUUUGGGCACAAGGUACAACCGGUACACAUUGAUAUAAGAAAUAACUUAGCUCAUUGUUGCUCCGUUGAAAGAGAAAUAGAUGGAAACCCUUGGUACUAUGAUAUCAAGAAUUUCAUCCAAAACCAGACAUAUCCCAUGGGGGCAUCCAAAAUCAACAAGAAGACUUUGAGGAGAUUGACAAUGGAUUUUUAUCUUGGUGGGGAAACUUUGUAUAAGAAAUCAUAUGACGGAACUUUGUUGAGAUAUUUGGAUGACGUAGAGGCAAAAGGUGUUAAAGAAAUUUAUGGAAAGAGAUUUGAUAUGUCGAUAUGGUCCACUAGAAAAUAUUAUAACUAAUAAUGCGCAUAACUUCAAUAGCAAGAUGAUAAUAGAACUCUGCGCUAAAUGAAAAAUUAAGCAUUCCAAUUCCUCGCCAUAUAGGCCAAAGAUGAAUGGUCCAAAAAUGUCAAGAAGAUCAUUUAGAAGAUGGUAGUCACUUACAAGGAUUGGCAUGAGAUGUUGCCAUUUGCCCUUCACGCAUACCGCACCAUAAUCUGAACUUCAACAGGAGCCACCUCGUACACUUUGGUAUAUGGAAUGGAGGCGGUGAUGCCUUUAGAAGUGAAAACCCCCUUAUUAAAAAUAUUGGUAGACUUUGAGUUUAAAAGAGUUGGACUGGGUAAAAGUUAGAUAUGAAUAGUUGAAUCUGAUCAGUGAAAAGAGGAUAGCUGCAAUUUGUCAUCAUCACGGAUGGCCAAAUCAUAUGAUAAGAAGCUUCGACCUCGAGGAUUCCAUAAAGGAGAUCUUGUACUGAAGAAAAUAUAGCCUUUAUCAGGAGAAGAUCAGAGUAAAUGGGAAGCAAACAAUAAGGGCCCUUACAUGGUGAUUAGUACUUAAAAGUGCAUAUUUAUCAAGGUUUUGUAUCAUCAUUUUGCACUUAAAGUAUCAAUAACUCCUUAAUUAAAGCAUGUUUUAUAAUAACAAGUCUAAUACUAUAAAAUGCCCUAAUAUAUGGUAAAUGUUCAUCUUAAAUGCAGGCUUAUCACAUAAAUCAAAGGAUUGAUUGAUGAAUUCAACUACUGAAAUUUUGAAGAUAAAGAAGAGUGAAGCUUAGAAAAGAGAUAUUGGUGUAGUCCAAACUGGAACACUAUUCGGUAUUUGGGUCAUAUCUCGAGUUCUAGAUGUAAAAAUGAUCUCAAAUUUUUACAAAACCUUGGUGAGACAUAGGCCUACAACUUUCAUGUGAACAUAAAAAUCUAACAAGGCCGUUUUCAAGUCCAAAUCAAAGCAACAACGGAGAAGUCCGAAUCUGUCCUGUAGCCCGUACACUGUUCAGUGUUUGGCCCAUAUCUGGAGUUCUAGAAGUCCAAAUUACCUCUACUUUUUUUUCCUGGAAAGCUGUGUCAAUUUUCUACAACUUUCAUGUUUUCCAGUGGACCCAGUUCGGAUGGUAGCAUUUUUGUUUUAUUUAGAAAAGAAGAUAAGGAUUUUCACCAAGUCAAAAGUUGGCACCCACUCAACAAUUAGUCAUCAAAUCAAUAAUUCCGAAUUUUGGCCUAUAAAAGGAGGCAUUUGCCAUGUAUUUGGUGGCUUGGUUGUUCAGAUCAAGCUCAUGCUCUUUAUUUCUCUCUUUAUAUUUUUUUUUGUAAUUCUUAAGUUUUGUUUUCAUUAAUUUCUUGUUUAUGCUUUUCAUUUCCUUUCCUUUCCUUUCCUUAGUUAACUUGUAUCUUAUUUAUGUUCUUGUUUUGUUUAUUUAUGUUUCUCUUCUUCAUUAUGUUUAGCUAAGUUUAUUAUGUCAAGGUGAAAAGGUUACACUAAUGGUGUAAGAACAAGUAUGGUGUAAACUCAAUAUGGAUCUUAAUGUUUAAUAUUAACAUGUCUUAUCUUUUUAUCUUACUAAUUCUUAAUACCUUGCUUGUUAAAUGGUUAAUCUAGAUUUGUGUUGUAUAACAUUUGAUACAUCAAAUGCUUGGCACUCUCAUAGCCCAACAGUAUGGUAUUACCUACACCUGGGCUAUGAAAAUAACUUGAUUUGUUGUUAACAUCAGUUAAUAUCAUGAAUUCCUGACAAUAUUUAAAAGUUUGGUGUUAUGUAAUUAAGAUAAUUAAUAUGAUCAUGUUAAUAAUUUAUAAUGAGCUAUUAAUGAGAAAUCAUUCGAUUGGAACCUCCUUUGUGUGUGGUUUCCAGUUGAAUCAUAAGAGUUUAUACUAUACUUGUUUGAAAUACCAUUGGUGGAUUCUCUAACCUUGACAUUUGUUUUUAUCAUUGUUAAUCCUUACAUUAAUCUUUCAUCUCAAAGUUCUCAUUAAUUUCUUCAUCAUCUUCUUCUUCUUCUUUUAUUAUUAUUAUUAUUAUUAUUAUUACUACUACUACUACUACUACUAUUAUUAUUAUUUACAUUCUGUUUAUAUUAUAUAAUAUAUCUCUUUGAUCUUUUCAUAAACUUAGUAUAUAGGCUGGAAACCUGUGACCCGAUCUUUUAGAUCAUUCUCAGGUAUAACAACGCCACGUACUGAGUAUUAUUAUUAUUGUCAUUAUUAUUAUUAUUAUUAUUACUAUUACUAUUAUUAUUACUAUUACUAUUAUUGUUAUUAUUAUUGUUAUUAUUGUUAUUAUUGUUAUUAUUGUUGUUAUUAUUAUUGUUGUUGUUGUUGUUAUUGUUGUCUUGUUAUUUAUAAUUUAUACAAUUAACCUCUCUGUGGUUCGACCCCGGUCUUGCCGGGUUAUUUAUUACUUCGACACUCCUGCACUUAAGAGAAGACAUCAAUCUUUUGGUCGUGUCAAGUUUUUGGCGGCCAACUUUUGACUUGGUGAAAAUCCUUAUUUUCUUGUCUGAAUAAAACAAAAAUGCUACCAUCCGAACUGGGUCCUCUGGAAAACAUGAAAGUUGUAGGAAAUUGACUCAGAUUUCCAGGAAAAAAAAAAAACAUGGAGGUGAUUUGGACUUCUAGAACUCCAGAUAUGGGCCAAACACUGAACAGUGUUCAGGCUGCAGGACAGAUUCAGACUUCUCCGUUCUUGCUAUGAUUUGGACUUGAAAACGGCCUUGUUAGAUUUUUAUGUUCACAUGAAAGUUGUAGGCCUAUGUCUCACCAAAUUUGUGUAAACAUUUGAGGUCAUUUGGACAUCUAGAACUCGAGAUAUGACCCAAAUACCGAAUAGUGUUCCAGUUUGAACUGCACUAACAUCUCUUUUCUAAGUUUCACCCUCUCUUUAUCUUCACAAAUUUCAGUAGUUGAAUUCAUCAAUAAAUCCUUUGAUUUAUGUGAUAGGCCUGCAUUUAAGAUGAACAUUUACUAUAUAUUAGGGCAUUUUAUAGUAUUAGACUUGUUAUUAUAAAACAUGCUUUAGUUAAAGAGUUAUUGAUACUUUAAGUGCAAAAUGAUGAUAUAAAACCUUGAUAAAUAUGCACUUUUAAGUACUAAUCACCUAACCACACACAGAGUUUAGCUUUGGUUAAAGGGAAUCGCCAAAUGGGAUUUCAGGUUAACUAAGUUACACACCGACUUUGCUUUAGAUUAAAAGAGAUUGCCAGAUGAAAUCUCAGGUUAACCCAAUCAAAAGGGUAGGUUGCCCGUGAAAAUAGACCAGCGUGCGUAUGUGGGCAGGUCGCCAUUGAAAAUAGACUAGUUUUGAGUGUGUAUGAACAAGUCAUCUAUGAAAAUAGGCAAAAUUUUCUUUAAAAAGUGAAGUCCUUAAAUGAGUGGAUCACUCAGCAAUCAAAGAAGACUUUUUUUUUCCCUUUCUUCUUUACAAGCUUACUAUGCAAAACAUUAAGGAGUUUUGCUUCGUAAGCAUUGUAAAGAGGGGGCAUCUGUUGCUAUCCAAUUUUUGACCUAUGUUUUGAUAAAUUUUCAAAAAUAAAAAAAAUAAGGGUUUACAUGUGGCGAUAACAUAGAGCAUCAGGGCUAAUAUUAAGGGAGCAAUAUGUCAAGGAGAUAAUUACUGAAUCAUAUAUAAUUACUGCAAUAUAAAAUACCAUAGAUAUAUGAUUUGAUUCGUGCUUGUUAUGGAAAAUAAUUGGGAGAUUGAAGAAGCCCAGUUGUUUUCAAGAAGUAAUGAAUAAGCGUCUGCUUAUAUUUGCUUUUAUGUGCUUUGUGUGCUUUGCUUUGUGUUUUUGUACCUAGUUGAAAAUCUUGGCUCAAGAUGUCAACAUAAGGUCUUUUCAUAAUUAUUGAGUCAGCUUUUAAAAUAAUAUUGAGAUCCUGUAUUUUCUUCAACAAUUGUUAUCUUCUUUUGUUUUGUUUGGCUAUAAGAUACGCAUUUACACUAAAAACACCUUCUGCUUUCAGGAAUUCUGAAAGUGAAUCCUCCAUAAAUCCACAAACAUAUUGCAUUGAAAAUGAAUGGCCAAACUUUGAUAAAGAUGAGAUUGCAAUGGACGAAGAGGAAUGGAAUGAAGAUUAUAUGAAAGAGUUUCCUAGAUAGGUAGAACAGUCUGAGCAUGCUUGGAAACCUACAAAAGAAGAAUUAGAGGUGAUAAAUGUAGGCACCGAGCAAGAUAAAAGAGAGCUAAAGAUUGGAACUCUGAUUACUACAGAAGAAAGAUGCAGUUUAACCUCAUUACUACAAGAGUAUAUGGAUGUGUUUGCCUGGUCUUAUGCAGAUAUGCCUGGUUUAGACAUUGAUAUUGUAGUACACAGAGUGCCUUUGAUAGAAGGAUGUAAACCUGUCAAGCAGAAAUUGAGAAGAAUUCGCCCGGAUAUUCUACUCAAGGUCAAGGCAGAGAUAAAGAAGCAGUGGGAUGCUGGUUUUCUAGAAGUCAUUAAAUACCCUCAAUGGGUAUCGAACAUAGUGGUUGUACCAAAGAAGGACGACAAAAUCAGAGUAUGUGUAGACUUCAGGGAUCUAAACAAAGCUAGUCCAAAGGAUAAUUUUCCUUUGCCUCACAUAGAUGUCUUGGUAGACAAUGCUGCUAGAAGCUCAACUUAUUCCUUCAUGGAUGGAUUCUCCGGGUAUAACCAGAUUAAAAUGGCUGAAGAAGAUAAAGAGAAGACCACUUUUGUCACACCAUGGGGAACAUUUUGCUACAAAGUGAUGCCAUUCGGGUUAAAGAAUGCUGGAGCCACAUAUCAAAGGGCAAUGGUGACACUUUUUCAUGAUAUGAUACACAAAGAGAUUGAAGUGUAUGUGGAUGACAUGAUUGCCAAGUCUACGAAUGAAGAAGAUCACGUUCAGAUUCUAAGAAAAGUAUUUGAUAGACUAAGGAAGUAUCAUUGAAAUUGAAUCCUGCAAAUGCUCAUUUGGGGUGAAGUCUGGAAAGUUGCUAGGGUUUGUAAUAAGCAAUAAAGGAAUAGAGGUCGAUCCUGAUAAAGUGAAAGCAAUUCAAGCAAUGACAGCUCCUAAAACCGAAAAAGAAGUAUAUUGCACGAUUCAUAUCUCAGUUAACAGCAACAUGUGAGCCAAUUUUUCGAUUGCUUCGAAAAAAGAAUCUUGGUACUUGGGACAAAGAUUGUCAAUAAGUUUUUGAUAAAAUAAAGCAAUACUUACAGAAUACACCUUUAUUAGUGCCACCUGUGCCUGGAAGACCUUUGAUCUUGUAUUUGACAGUAACUGAGGAAGCAAUGGGUUGUGUGUUGGGACAACAUGAUGAGUCUGGAAGAAAGGAGCAAGCUAUCUAUUAUCUGAGUAAGAAGUUUACCGAUUGUGAAUCCAGAUAUACUAUGAUUGAGAAGCUAUGUUGUGCUCUUGUAUGGAGCACGAAGCGUCUUCGACAAUAUAUGUUGUAUUAUACCACUGGUUGAUCUCAAAAAUGGAUCCUCUUAAAUACAUCUUUGAGAAACCUUACUUGUCAAGUCGAAUAGCAAGGUGGCAAGUAAUGUUGGCCGAGUAUGACAUUGUAUACAAGACAAGAAAAUCCGUAAAAGGAAGUGUAAUUGCUGAUCAUUUGGCAGAUAAUGCUAUCAAAGAUUAUGAGCCUUUGAAAUUUGACUUCCCGGAUGAGGAUGUGUUGAUAGUAGAAGAAGACAAAGAGAAGAAUGAUUGGUGGAUUAUGUAUUUUGAUGGGGCAGUGAAUGUAUCUGGCAAUGGAGCAGGGGCUGUGAUAAUCUCACCUGACCAGAAGCAAUAUCCCAUCUCAAUCAAACUACAAUUUGAAUGUACCAACAAUACUGCUGAAUAUGAGGCUUGUAUCCUUGGGUUAGAAGCUGCUUUAGAGAUGAAAAUAAAGAAGCUUGAUGUCUAUGGGGAUUCAAUGUUAAUAAUCUGUCAAGUGAAAGGCGAAUGGCAGACCAAAGAAGAAAAAUUGAUCCAUAUCAACAAUAUCUCUCAAAACUAACUGAGGGCUUUGAUGAGAUAGAUUUACCCAUAUGGGAAGAGACAAAAACCAGUUUGCUGAUGCUUUGGCAACCUUAGCUUCUAUGGCCAAAAUUGAUUACGGAAUCAGGGUACAACCAAUCCCAUUGAGAUUAAAAAUUUUCCAGCUCAUUGUUGUUCACUUGAAGGAGAAAUAGAUGGGAACCCAUGGUUUUAUGACAUCAAGCGGUUUAUCCAAUAUCGAGAAUAUCCCUUGGGGGCAUCUAAAGCAGAUAUGAAGACCUUGAGAAGGUUAGCCAUGGAAUUUUACCUGGAUGGAGAAAUUCUAUAUAAAAGAUCAUUCAACAAAACUUUACUAAGAUGUCUAGAUGAAAUCGAAGCUAAGGUAGCAUUGCAAGAAAUUCAUGAAGGAAUUUGUUCAACUCAUGCAAGUGGGCACAUGAUGACUAGACAAAUGCAACGAUCUAGGUACUUCUGGAUGACCAUGGAGAAAGAUUACAUCGAUUAUGUCAGAAAAUGCCAUAAAUGUCAAGUGUAUAGUGAUAAGAUAAAUGCACCUCCAGCUCCUUUGUUUAAUAUGACAUCAUCAUGGCCAUUUGCAAUGUGAGGAAUAGAUAUGAUUGGUCCAAUCAACCCAAAGGCCAGCAAUAGGCAUCAAUUUAUCUUAGUAGCCAUUUAUUACUUCACAAAGUGGGUGGAGGCCAGCUCUUAUGCUCAUGUAACUCAAAAAGUGGUCAAGUGCUUCAUUGAGAAAGAUUUGAUAUGUCAGUACAGUUCACCUGAGAAGAUAGUGACCGACAACGCCUAAAAUUUGAAUGGAAAAAUAAUCAUAAAAUUAUGUGUGAAGUGGAAAAUUAAACAUUCAAACUCAUCUCCUUACAUACCAAAGAUGAAUGGUGCUGCCGAAGCUGCAAACAAGAAUAUCAAGAAGAUUAUCCAGAAGAUGAUAGUCACUUAUAAGGAUUGGCAUGAGAUGCUUCCUUUUGCUCUGCAUGCAUAUCGUACAGCAGUAAGGACAUCCAUUGGAGCUACACCUUACUCAUUAGUAUUUGGGAUAGAAGUAGUGAUGCCUUUGGAAGUAGAAAUUCCAUCUUUGAGGGUAAUAAUAGAAUCUAAACUAGAAGAAGCUGAAUGGGCUAAAGUGAGAUAUGAGCAGCUAAACAUGAUAAGUGAGAAAAGGUUGGCUGCAAUUUUCCAUCACCAGUUAUACCAAAGAAGGAUGGCCAAAGCAUAUGACCGGAAAGUCCGACCAAGAGAAUUCAAAGAAGGGGAUCUUGUACUAAGAAAAAUCUUACCAUUACCAAGUGAAGACCGAAGCAAGUGGGCACCAAACUAUGAAGGCCCAUAUGUAGUGAAGAAAGCAUUCUCCGGAGGAGCUCUGUUGUUAACUAGGAUGGAUGGAGAUGAUUUACCUAGGCCUGUGAACUCUGAUUCUGUGAAAAAGUAUUAUGUAUGAUGUGUUUCAUCCAAUCAAAUCAAUGAAGUUUUGGCCAGGAAAUUCUCUUUGCAUAUACCUCACCAAAAAGCCCAUGCAUGAUCUCAAUGGCUCAACAAUUUGAUCUUUCAAACUUUUUUACAGGAGAAUCCAUUCUUCUUAAAUGAGGUUUUAAAAGAACUGAUUUUGUUUGUGAUUUCAAUGAAAUAAAUCAAUGAUUUUGUUUGGAAUAAUGUUCAGAACAAUUCCCUUGAAAGAGAUGACCAAACAAGUCAAAAACAUGCAAUUGGAACAACUAUCACCCAAAUUAUGUCUUGGAUCCACAUUUUAUCAGCAUGAAUAAUGGUUGGUAGUACAUUAGUUUGUCAUGGACUCCAAAACAUGGUAUCUUACAAAUCCAAAGCAUUACGGGAUGUGGACAAAGUUUAUUGGUUUUAACUGAUCUUACUUGAAAUGAGGAAAGGCCAUCUUUGAUAUUCCUUUCACUUUCUUUAAAAUUAUCCUUUGCAGUCCCAAUUUGAGCCGAGUCUAUUUAAAGUUUUUUUCUUUCACAAGAACCUUAACUAAGAUCACACCCUACACUAGGGGGCAAAAAGAGAAAUAUGAUUAAGAAAUUGUCUUGAAGGCAUGUGAGCUUAUAAAGAAAGUCUGACAACAAAGAAUUCAAUAAAAUUCCAAACAAUUGAGAGAAUUCCUAACAAAUAUGGGAAUAACAAAAAAAAACAGAAGUUCCUCAUUUGGAAUAUUUAGCAUCAUUUUUGUUGUCAAGGUAGCAAAAAAAAUGCCAAGACAAGAUAAUAGUGAUCUAUAGUUUAUAAGCCCUUAAACACUUUUUUGAGCUUAUGGAAUACUCUUUCUUUUAUAGCCUUGAGCCAUAAAAUACAUUACGUGCCUUUGAAGUCCUUUCUAAUCAAGUAAGCAACCUGGAUCAAUAAACGGCGUUCUCAAAAUAUAAGAGACUUUUCCAUAAAGAGUCAUGGCGUAGCAAAUAAUUACUCGUUAUUAUUCAUGCUGUUAAAAAGAGUGUUUCUAAAAUAAAGGCAAAUUGUUUCUUUUCUCUCACCUUCAAGCAAUCGCUUGAACACUUUGAAAACCAAAGCAGAAGUCAUCUCAUCACUUACCUUCAUCUUAGAUUACUUUUACUAAGAGAUUUGACAUAAAGCCCAGAGUUGCCUGAACAUUGUUAUAAACAGACAUUGAGAGUUUCAGUUUUCGAGAACAAAACAGAUCUUUUGAAAAAUCAUUUUUGAAAAAAGGUUUUCUUUGUAAGAAAAAUGAAUAUAUGGCACACUACGGCACCAUUAGAAAAUCAGAGAUUCUAAUGACAAACAAGAGCAAAGGAGGAAAUGAAUGAGGCAGUUAAUUCUCCCAGGGGGUAGAGAAGCAGUUACCAGAUCCUUAAUGGCACAAAGAAAUUUGCUUCCCUAGUGGAAAAUACACAUGAUAAAACUGUGGACUUCUUCCAGCAUGAGGACUGAAAUAGUAUGAUUUGCAGUAUCUAUGAAAGGAGAUUGUUGACUCUCACAAUAUGAUCAGUUAGACAACAAGAUAACUGAUACAUCUUCAGUAAGAGAAAUGCAGAUGAAAUCCCAGGUGAAGCGGGAUAAUCCUCAUAUAUUGACCAUAUGAAUUGGUUAAAGAAUCUUCAAUAAUGGGAAUGUUGCCUAUAGAACAAUGUCGGGCCAGGGAGAAGCUAAUUCUUCAGUGAAGUUACCAAUAGAGAAAAGUGCAGUGACUGUUGGGAAACUCAAACAAAGCUUAUCUUAGAAAAUGAACAACAUGGGUCGGCUUGAGUAGAUUUGAAGUACGCGUAAUCAAAAGAGCUCACUAAAAAUCAAGAUCCUUAAACAAGAUGAACGGGGAUCUAUAUUUCAAAAACAGGUAAGAUGCACUGCAUAUCUUCUAACUUCAUGAGAAUUGCACAUUUGUUUUGCAGAUAUUUCACGAAACAAAAUUCCUAACGGGAUCCAACGAGAUUCAGAUGAAAUGAAGUUCUUCUAAAUCACAUCAAAUAUGACAAUGCCACAAAAGCAAAAUUCAUGAAUGUAGACAAGAAACAUGGAUUUUUAUUCAUGGAAAAAGGGUUUACAAGUACAAACGUUAAACACUGCGAGGACGAUUAGGGAUAUUUUCAUCUUGAUGAUUAAGCAUUACUCGAAAUUCCUCAAAUUGGUUAAUUAUGCGCUCCAUCCUUUCCUCGAACUCGAGGUGUCGUGUGUUAACAUAGUCCCUCCAAAAGUCAGCAAGUGCAUUGAGCUCUUGGUUUCUCCUCUCCAAUUCGUUUUUGUGACGUCUCUCAUCACAUAGUCUUUUCCUUAAAUUCUCAAUUUGAUUAUGGAGCUCAGGAAUUUGAGUAUUCAACUCAAGUUUUCUGGCAUGAAGACACUCCGCAACGUUCACCAAAGACGAAGUUGCUCUGAGACUGAGAGCAAGUGACUGAUUCACUACUUCAAUAUCGGUCCUGGCUGCCAGCAUCAUUUCAUCACGAGGAAGGGUCAUGUCUCUAGCCACGGCUAUAGCAAUAUCUUCGUUGUCCAUUACAGUAUCCGCUAUUGUAACUGGACGACCAUUCACUUCAAAGGUAGUACGCCAAACUACAGGCUCUACAGCAGGAACAAGGUCUGGAUUAGCAUUGGAAGAAGAGGAAGACAUGGUUAAAACUUCAAAAGUUAAGAACUUUGAAAUUAUUGAAAAUGGGAGAAGUUGAUGAUGUCUUUUGCCAAAUACUACGUGAUUUAUAAGGAAUUUGCUCCUACCAUCAUUUUGAAUAGAAGCUCAAAUCUUAGUAGUACAUAUAAGACUUUUUGAAGAAGCUUUCAUCAUUUCUGAGAUCGAUUUGCAAAUCAGAUCUCAGCCGUACAUAUAAGACUUCCUUAAGAAGCUUUCAUCAUCUUUGAGAUCGAUUUGCAAAUCAGAUCUCAGCCGUACAUAUAAGACUUUCUUGAGAAGCUUACAUCACCUUUGAGAUCAAUUUACAAAUCGGAUCUCCACCGUGCAAGUAUGACUUCCUUUAGAAGUUUUCAUUAACCCUGAAACCAAUGCUGAAAUCACUUUCAUGUAUUUCACAAAAUCAAUGCUGAAAUCACUUUCAUGUAUUUCACAAAAUCAAUGUUGAAAUCACUUUCAUGUAUUUCACAAACAGGUUGGUCACCUAGAAAAUAAGACCAAUGCUGAAAUCACUUUUAUGUAUUUCACAAAAAUAAUGUUGAAAUCACUUUCAUGCAUUUCACAAAUAGGUUGGUCACCUGGAAAAUAAGACCAAUGUUGAAAUCACUUUCAUGUAUUUCACAAGAACAAUGUUGAAAUCACUUUUAUGUAUUUCACAAACAGGUUGGUCACCUGGAAAAUAAGACCAUUGUUGAAAUCACUUUCAUGUAUUUCACAAAACCAUUGUUGAAAUCACUUUCAUGUAUUUCACAAACAGGUUGGUCACCUGGAAAAUAAGACCAAUGCUGAAAUUACUUUCACGUAUUUCACAAAAUUAAUGUUGAAAUCACUUUCAUGUAUUUCACAAACAGGCUGGUCACCUGGAAAAUAAGACCAAUGUUGAAAUCACUUUCAUGUAUUUCACAAAAUUAUUGCUGAAAUCACUUUCACGUAUUUCACAAACAGGUUGGUCACCUGAAAAAUAAGACCAAUGCUGAAAUCAUUUUCACGUAUUUCACAAAAUCAAUGUUGAAAUCACUUUCAUGUAUUUCACAAACAGGCUGGUCACCUGGAAAAUAAGACCAAUGUUGAAAUCACUUUCACGUAUUUCACAAAACCAUUGUUGAAAUCACUUUCAUGUAUUUCACAAAAUCAAUAUUGAAAACACUUUCAUGUUUUUCACUUGGGCAGGUCGCCUAGAAGAAUAGACCAACUGAAAAAUCUGUGUAUUUUUCAACACCUACAUCGUUUUUCUUUACAAAACUUACUAUGCAAAGUCAAAAGAAAAUGAAUUUUCCAAUGUCUUUGCACCGUAAGCAUUGUAAAGAGGGGGCAACUGUUGUAACCCAAUUUUUGAUUCACUAAGAUUUUCUUGAAUGUUAUUUUAUUUCUAUUAUUAUUCAUGAAAUAAAAAAAAUUUAAGAAAAAGUUUAAUAUUCAUUUUUCUCGAGUCAACCGCAUCUUUCCAUAAAAAAAACACCGAUUUCACAGGGUCAAUACAGGUCACACCAUGUCAAUCAGGGUAAAAAAAGAAUUUUCAUGACGUUUCGGGUCAAAACCGUCAUUUUUGGUCAAAACCAUCAUUUUUUAUCAAAAACCGAGUCCACCGGGUCAAUACGAGUCAAACCAUGUCGACCAAGGUAAAAAAUAAGUUUUCAUGACAUUUCGGGUCAAAACCGUCAUUUUUUAUCAAAACCGAGUCUACCGGGUCCAUACGGGUCAAACCAUAUCAAUCGGGGUGAAAAAUGAGUUUUCAUGACGUUUUGGGUCAAAACCAUCAUUUUUUUAUCAAAAUCGAGUCCCCCGGGUCAAUACGGGUCAAACCAUGUUGACCAGGGUAAAAAAUAAGUUUUCAUGACGUUUCGGGUCAAAACCAUCUUUUUGGUCAAACCCCUUAAAUGUUUUUUUUUUGUGUUCCAAUAUAAAUUUUUUUUUUUUUGCGGUUGGAACAGGUUUUUUCUAAGACUGAUUUAAGUUUUUUUGUUUUAUCUAUAUAAUUAUUUAUUAUUAUAUAUAAUAAAACAAAAUUAAUAAUACAUAAAUUUAUUAUAGUAGGUGGGUUAGUUGAUGCAGUGCAUUAUUUUCCUUCGAAAUAAAUUCAUUGUCCCCUGCUUAUUGGCUAUAAAUAGCCACGACAGAGGAAAAAAAAAAGAAAAAAGAAAGAAAGAAAGAAAAGAGAGUAUUACUAUUUGAAUUUUUUUUGUUUUUCUUCACGAGAGUAAAAUAUUGUUUUUUAUUAAAAACAAUUUGAAAAAUACCAAAAAUAUCCUAACCGUUCGAUCUAGUAGUGUUAAUUUUGGACCUUUGAUUUAAUAUGAUACAAUAGGGUUUACCACACUAGAUUAAAACUCAAAUCCAUCUUAGCCUUUGAAAUAAUCUGCCUUUUGUUCCUGUCGUGCUACGUCACCCGGUGUACCGAGCUUUCGGUGCACCGCGCCACAACAGAUCAGUGCUCCGCUCAUCCAGACCGUCCGAUCAACUUGCAGAUCAAGCCAAUCACAACCGAAUGAUCGGUUCAUCCGCGAUCCAACGGCUCACAACCUUCAGCUGCACCGGUGUCCCAUGCUCGUGUUCACACCGUAGCACAAUCUCAGAGCCUCUCUCUCCUCUCGACGGUGAUUCUCUCUCUCUCAUCCGAUCUCCCAUUUUCGGCCGUAUGAAGCUUUCAAACCACCACAGAAAGGUUGCUACCUUGCUAUAAAGCAAAACCCCGGCGGUUUUCAACGUUUUAUCCGCCUCAUCUAGCCGGAAAACGGCCGCGAUUUUGUCGACCACCCGAAGCUUUAAACCGACGAUUCUCCCUCGUCAGCCAUCAACAGCUGUCGAAACCACCUUCAUCAGAAUCCUCUUCAUUAGAUCUACUAGAAUCAACCAGUCGUUGGCUGGAAAUCUCGCCGUCUCCAACAGUAACCGCGCGUGAGCCACACGCGCCACCAGGGGUAUUUUCAUAAUUUUCCGAGAAAUCCAAGGGUAUUUCAGUCUUUUACCUAUACAGUGGCACUCAGGUAAUUUUUUGAAAUUCCUAACAGUUUUUAUUUUAUUUUGAUAUAUAAGUAUUUGUAAAUUCUCUUGCAUGUAAAAAAAAACAAAAAAAAACCAAAAAUAAAUAUAAAAGGAAUAACGACGCGGGUCCAUAAAACAUAUUAAAUUCUUCUUUAAUCCUUGCAAUUUUAUCAUAAAUAAUAAUAAUAAAAAAACAUCCAUAAAACAAAUACCAACACACAAAUAAAAAUUCAAUACUAAACAAAAAAAUUACAUCAACCAAUUUAAAAUUACAAAACAGCCCCUAAAACAUCCUAGGGAUUCUGGAUCAGUGCACGGGAAUAGUGGCGCGGGUCUUCCCACACGCCGUCGCGAAUAAGGCCGGAAAACGGGUGGAUCUGGCUCAGCUUCCUUUCUUUUUCCCUUCUCUGCUGGUGGUGACACCCACCGUCACCUGCAAACGAAGAAAAGAACACAGGCAGUCGAUUUUAUAUUUUUUGUUUUUGUUUUGCAGAUCUGCUUCUCUGGUUCGGUUUUUUUUUUCUGCAUCUCAGUGUCUUUUCGUUUCCCCUUGUUCUCCAUUUCAAACGACCGGCAGUGUGACCAUAGGGCUGCUGGCCUUUGGGUUUUGUCCGAUCUGCAACUGUUGGUGGCCGGUGAAUCUGUGGACGGUGUUGUUAUGGCUGACGGAAGAAAGCGGACCGAUUUGGGAUCUGUGGGUGCCGCUGCCGGGCUGCUAUCAGACGGUUGAAGGGGAGAAGGCUGGGUCGGCUGAGAGAGAUGCGAACUUGUGGGGGAGAUGGAGGCAGGUUCAGGAGCUGCUAUGGGUGAAGAAGAGUUAGUGUGGGUUUGUGAGGGAGAGGGGGUUGUGAGCCAGGAAGAUUUGGUGUGGUGAGGGGCUGAGAAUUUGUGUCUCUAGUAAGGAGGACCGGUUGAGAGGAGAAUGAGGUGACUGGUCUGUGGGGCUGAGACGAAGAAGGGGUUGCGGUGUGGCUGCUAGGUGAGGGAGAAGAAGCUUUGGUCGGGUCUGUCAGAGAAAAACAAGUCAAGCCAGGGGAGGGGGGCGGUCGGCUUGGUUUUGGGUAAAAAAAAUCAAACUCUGGGGGGCGGCUGUGUUUGGGAUUUCUUAGGGUUUUUUUGUGGUUUAGGGUUUUUUUUUUUUUUUUUGUAUUUUCCUGAUGUUUCAAAAUUGCCCCCAUUUUGUGUGAGUUGAAAACCAGUAUUUAUAGGCAAAAAUGUUGCUAGGUUUUCAAACUUGGUCCCUCAACUUCUUUCUUUUUGUAAAUUUGAUUUUUCUUGUAUUUUUUGAAAACGAGCAAUAUCAACGUCGACUCGAUGAGGAAAAUCAAUGAUUUAAAACAUAACGCGUGAAAAGUCGAACGCGUUUGAACGACCCUUAAAAAUUUUAAUUCUUUUUAGACGACGCUAAAAAUGCUAAAAACGACGCAAAUAUAUUAAAAAGGUAUUUUUUGGAUUUUCAAUGUUUUUCUCUAUUUUUGGAUUUUUCUGAAAAUUUAUCAAAACAUGGGUCAAAAAUUGGGUAGCAACAGAUGCCCCCUCUUUACAAUGCUUACAAAGGAAAACUCAUCAAUGUUUUGCAUAGUAAGCUUUGUAAAGAAAAACUUGUCUUCUUAUCUUCAUAACUUGCUCAAUAUCCACUCAUUUAAAGACCUUACUUUUUUCUUUUUCUAUUUCUUUCUGUCUCUCUCUCUCUCUCUUUUUCAUUAACUUGAGAUCCCAUAUGGCGACCUCCUUUACCAAAACCAAAGAAUGUUGUAGCUCGGUUAACCUGAAAUCCCAUAUGGAGAUUCCCUUUAACCAAAGCUACAUGAGAUCCCAUCUAGUAACCUCAUUUAAUUGGAACUAAAAAAUGUGUGUAGCUCGGUCAACCUGAAAUCCCAUCUGGCGAUUCCCUUUAACCAAAGCCUCAUGAGAUGAUCUGGAUGCCUGGAUAUCUGACUCCAUUGAAACAAUGGAAUCUCCAUCGACGAUUUAAACAUCGAUGAUAUUACUCGGGCGGCCUCAAUGUUUGUGAACCUAAAAAGAAAUGAAAUUAAUUAAAUAGUGACUUCAUAAAUUAUGUUUUAAAUUUGUUUUUUUUUAAAAAAACAAACUAAAACUUUAACAAACUUACAUUGAAAGAUCGUCCUUCCAUUGUGCCUCGUACUUGCGCUGUGAAGGCACGCCGCUUCUGCGAUGUGAAACAGCGCUGGAAGAGGCAGCAUCAGCUGAUGGCGCAAGUGGUGUAGGUGCCUCUUCUUGAGAGGCACCUAAGGAAAUAUCUUCCUCGCUGCUAGACGAACCUGAUGCGACCGGACGUGAAGCUCUAGUUUUCAUUCUGUGCAUCUAACCAAUUUUAAUAAUUAUAUAAUUAAAUUAAAAUGUUAAAAAAAAUUCGGCAGCACCUCCCCUAUACUUAGAUACUACCCAAAUCCACAAACCUGCAAAUAUUAACAAUAGCCACAACCAAUUGACCCAAUCUAUACUAAUUAUUCCAACAUAUUCAAUUACUAAUCCUAAGGUAAAUUCAACAUUAACAAUUACAAUUCAACAAAUUAUUCAAUAAUUAUGCCAAUACAACAAUAAAAUAUAUUCAAUAAAUUAAAAAAGAAUUAUAAACUAACAAUUAAAAUCAAUGGAAACAAUUAAACACAAAUUAUGCAAUAAUAGAGUAAAAUUACUAAGUAUUCCAACAUAUCCAAAUACUAAUUCUAAGGUAAAUUCAACAUUAACAAUUAUAAUUCAAAAACUUAUUCAAUAAUUAUGGCAAUACAACAAUAAAAUAUAUUCAAUAAAUUAAAAAAAAUUAUAAACUAACAAUUAAAAACAAUGAAAAUAAUUAAACACAAAUCAUGCAAUAAUAUAGUAAAAUUACUAAUUAUUCCAACAUAUGCAAUUACUAAUUCUAAGGUAAAUUCAACAUUAACAACAAAUAUUCAACAAAUUAACUAACAACAAUUAUGCCAAAACAACAAUAAAAAAUAUUCAAUAAAUUUAAAAAAAAACUAUAGACUUUAGGGAAGAAAUAUGCAUACCUUAAUAAUGUGUUGAAAAAAAAAAUUUAUCUACAUUACAAAAAAAUACAACAAAACAAAAAACAUAAAAAGCAUAAAAAUAACUAUAAAUAAAAUAAUAUAAAAUAGAAAAAAACACAUACCUUUUAAUGUGAUGAAGAUUCACAACCAACCUUGCUAGAGAUUCAACAAAGCUUGAAGGCUUGAAGAUUUGAGAGGAAAAAAAUCAAAAUUUUAAGUUAAACCUUAGAAACGGAGGAGAAGAAAAAAUGAACUGAAGGGGCGGCCGGAUGAACUUAUAGUGCAGUUUUACCGACGGAUUCACCGAUGGAAAUAUAAAAUUAUUAUUAUUUAAAUUAAAUCCGUCGGUAACACGCUAAAAAUCCGUCGGUAAUUUUUGGAUUUCGCACCGAAUUUUUUAAUUACCCUCCAUAUUAAAAUCCGAAUUUUUAAAUCCGUCGGUAUUCUGACAUGGUUAAAGGUGCAUUCAAUCCACACCCUUUGGAAUUCGCACAUUCCGUUGGUAUUUUUGUCGGUAAAAUUGCCCACCGACAACUUACCGACGGACCUAUUCCGUUGGUAUAAACGUCGGUGAUUGUGGCAUUUUGGUGUAAUUAUUUUCAAACUCUCUGUGAGAUGCCGACGGACGGUGGGCCGUCGGUAUGGACGUCGGUGAUUGUUCAAUGUACAAGAGAUGUUGUGUUUGUAUUUUCUAUUUACCUUCCUGUAAAAAAUUCAAUGAUAAAUUGUCCAUCGCACAAAACAAUAGCAACAGUUCUUAAACAAUAAAUAUAUAUUUCAUGCUACAAAAUAUAUCAUCCAUAGUGUAAAUUACAUGAAGAAAAGGGUUUUACACAGGGCCUCGUUUUGAUAGUUACUCAGAAUUAUCUUCUUCUUCGUCAUCAAUUGAAUAGUCAUCACCUUCAUCGCAAUCUUCAAUAUGGAUAUCAUCUUCUUCAUCGACAUUUGCUUGUCCGCUAGAGCUCAAAACAACGUUCAACUCCUCUACGUCAACAUCAACAUCAACAUCAACAAGACUAUCAUCGGAAACAUGAAAAUUUGAAUUUUCUUCCAAUUCAAUCGAAGGAGCAACUCGAUAUGGUUCAACCAACUCACUAACUUGAAAGACUUCAUCCUGCACACUUGUGUCUUCGUUCUCAUCCUGAACAACCUCGACAUGACCCCGUGAUUUCGUUUUUAAAAUGGACAACCAAUCAACUCUUGAUCGAUCCUUUCUAAAUGAAGGGGUGUAUGUGUAAUAAACUUGUUGGCAUUGCUUUGUGAAAACAAAGACAUCAUUUAUGUUGCGGAGUCUAGCUUUUGAGUUGAUUUCGACCGGACCAUGGUGCUUAUCAACUCUGAUUCCUCUGUCCGUCGUGUCAUACCAAUAGCAUUUGAAUAAAAACACUGUAUUCUGCUCGCUAUGAUAUUGUAGUUCGACGACCUCUUCUAAUCUACCAUAGUAGUCAACUUCUAACUCGCUACUUGUGGAUCCUUUAACACAAACACCGCAGUUGUAUGUCCUUCUUCCUUGCCCGUAUUCUUUAGUAUGGAAAACAUAUUCAUUGACAAAAUACCCGUUAUAGCACUUAACUUUUCUUUCAAGCCCGAGGCUUAGUGAAGACAAUGACUUAGACACACUUCUUCCCAUUUGAUAAACCUUGUAUACAUGUAAUGUACAUCAAUAAACAGUAAAUGAACGAGAAUCUCGUAAUGACAUGCAUACGUACAGUAAUUUUGCAAGUUAGAAUGAGUUUGUGAUAGUGCUUACAUGUGUUCUGAACCAUGUGGCAAAUUGUUCAUCUUGUAAUUGAAAGAUCUGGGAGUCGGUCAGCUGCGAGUUAUUGGAGAGCAAAUAUUGUCGAUGUUGCCUGCAAGUGAUAAUGAGUGUAUGAUUUCACAAUAUAUAAUUAGCAGUAUAUUACUGACAAAGUUUAAAUAGUAUUACACAUAUAUAAACUUACUGAAUAAAUGGUCUCAGCUCAUCACAAUUAAAUAGAACAUAAUUGUGUGCUUGUUUGAAUUCUAUUUUCGACAAAUAUCUUCCUCUUACGGCAUUUUUAGGUAUAGGUCGUCCAGUAUUGGAGAAUAUUGACAAUUUCUCACUGGAAGGCACUUCACCGCCAUCAUCAUGUUGUGGAACACGAUUGAUUCUUGUUCUCAAAUGAGGUUCAAAAUAGUAAGAGAUAAAUGUUGAGAUCUCUUCAACAAUAUAGGCCUCAAAUAUCGAAGCCUCUACAUGCGUCUUGUUCUUAACCUUUUUCUUGAGAUUAAACAAGUACCUGCAUUGAAUUACAAUUCAAGUUUUCCAAUUAAGAAAAGCAUAUAAAAUACUUUUAGAUAUGAAUUCCAUUGCAACUGUAAUAUCUAACCGUUCGAAUGGGUACAUCCAUCUAUACUGACAUGUAAUUCGGUAAUUCCACAAAGUUUUAACAAUUUACAAAUAAAUACAAUCUUACAAAAUCUAAAACAAACCAUAACUACAAGUAUAAAAUUAUACAUUCAUAUACUACAAGUUUGUUUGAGAAAUAACAAUAAAACAUGUACAUCUAUUAACAAAAAUACAUAUACUAAAAAAACAAUAAAAUUUACAUUUAAAUGUUAAAAUUUAAAAAGAUAUAAUUACUUACAAAAAUUGAUAAAAUCCAUCGGUAAAUCAGAACACGGAUGUUGUGAUCAAAAAACUUUAAGAAAUACAACUUGUUGUGCUGAGAUGAGGAAGAUUUUUGUUUGGGGGUGAGGGGGGGGCUAGUUAUUUUGCAGAUGGGGAGACUUAAGAUUAGGAAGAAGAACGAGAAAUGGGGGAGGAGCGUGUCGGCAGCGUGGCCAUAUAUUCACUUUUUUCGACGGCCUCAUCGAUGGAAUAACAUCGUCGGUGCAUAUGUCGGUUACUCCAUCGGUAAUUUUGACGGGAAAUAGACACAUCACCGCACGAACACGCUUUUCAAAUCCCUCGGUGAUUCCGUCGGUAUGUUUGACGGUGCACCCAUCACAUCACCCGUAUGGAUCUGGUAUUUCAAAUCCGUCGGUGAUUUCGUCAGUAUUAUUGACGGUGAAACGGUCCGAUCACACGUACAAGUCCCUAGUUUUGAAUCCGUCAGUGAUUCUGUCGGAAAAAUCACCCGCCAAAACCUCCGCGUCAGCUGCCCGCCUUUUUUUCAUUAAUUAUGAACUUUCUGUCUGUAAUUUCGACUGAAAAAUACCGACAGCAAUAUUGUGUCGGGGAGUCCGUUGGUGUUUAGCGAAUUUAUGGUAGUGAACUAAAAACUGCGUAUAGCUCGGUCAACCUGAAAUCCCAUCUGGCGAUUUCCUUUAACCAAAGCCACCUGAGAUCCCAUCUGGCGACCUCAUUAAACCACAACCAAAAAAUAUGCGUAGCUUGGUCAACCUGAAAUCCCAUCUAGCGAUUCCCUUUAACCAAAGCUACUUGAGAUCCCAUCUGGCGACCUCAUUCAACUGAAAUAAAAGAAUGUGUAAAACGCGGUUUCAUUGUAAUGGGUGACCAACCCAGGUGGAAAGAAUGUGAAAAACAGUCUCAUUAUGAUGGGUGACUACCCAGAUGGAAAGAAUAUGAAGUGCGGUCUCAUUGUAAUGGGUGACCUACCCAAGAAAAAGAAAAGAGUGGUCUCAUUGUAAUGGGUGACCUACCCAGAAAAAAAACAUGGAGAAUUGGUCGCAUUGUAAUGGGUGACCUACCCAAAAAAAUGUUGGUCUCAUUGUAAUGGGUGACCUACCCAAGUGAAAGAAUGGUCUCAUUGUAAUGGGUGACCUACCCAGAUAAAAAACAAGGAGAAUUGGUCGCGUUGUUCUGGGUGACCUACCCAGAAAAAUUUUGGCGAGGGCUCAAAGGCGCACUCAAAAGGAGGUAGGGUUAGAAAACGCACUACCCGAGAAGUGAGGGCUCAAAAGCACACUCAAAAGGAGGUAGGGUUAAAAAAUGCACUACUUGAGAAGUGAGGGCUCAAAGGCGCACUCAAAAUAAGGUAGGGUUAGAAAACGCACUACCCAAGAAGUGAGGGCUCAAAGGCGCUCUCAAAAUGAGGUAGGGUUAGAAAACACACUGCUUGAAUGGUGGUGGCUCAAAGGCACACUCAAAAGGAGGUAGGGUUAGAAAAUGCACUACCUGAGAAGUGAGGGCUCAAAGGCGCACUCAAAAGAAAAUAAGGGCUCAAACGGUGCACUUGAAAUGAGGUUGGGUUAGAAAACGCACUAUCCGAAUGGUGGUGGCUCAAAGGCGCACUCAAAAUGAGGUAGGGUUGGAAAACGCAGUACCCGAAUGGUGGUAGCUCAAAGACACACUCGAAAUAAGGUAGGGUUGGAAAACACACUACCUAAAAGGUGGUUGAUUAGUACUUAAAAGUGCAUGUUUAUUAAGGUUUUAUAUCAUCAUUUUGCACUUGAAGUAUCAAUAACUCCUUAACUAAAGCAUGUUUUAUAAUAACAAGUGUGAUACUAUAAAAUGCCUUAAUAUAUGGUAAAUAUUCAUCUUGAAUGCAGGCUUAUCACAUAAAUCAAAGGAUUGAUUGAUGAAUUCAACUACUGAAAUUUUGAAGAUAAAGAAGGGUGAAGCUUAGAAAAGAGAUGUUGGUGCAGUCCAAACUGGAACACUAUUUGGUAUUUGGGUCAUAUCUUGAGUUCUAGAUGUCCAAAUGAUCUCAAAGUUUUACACAGAUUUGGUGAGAUAUAAGCCUACAACUUUCAUGUGAACAGAAAAAUCUAAGAAGGCCUUUUUCAUGUCCAAAUUAUAGCAACAACGGAGAAGUCUGAAUCUGUCUUGCAGCCCAGACACUGUUCAGUGUUCAGCCCAUAUCUUGAGUUCUAAAAGUCCAAAUGACCUCAACUUUUUUUUCCUGGAAAGCUAAGAGAAUUUCCUAGAACUUUGAUGAUUUCAUAUGAUUCCAGUUCUGAUGUUAGCAAUGACGUUUUAUUCAGACAAGAAGAUAAGGAUUUUCACCAAGUCAAGAUGUGGCCACCCACUCAACAAUUAUUCAUCAAAUCAAUAGUUCCAAAUUUUGGCCUAUAAAAGGAGGCAUUUGCCAUGCAUUUAGGCAUCUUGGUUUCCAGAUCAAGAUCAUGCUCUUGCUUUCUCUCUUUGUAUUGCUUAUGUUUUGCUUUCAUUAAUAUCAAGUUUAUGCACUUCAUUUCCUUUCCUUUACUUAGUUAACUUUUUUCUCAUUUAUGUUCUUAUCUUGUUCAUUUAUGUUUCUUUCUUUCAUUAUGUUUACCUAUGUUAAUUAUGUCAAGGUGAAAAGGGUACACUAAUGGUGUAAGAAUAAGUAUAAUAUAAACUUAACAUGGACCUUAAUGUUGGAUACUAACAUGUUUUAUAUUUGUUAUCUUGUUCACUUUUAAUACUUUGCUUGUUAAAUGGUUAAUCUAGAUUUAUGUUGUAUAACACUUGGUACAACAAAUACUUGGCACUUUCAUAGCCCAUACUGUAUGGUAUAACCGACACCUGAGCUAUGAAAGGAACUUGAUUUGUUGUUAACAUAAGUUAUAAUCAUGAAUGCCUGACAAAAUUUACAAGUAUUAGCAUUAUUCGAAUAAGAUAACUAAUGUAAUCAUGUUAACAAUUUACAAUCCGAUUGGAACCUCCUUUGUGUGUGGUUUUCAAUUGAGUAAUAAAAAGAGUUUAUAUUAUACUUGUUUGAAGUACCAUUAGUAGAUCCUCUAACCUUGACAAUUAUUUUAUGCUUGUUUAAUCCUUACAUCAAUAUCACAUCCCAAAGCUCUCUUUAUCUUAUUAUUAUUGUUAUUGUUGUUGUUGUUGUUGUUGUUGUUGUUUAUAAUUUAUAUAGUUAACCUCCAUGUGGUUCGACCCUGGUCUUGCCGGGUUAUUUAUUACUUCGACACUAUUGCACUUGGAAGAAAACAUCAAUCUUUUGGGUCGUGUCAAGUUUUUGGCGCCGUUGCCGGGGAGGUAAAUUCUUGUAUAAAUUAUAAUAUUUAUUUUAUUUUGUCUUUUCAUUUUUCAUUUUAUCUAACUUUUGUUUCUUUUCCUUCUCUUUUAUUUCCUUCCUUAUAUUCUCUUCUUACACGUGCAUGAGAGUUUGGUCAUGUACAUUAAGUGGUAGACUUUGUAGGGUAUCCUCAGAAACAUUUUACCAGUGUUGGGAUAGGUAUCGAGACUUGCUUAAUACUUGCCCUCAUCAUGGUUUUGAAACAUGGAGAUUGGUUUCAUUUUUUUAUGAAGGUUUAACACCUAGAGAUAGGCAAAUGGUUGAAUUGAUGUGCAAUUGAACUUUCGAAGAUAAAGACCCUAAUGAAGAAAUGGAGUACCUAGACUUGCUAGCCGAAAAUGCUCAAAAUUGGGACACCACAUGUACUUAUAAGGCACCAAGUAAAACUCAACCUCAUACAUCUAGUGGAGGUAUGCACAACCUUAGGGAAGAUCAUGACCUCCAAGCCAAGUUUGCAUCUUUAGCUAGAAAAGUCGAAUCACUUGAAUUGAAAAAGAGUGGUCAAUUAAAAUCUUUCAAGACAUUGUGUGUCAAAUCUGUGAAACAAGAACACUCAACAAAUGAUUGUCCAACUUUGCCUUCUUUUAGGAAUGCCUCCAUGAACAAGCCCAUGCUUUAAACAGUUUCCAAAGGCCCAACAUAACCCAUACUCACAAACGUAUAACCCUGGUUGGAGAAAUCACCCAAAUUUCAGUUGGAAGAGUGAUAACAAUAAUGCAAACUUCACAGCCACCGUUUCAAGCAUACCAUAAUUUCCAAAAUUCUCAUGGAUAUGCACCUCCUUAUGCUCCACCUCCUAGAAGAAAUCUUGAGGAAACAUUGCAUGCAUUCAUUGAAAAGCAGGAGACAAUCAACACUCAACUUGCUCAAAGCAUGACUGAUUUUAAAGAUGCUCUUGCAAAAUUAACAUCUGCUCUCAGUUUUCAAGAAAAAGGUAAGUUUCCUUCUCAACCACAAUAAAAUCCAAAGGGGCAAUAUAAUGCAAAUGCAAGUAGUUCUGGAAGCCAACACAUGGAUCAAGUCAAAUCAGUCAUCACUCUUCGUAGUGGUAAGGUUAUUGAAAAACCCACUCUUGAACCUUGUGAGAAAGAUGAAGAGUCUAUCUUUGAGGGUAAGAAAAGGGUUGAACCUGAACAUUUCCUCAUGCCAUGACCAAACAAAGGAAAGUCAAUCACAAUUCUGAAAUCCUUUAAAUUUUCAAACAGGUAAGGAUCAAUAUACCUUUGUUGGAUGCUAUUAAACAUGUUCCUUCCUAUGCUAAAUUUUUGAAAGAUCUGUGCACUGUGAAGAGAAAACUGAAUGUGAAAAAGAAAGCCUUUUUAGCCGAACAAGUAAGUGCCAUUCUUCAUAACAAUAAUGCUUUGAAAUAUAAAGACCCUGGUUGUCUUACAAUUUCUUGCUUUAUUGGAGAACAAAAAAUUGAAAGAGACUUACUUGAUCUUGGAGCUAGUGUGAGUUUACUUCCAUAUUUAGUCUUUCAAAGUCUCAAUCUAGGUGAGUUAAAACCAACCUUUGUAACUCUUUUACUUGCUGAUAGAUCUGUAAAAGUGCCUAGAGGAAUAGUUGAGGAUGUGUUAGUACAAGCUGAUAAAUUCAUUUACCAUGUAGAUUUUGUUGUCUUGGAUACACAACCUGUUGAAGCAUGUAAUUCAAUUCCUGUCAUUUUAGGACGUCCAUUUCUUGCCACUUUUAAUGCAUUGAUUAAUUGUAAGAAUGGACUGAUGAAGCUAUCAUUUGGAAACAUGACAUUGGAGAUGAAUAUUUUCAACAUUUACAAGCAACCUGGAGAUGAUAAUGAUUUACAGGAAGUGGACUUUAUUGAAAAAUUAGUUCAUGAUCAAUUUCAAACCACUUCUAGUGAAACUGAGAUUGAUGAAUCUGAUGAUUUGCAAAUGGUCUAUUUUCAGGAAGAAUCAAAGGCAUGCAAUUGGAGACCACAAAUUGAAGAAUUGCCACCACGAUCAAUUGAGCCCAUACCUUCAAGUGUUCAACCACCAAAACCUGAUUUGAAGUCGUUACCAUUUAAUCUCAAAUACUCAUUUUUGGGAGAAAAUGAAACUUUUCCGGUAAUAAUCUCUUCCAAACUUAAUGCACAUCAAGAAGGUAAGUUAUUACAGACUUUGAAAAUGCACAAAAAUGCAUUAGGAUGGACCAUAGCUGACAUAAAAGGAAUUAGCCCUUUGAUUUGCACACACAGAAUUUAUUUGGAGGAAAAUGCUAAACCCUCUAGAGAAAUGCAACGAAGGCUUAAUCCUAAUAUGAAAGUAGUGAAAAAUGAAGUCAUUAAGCUUCUAGAUAAUGGAAUCAUUUAUCCUAUUUCUGACAGCAAAUGGGUAAGUCCUACCCAAGUUGUACCUAAAAAGUCUGGAGUCACUGUGAUAACAAAUGAGAAAAAUGAGUUAAUUCCAACGAUGAUUGUUACUGGUUGGCGCAUGUGCAUUGACUAUAGGAAACUUAAUUCAAUGACUAGAAGAUCAUUUCCCUUUACCUUUCAUGGAUCAAAUCCUAGAAAGAGUUGCAGGUCAUGAAUUCUAUUGUUUCCUAGAUGGCUAUUCAGGUUACAAUCAAAUUGAAAUUGCAUUGGAAGAUCAAGAGAAGACUACUUUCACAUGUCCAUUUGGUACUUUUGCAUAUCGAAGAAUGCCUUUUGGGUUAUGUAAUGCACCAGCCACGUUCAGUGUUCAGCCCAUAUCUUGAGUUCUAGAAGUCCAAAUGACCUCAAAUGUUUACACAAAUUCAGUAAGACAUAGGCCUAUAACUUGCAUUUGGACAUCAAGAUCUAAGAAGGCCGUUUUCAAGUCCAAAUUAUUCAACAACGGAGAAGUCUGAAUAUGUCCUGCAGCCCAGACACUUUUCAGUGUUCAGCCCAUAUCUUGAGUUCUAAAAGUCCAAAUGACCUCAAAUGUUUACACAAAUUCAGUAAGACAUAGGCCUAUAACUUGCAUUUGGACAUCAAGAUCUAAGAAGGCCGUUUUCAAGUCCAAAUUAUUCAACAACGGAGAAGUCUGAAUAUGUCCUGCAGCCCAGACACUGUUCAGUGUUCAGCCCAUAUCUGGAGUUCUAGAAGUCGAAAUGACCUUAUCUUUUUUUUCCUGGAAAGCUAAGAGAAUUUCCUAGGACUUUUAUUUGGACAUCUAGACCCAGUUCUGAUGCUAGCAUUUUUGUUUUAUUAAGACAAGAAGAUAAAGAUUUUCACCUAGUCAAAAGUUGGCCACCCACUCAACAAUUAGUCAUCAAAUCAAUAAUUCUGAAUUUUGUCAUAUAAAAGGAGUCAUUUGCCAUGUAUUUAGGGGCUUGGUUUUUCAGAUCAAGUUCUUGCUCUUUAUUUCUCUCUUUAUAUUUUUUUUGUAAUUCUUAAGUUUUGCUUUCAUUAAUAUCUUGUUUAUGCUUUUCAUUUCCUUUCCUUUCCUUAGUUAACUUGUAUCUUAUUUAUGUUCUUGUUUUAUUUAUUUAUGUUUCUCUUCUUCAUUAUGUUUGGCUAAGUUUAUUAUGUCAAGGUGAAAAGGUUACACUAAUGGUGUAAGAACAAGUAUGGUAUAAACUCAACAUGAACCUUAAUGUUUAAUAUUAACAUGUCUUAUCUUUUUAUCUUACUAAUUCUUAAUACCUUACUUGUUAAAUGGUUAAUCUAGAUUUGUGUUGUAUAAUACUUGGUACAACAAAUGCUUGGCACUCUCAUAGCCCAACCGUAUGGUAUUACCUACACCUAGGCUAUGAAAGGUACUUGAUUUGUUGUUAACAUCAAUUAACAUCAUGAAUUCUUGAUAAUAUUUAAAAGUUUGGUGUUAUGUAAAUGAGAUAAUUAAUAUGAUCAUGUUAAUAAUUUAUAAUGAGCUAUUAAUGACAAAUUGGCCAAUUGGAACCUCCUUUGUGUGUGGUUUCCGGUUGAAUAAUAAGAGUUUAUACUAUACUUGUUUGAAAUACCAUUGGUGGAUCCUCUAACCUUGAUAUUUAUUUUUAUCAUUGUUUAAUCCUUACAUUAAUCUUCCAGCUCAAAGUUCUCAUUAAUUUUUUCCUCCUCUUUUUAUUGUUAUUAAUAUUAUCACUAUUAAUAUUAUUAUUAUUAUUAUUAUUAUUAUUAUUAUUAUUAUUAUUUACAUUCUGUUUAUAUUAUAUAAUAUAUCUCUUUCAUCUUUUCAAAAACUCAGUAUAUAGGCUGGAAACCUGUGACCCGAUCUUUUAGAUCAUUCUCAGGUAUAACAACGCCACGUACUGAGUAUUAUUAUUAAUAUUAUUAUUAUUAUUGUUAUUAUUGUUGUUAUUGUUGUUGUUGUUGUUGUAUUAUUGUUAUUUAUAAUUUGUAUAAUUAACCUCUCUGUGGUUCGACCCCGGUCUUGCCGGGUUAUUUAUUACUUUGACACUCCUGCACUUGGGAGAAGACAUCAAUCUUUUGGUUGUGUCAAGUUUUUGGCGUCGUUGCCGGGGAGGUAAAUUCUUGUACAAAUUUUAGUAUUUAUUUUGUUUUUUUCUUUUCACUUUUCUUGUAUCUAACUUUGUUUCUUUUGUUUUGUUUCUUUUUCUUUUGUUUUCUUCUUCCUUUUAUUCUUUUUCUACACGUGCAUGAGUGUUUGGUCAUGCAUAUUAAGUGGUAGACUUUCUAGGGUAUCCUCAUCAUUUUCAGAAAAUAUGGCCGAAGAAGAUAACCAGUUACUUCAUAAUGAGAAUAAUGAGAAUAACCGUGUUAGGACACUUAGAGACCACAUGAAUCCCAUAAGAACAAGUGCACCCUCAUGCAUAGUUUUCCCUCCUGAUGCAUCUCAUUUUAAUUUUAAGCCAGGCAUUAUUCAACUUUUACCUUCUUUUCAUGGCUUAGAUCUAGAAAAUCCAUACUUGCAUUUGGAGAAUUUGAGAAGUUUGUAACACCUAUAAUGACUUAAAUUGUAGCAUGAAUACCAUUAGAUUAAAGCUUUUUCCUUUUUCAUUAAAAGAUAAAGCUAAAACAUGGCUACAAAAUUUAGGUCAGGAUCCAUUCGUGCUUGGGAUGAAAUGCAACAACAAUUUUUAAAGAAGUUUUUUCCAUCUCACAGAACAACUCUUUCAAAAGACAAAUCACCACUUUCACUCAAAAACCAGGAGAAACAUUUUACCAAUGUUGGGAUAGGUAUCGAGACUUGCUUAAUACUUGCCCUCAUCAUGGUUUUGAAACAUGGAGAUUGGUUUCACAAUUUUUAUGAAGGUUAACACCUAAGAUAGGCAAAUGGUUGAAUUGAUGUGCAAUGGAACUUUUGAAGAUAAAGACCAUAAUGAAGCAAUGGAGUACCUAGACUUGCUAGCUGAAAAUGCUCAAAAUUAGGACACUACAGGCACUUAUGAGGCACCAAGUAAAACUCAACCUCAUACAUCUAGUGGAGGUAUGUAUAACCUUAGGGAAGAUCAUGACCUCCAAGCCAAGUUUGCAUCUUUAGCUAGAAAAGUCGAGGCACUAGAAUUGAAAAAGAGUGGUCAAUUAAAAUAUGUUCAAGACAUUGUGUGUCAAAUCUGUGAAACAAAUGAACAUGCAACCAAUGAUUGUCCAACUUUGCCUUCUUUCAAGGAAUGCCUCCAUGAACAAGCCCAUGCUUUAAACAGUUUCCAAAGGCCCAAUCAUAACCCAUACUCGCAAACAUACAAUCCUGGUUGGAGAAAUCACCCAAAUUUCAGUUGGAAGAGUGACAACAAUAAUGCACAAACUUUACAGCCACCGUUUCAAGCACACCAUAAUUUCCAAAAUUCUCAUGGAUAUGCACCUCCUUAUGCUCCACCUCCUAGAAGAAAUCUGAGGAACGUUGCAUGCAUUCAUUGAAAAGCAAGAGACAAUCAACACUCAACUUGCUCAAAGCAUGACUUUUAAAGAUGCUCUUGCAAAAUUAACAUCUGCUCUCAGUUUCAAGAGAAAGGUAAGUUUCCAUCUCAACCACAGCAAAAUCCAAAGGGGCAAUACAAUGCAAAUGCAAGUAGUUCUGGAAGCCAACACAUGGAUCAAGUCAAAUCAGUCAUCACUCUUCGCAGUGGUAAGGUUAUUGAAAAACCCACUCUUGAACCUUGUGAGAAAGAUGAUGAGUCAAUCUCUGAGGGUAAGGAAGGGGUUGAACCUGAACAUUGUGAAGAAAAGACUGAUUCUCCGCCAGCACUUCCAUUUCCUCAUGCCAUGACCAAACAAAGGAAAGUCAAUCACAAUUAUGAAAUCCUUGAAAUUUUCAAACAGGUAAGGAUCAAUAUACCUUUGUUGGAUGCUAUUAAACAUGUUCCUUCCUAUGCUAAAUUUUUGAAAGAUUUGUGCACUGUGAAGAGAAAACUGAAUGUGAAAAAGAAAGCCUUUUUAGCCGAACAAGUAAGUGCCAUUCUUCAUAACAAUAAUGCUUUGAAAUAUAAAGACCCUGGUUGUCCUACAAUUUCUUGCUUUAUUGGAGAACAUAAAAUUGAAAGAGCCUUACUUGAUCUUAGAGCUAGUGUGAAUUUACUUCCAUAUUCGGUUUUUCAAAGUCUCAAUCUAGGUGAGUUAAAACCAACUUCUGUAACUCUUUUACUUGCUGAUAGAUCUGUAAAAGUGCCUAGAGGAAUAGUUGAGGAUGUGUUAGUACAAGGUGAUAAAUUCAUUUACCCUGUAGAUUUUAUUGUCUUGGAUACACAACCUGUUGAAGCAUGUAAUUCAAUUCCUGUAUUUUAGGACGUCCAUUUCUUGCACUUCUAAUGCAUUGAUUAAUUGUAGGAAUGGACUGAUGAAGCUAUCAUUUGGAAACAUGACAUUGGAGAUGAAUAUUUUCAACAUUUACAAGCAACCUGGAGAUGAUAAUGAUUUACAGGAAGUGGACUUUAUUGAAAAAUUAGUUCAUGAUCAAUUUCAAACCACUUCUAGUGAAACUGAGAUUGAUGAACCUGAUGAGUUGCAAAUGGUUAUUUUCAGGAAGAAAAGGCAUGUAAUUGGAGACCACAAAUUGAAGAAUUGCCACCACGAUCAAUUGAGUCAUACCUUCAAGUGUUCAACCACCAAAACUGAUUUGAAGCCGUUACCAUUUCAAUCUCAAAUACUCAUUUUUGGGAGAAAAUGAAACUUUUCCGGUAAUAAUCUCUUCCAAACUUAAUGCACAUCAAGAAGGUAAGUUAUUACAGACUCUGAAAAUGCACAAAAAUGCAUUAGGAUGGACCAUAGCUGACAUAAAAGGAAUUAGUCCUUUGAUUUGCACACACAGGAUUUAUUUGGAGGAAAAUGCUAAACCUCUAGAGAAAUGCAACGAAGCUUAAUCCUAAUAUGAAAGAAGUAGUGAAAAAUGAAGUCAUUAAGCUUCUAGAUAAUGGAAUCAUUUAUCCUAUUUCUGACAGCAAAUGGGUAAGUCCUACCCAAGUUGUACCCAAAAAGUCUGGAGUCACUGUGAUAACAAAUGAGAAAAAUGAGUUAAUUCCAACUAGGACUAUUACUGGUUGGCGCAUGUGCAUUGACUAUAGGAAACUUAAUUCAAUGACUAGAAAAGAUCAUUUCCCUUUACCUUUCAUGGAUCAAAUCCUAGAAAGAGUUGCAGGUCAUGAAUUUUAUUGUUUCCUAGAUGGCUAUUCAGGUUACAAUCAAAUUGAAAUUGCAUUGGAAGAUCAAGAGAAGACUACUUUCACAUGUCCAUUUGGUACUUUUGCAUAUCGAAGAUGCCUUUUGGUUAUGUAAUGCACCAGCCACGUUUCAAAGAUGCAUGCUUAGCAUAUUCAGUGAUAUGGUUGAACGUUUUCUUGAGAUUUUUAUGGAUGAUUUUUCUGUUUUUGGUGAUUCAUUUGAUGAUUGUUUAACUAACUUGGAAAAGGUUUUGAACAGGUGUGAAGAGAAGAAUCUUGUACUGAAUUGGGAAAAAUGUCACUUUAUGGUAACAAACGGCAUUGUACUUGGUCACAUUGUUUCAUCGAAAGGAAUUGAGGUUGACAAAUCUAAAAUCGAGUUAAUUGCCAACUUACCAACACCAAAAUCUGUUAAAGAUGUUAGAUCAUUCUUAGGACAUGCUGGUUUUUACAGAAGGUUCAUCAAAGAUUUUAGUGUAAUAUCUAAACCAUUGUGUAACCUUCUAACAAAGGAAAAUGUUUUUGAAUGGACUGAACAAUGUGAAAAAGCCUUUGUUAAACUUAAAGCUUGCUUACUUCUGCUCCUGUCAUUCAACCUCCUGAUUGGUCACUACCUUUUGAAAUAAUGUGUGACGCUAGUGAUUAUGCCGUGGGUGCUGUCUUGGGACAAAGAAAAGAUAAGAAACCUUAUGUGAUUUACUAUGCAAGUAAAACUUUAAAUAGUGCUCAAAUGAAUUACACUACCACUGAAAAAGAAUUACUUGCAGUAGUAUUUGCAUGUGACAAGUUCAGAUCUUAUCUUGUUGGCUCACCUGUUGUUGUUUUUAGUGAUCAUGCAGCAUUGAAAUAUCUUCUCUCUAAGAAAGAUUCUAAGGCUAGAUUGGUGCGGUGGAUUUUGUUACUUCAAGAAUUUGAUAUCACAAUCAAAGACAAGAAAGGCACCGAAAAUGUUGUCGCGGAUCAUUUGUCAAGAUUGACAACCGAUUCGAGAUCUGACAUCACACCAAUCGAUGACUACUUUCCUGAUGAAUCUUUAUUUUCUGUCUCUACGAUGCCUUGGUUUGCUAAUAUUGUUAAUUUUCUUGUUUCAGGACAAUUGCCAGCUCAUUGGAGUACCCAAGACAAAAGAAAGUUCUUGAACGAAGUGAAGAACUUUUAUUGGGAUGACCCUUAUUUAUUCAAAUAUUGUCCUGAUCAAAUAUUUCGAAGAUGCAUUCCUGACAAUGAGGUAAGUAGUGUCAUUAAAUUUUGUCAUUCUGAGGCAUGUGGGGGUCAUUUCUCAUCAAGAAAGACAACUGCAAAAAUCUUACAAAGUGGAUUUUACUGGCCCACCAUGUUCAAAGACUCACAUGCAUUCUGUAAGACUUGUGAAAAUUGUCAAAAGUUGGGAUCUAUUUCGAAACGUCACAUGAUGCCUUUAAAUCCUAUUCUUGUCAUUGAGAUCUUUGACUGUUGGGGUAUAGAUUUCAUGGGUCCAUUUCCUCCAUCAUUUGGUUUCUUGUACAUAUUGGUCGUAGUAGAUUAUGUUUCAAAAUGGAUAGAGGCAAUUCCAAGUCGAACCAAUGAUCACAAAACAGUGAUAAAGUUUUUGAAAGAAAACAUUUUAAGUCGAUUUGGAAUCCCUCGAGCCAUGAUAAGUGAUGGUGGAACACAUUUUUGCAAGUCAUUUGAGUCUUUAAUGAAGAAAUAUGGAAUCACACACAAAGUUGCCACCCCUUAUCACCCUCAGACGAGUGGACAAGUAGAACUUGCUAAUAAGUAGAUUAAACAGAUCUUAGAGAAAACAGUGAACCCUAAUCGGAAAGACUGGUCUUUAAGACUUAAUGAUGCACUUUGGGCUUAUCGAACUGCGUAUAAAACAUCAUUUGGUAUGUCACCUUAUAGACUAGUAUAUGGAAAACCUUGUCACUUGCCUGUGGAAAUUGAACAUAAAGCUUAUUGGGCUAAUAAAGCUUCCAAUUCGAACAUUGAUGAUGCUAGUCAGCUACGAAAAUUGCAAAUAAAUGAGCUUGAGGAAAUAAGAAAUGAUGCAUAUGACAAUUCAAGAAUUAAUAAAGCAAGACUCAAAGAGUUUCAUGACAAGAAAAUACUGAGAAAAACAUUCAAUGUUGGUCAAAAAGUCUUGCUUUAUAAUUCUCGACUCCAUUUAUUUCUUGGAAAACUAAGAUCAAGAUGGAGCGGUCCUUUUAUUGUGAAACAUGUGUAUCCAUAUGGGGCCUGUGAUAUAGAAAAUCCAAAGAAUGGAAAUGUUUUCAAGGUAAAUGGGCAUCGGUUGAAAGUUUAUUUUGACAAUUUUUCAGUUGAAAAUGACUAUUGAAUUGAGUGAUCCUGUAUAUAAAGAUUGAUUCUUUUUCUCACAUUGUUUUGUGUUUUGUUUUGGUGUAUCUUUUUUUUUGCUAGUUUCUCUCACCCCGGUCAAAUGGCGGAUAACGGUACUCCAUGACUCUUAAGUCGGUUCUUUUAGUUUCCCAUGAUAACUUAUAUCUGUGUAUAUAAUUGUGCAAUUCUCUGCUCUUUCUUCUUUCUUUGAAUCUCUCAUCCAAUUCUCAUUUGAAAAUGGACACCACUCUUGAAAAAUUGAAAAAUUAUUUUCCCGCUCUGCCUCAAAAUGCGAUUACAAAAAUUUACCGUGCUAGAUGUGCGAGAUUGAGGUUGUUAAUGAAUCAUGGAAUUCUUGAAGAUAUUCAUUGGCUAAUUGAAGCAAAGGUUCGGUUAUCAGGUGAGUCCUCCAAUUCUUUCAUUUCACACAUGCCUGGAACAAGUAAAAGCACUUUUGCAAAGAAACGUCGUGCAAAACGACUACAACUCUGUCACAAAUGUGCCAGAUGGACUUGUAAUGCGACAUGUCGUUCUUUAGGAAUGGUAUCUGUAAACCGUGAAGAUAAAAUACAAUUCAUUAAGGAUGGCCUGAGUAAGGGGUCUUUAGAUAAUCUUCUAUUGACUCUUGAGACGCACCCUAGUGGAGAUGUGCAUCGUGCAAUUUAUGAUUUAUGGCCCCAAUUCCAUAAAGAACAUGCUCGACUUAGUCUUGGGAAUCUGACUAAAAAAGACCCUGUUUGCCAGUUUUUAAGAAAACUGGAUGGGAAGCCUAUCCCCGACCCAGAUAGGGCGUUUAAGCUGUUCUUGGACGUAAAACCAAGGGAAGAUGUGAGCCACAAUCACAACUACCUAUACAUACAUGAUUUGUCAAGCCGUUUUUGGACAUAAAACUAAGGGAAGAUGUGAGCCAUAAUCACAACUACCUGUACAUACACAUGCCUUUUUCAAAUAAAUAAAGAGAGAGAGAGAGAGAAAGAGAGUGAGACUACGGUUGGCCUACAUAUAGGUGGUAUGAUUGCAUUUUCAAUUUCUCAUCUAUAAAUUCUUCUCUUCCUUCCCUUCAUUUCUACUCAACCCAUACUUUCAUCAAAUAUAGAAGUGUGUAGAAAUGGCAGGUUCCUCAAGUCAUAACAUAAACAAUAUUUGUGUUUUCGGUGGAUCAAGUCUUGGGAAAGAAAAAAAGUUUUUAGAAUCAGCAAAUCAUCUUGGUCAGGUAUUAGCUGAGCGAAAGAUUCAUUUAGUGUAUGGAGGAGGCAGCCUUGGGUUAAUAGGGGGAGUGUCAAUAGCUGCAUUUUUAGGAGGUACUCAAGUUUUGGGGGUAGUCCCCAAAGCUUUAGCAUAAGGGGACAUCAUUGGAAAAACAAUUGGAGAGGAAUUACAAGUCCCCAUAAUUUCUGAUCGACUGAAUGCCAUGUUUAACCAUGCUGAUUCCUUCAUUGCCUUACCAGGUGGUCUGGGCACAUUGGAAGAGAUCUUUCAUAUUUCCUCUUGGGCCCAACUGCACAUUCACCAUAAACCCAUAGGUUUGUUAAAUGUUAAUGGUUUUUAUGAUAAGUUGUUGUCUUUUCUUGUUCAUGCUAUGGAACAGGAAUUUCUAACAUCUUCAGCACGACAAAUCAUAAUCUCUACUGCUACUGCUGAACAAUUGAUUGACCAACUACAAUCUUUCAUCCCUGUAAUUAAUCCCUCCAUGAGUCGCAUAAAAUUGGUCAACUAAGAGAAAGCCGUAAAAAGCUUAGAUGUGGAUUUGAGCUUCGUUUGUAAAAACUUUGUGUCUUUUGGUUUUAUUAUUGUGUUUUGUUGUUUCUUAUAUUUGUUUAAGUGUGUUUCAGGUUUGUCAGUGUUCGUUAUUUCAGGUGAUGUCUUCUAUACUCUAUCUUUCUACCUUAAGACAUUGAGGACAAUGUUUCAUUUUGGUUGGGGGGAAAGGGUAGUAGUUGAUAAUUAAAAAAAAAAAACUAAAACGGUGGAGCAUAAGGAGGUGCAUAUCCAUGAGAAUUUUGGAAAUUAUGGUGUGCUUGAAACGGUGGCUGUGAAGUUUGUGUAUUAUUGUUAUUACUCUUCCAACUGAAAUUUGGGUGAUUUCUCCAACCAGGGUUAUACAUUUGUGAGUAUAGGUUAUGGUUGGGCCUUUGGAAACUGUUUAAAGCAUGGGCUUGUUCAUGGAGGCAUUCCUUAAAAGAAGGCAAAGUUGGACAAUCAUUUGUUGAGUGUUCCUUGGUUUCACAGAUUUGACACACAAUGUCUUGAACAGAUUUUAAUUGACCACUCUUUUUGAAUUCAAGUGCUUCGACUUUUCUAUCUAAAGAUGCAAACUUGGCUUGGAGGUCAUGAUCUUCCCUAAGGUUGUGCAUACCUCCACUAGAUGUAUGAGGCUGAGUUUUACUUGGUGCCUCAUAAGUAUCUGUGGUAUCCCAAUUUUGAGCAUUUUCGGCUAACAAGUCUAGGUACUCCAUUGCUUUAUUAGGGUCUUUAUCUUUAAAAGUUCCAUUGCACAUCAAUUCAACCAUUUGCUUAUCUCUAGGUGUUAAACCUUCAUAAAAAUGUGAAACCAAUCUCCAUGUUUCAAAACCAUGAUGAGGGCAAGUAUUAAGCAAAUCUCGAUACCUAUCCCAACAUUGGUAAAAUGUUUCUCCUGGCUUUUAAGUUAAAGUGAUGAUUUGUCUUUUGAAAGAGUUUGUUCUGUGAGACGGGAAAAACUUCUUUAAAAAUUUUUGUUGCAUUUCAUCCCAAGCACGAAUAGAUCCUGGUCUCAAAUUUUGUAGCCAUGUUUUAGCUUUAUCUUUUAAUGAAAAAGGAAAAAGCUUUAAUCUGAUAGUGUUCAUGCUACAAUUUGAGUCAUUAUAGGUAUUACAGACCUCCUCAAAUUCCCUUAAAUGCAAGUAUGGAUUUUCUAGGUCUAAACCAUGAUAAGAAGGUAAAAGUUGAAUAAUGCCUGGCUUAAAAUUAAAAUGAGAUGCAUCAGGAGGGAAAACUAUGCAUGAUGGUGCACUUGUUCUUGUGGGAUUCAUGUGGUCUCUAAGUGUUCUCAUACGAUUAUUCUCAUUAUUCUCAUUAUGAAGUGAUUGAUUAUCUUCUUCGGCCAUAUUUUCUGAAAAUGAUAAGGAUACCCUAUAAAGUUUACCACUUAAUGUACGUGACCAAACUCUUAUGCACGUGUAAGAAGAGAAUAAAAGGAAGAAAAUAAAAGAGAAGAAAAAGAAACAAAAGUUAGAUAAAAUGAAAAAUGAAAAGAGAAAAUAAAAUAAAUAUUAUAAUUUAUACAAGAAUUUACCUCCCUGGCAACGAUGCCAAAAACUUGACACGACCAAAAGAUUGAUGUCUUCUCCCAAGUGCAGGAGUGUCGAAGUAAUAAAUAACUCGGCAAGACCGGGGUCGAACCACGAAGAGGUUAAUUGUAUAAAUUAUAAAUAACAAUACAACAACAACAACAACAAUAAUAACAACAACAAUAACAAUAAUAGUAAUAAUAAUAUUAAUAGUAGUAAUAAUAAUAAUAAUACUUAGUAGUAAUACUAAUAAUAAUUAUAAUAGUAAUAAUAAUAGUAGUAAUAUUAAUAAUAAUAAUAGUAAUAAUAAAGAGAGCUUUGAGAUGUAAAAUUGAUGUAAGGAUUAAACAAUGAUAAAAACAAAUGUCAAGGUUAGAGGAUCCACUAAUGGUACUUCAAACAAGUAUAGUAUAAACUCUUAUUACUCAAUUGGAAACCACACAUAAAGGAGGAUCCAAUCAAAUUAUAAAUUGUUAACAUGAUUACAUUAGUUAUCUUAUUCGAAUAAAGCUAAUACUUGUAAAUGUUGGCAGGCAUUCAUGAUUAUAACUUAUGUUAACAACAAAUCAAGUUUCUUUCAUAGCUCAGGUGUCGGUUAUACCAUACAGUAUGGGCUAUGAAAGUGCCAAGUAUUUGUUGUACCAAGUGUUAUACAACAUAAAUCUAGAUUAACCAUUUAAUAAGCAAAGUACUAAAAGUGAACAAGAUAACAAAUAUAAAACAUGUUAGUAUCCAACGUUAAGGUCCAUGUUAAGUUUAUACUAUACUUAUUUUUACACUAUUAGAGUAUCAUUUUCACCUUGACAUAAUUAACUUAGCUAAACAUAAUGAAAGAAAGAAACAUAAAUGAACAAGAUAGGAACAUAAAUGAGAAAGAAGUUAACUAAGUAAAGGAAAGGAAAUGAAGUGUAUAAACUUGAUAUUAAUGAAAGCAAAACAUAAGAAAUACAAAGAGAGAAAGCAAGAGCAUGAUCUUGAUCUGGAAACCAAGAUGCCUCAAUACAUGGUAAGUGCCUCCUUUUAUAGGCUAAAAUUUGGAACUAUUGAUUUGUUGACUAAUUGAUGAGUGGGUGGCCACAUCUUGACUUGGUGACAAUCCUUAUCUUCUUGUCUGAACAAGACAUCAUUGCUAACAUCAUAAUUUUCCCAGAAUCCUCAGGAAUGUUCUAGGAAAUUGUCUCAGCUUUCCAACAACAAAAAAAGAUGAGGUCAUUUGGACUUCUAGAACUCAAGAUAUGGGCUGAACACUAAAUAGUGUCUGAGCUGCAAGACAGCUUCAGACUUCUUCGUUGUUUCUAUAAUUUGGACUUGAAAAAUGCCUUCUUAGAUCUUGGUGUCCAAAUGAAAGUUGUAGGCCUAUGUUUUACCUUUCCAUCCAUAUAAAAUGGACCUAAAUCCGAGAUCUAGAGCUCCAGAUAUGAUCCAAUUACCGAGCAAUGUUCCGGUUUGGAUUGCACCAGCAUCUCUUUUCUAGGUUUGGCCAUCUCUUUGUCCUUUCACUUUCAAUGCUUAAACUAAUCAAUCAAUCCUUUUAUUUAUGUGAUAGUCCUGCAUUUAAGAUGAGCAUUUACUAUAAAUUAAGGUAUCUUAUAGUAUUAAACUUGUUAUUAUAAAACAUGCUUUAGUUGAGUUAUUGAUACUUCAAGUGCAAAAUGAUGAUAUAAAACCUUGAUAAACAUGCACUUUUAAGUACUAAUCAGUCACCUUAUAGACUAGUUUAUGGAAAACCUUGUCACUUGCCUGUGGAAAUUGAAUAUAAAGCUUAUUGGGCUAUUAAAGCUUUCAAUUCAAACCUUGAUGAUGCUAGUCAGCUGCGAAAAUUACAAAUAAAUGAGCUUGAGGAAAUAAGAAAUGAUGCAUAUGACAAUUCAAGAAUUCAUAAAGCAAGAAUCAAAGACUUUCAUGACAAGAAAAUACUGAGAAAAACAUUCAAUGUUGGUCAAAAAGUCUUGCUUUAUAAUUCUCGACUCCAUUUAUUUCCUGGAAAACUAAGAUCAAGAUGGAGCGGUCCUUUCAUUGUGAAACAUGUGUAUCCAUAUGGGGCCUGUGAUAUUGAGAAUCCAAAGAAUGCAAUGUUUUCAAGGUAAAUGGGCAUCGUUUGAAAGUUUAUUUUGACAAUUUUUCAGUUGAAAAUGACUCUAUUGAAUUGAGUGAUCCUGUAUAUAAAGAUUGAUUCUUUUUCUCACAUUGUUUUGUGUUUUGUUUUGGUGUAUCUAUUGUUUUGCUAGUCUCUCUCUCACCCCGGUCAAAUGGCGGAUAACGGUACUCCGUGACAUAAGUCGGUUCUUUCAGUUUCCCAAAUAACUGAUAUCUGUAUAUAUUUGUACAAUUCUGUGCUCUUUCUCCCUUCUUUGAAUCUCGUCUCCAAUUCUCUUUUGAAAAUGGACACCACUCUUGAAAAGUUGAAAAGGUAUUUUCCGCUCUGCCUCCAAAUGCGAUUACAAAAUUUACCGUGCUAGGUGUGCAAGAUUGAGGUUGUUAAUGAAUCAUGGAAUUCCUGAAGAUAUUCGCUGGCUAAUUGAAGCAAAGGUCGAUUAUCAGGUGAGUCCUCAAAUUCUUUCAUUUCACACAUGCCUGGAACAGGUACAAGCACUUUUGCAAAGAAACGUCGUGCAAAACGACUGAAAGUCUGUCACAGAUGUGCCAGAUGGACUUGUAAUGCGACAUGUCGUUCUUUAGGAAUGGUAUCUGUAAACCGUGAAGAUAAGAUACAAUUCAUUAAGGAUGGCCUGAGUAAGGGGUCUUUAGAUAAUCUUUUGUUGACCCUUGAGACGCAUCCUAGUGGAGAUGUGCAUCGUGUAAUUCAUGAUUUAUGGCCACAAUUCCAUAAAGAACAUGAUCGACUUAGUCUUGGGAAUCUGACUAAAAAAGACCCUGUUUGCCAGUUUUUAAGAAAACUGGAUGGGAAGCCUAUCCCCGACCCAUAGAGGGCGUUUAAGCCGUUCUUGGACGUAAAACCAAGGGAAGAUGUGAGCCACAAUCACAACUACCUGUACAUACAUGAUUUGUCAAAAUAAAUAAAUAAAGGAAGAGAGAGUGUGAGACAACAGCUGGCCUACAUAUAGGUGGUAUGAUUGCAUUUUCAAAUUCUCAUCUAUAAAUUCUUCUUUUCCUUCCCUUCAUUUCUACUCAACCCAUACAUUCAUCAAAUAUAGAAGUGUGUAGAAAUGGCAGGUUCCUCAAGUCAUCACAUAAGAAAUAUUUGUGUUUUCGGUGGAUCCAGUCCUGGGAAAGAAAAAGAGUUUUUAGAAUCAGCAAAUCAUCUUGGUCGGGUACUAGCUGAGAGAAAGAUUCAUUUAGUGUAUGGGGGAGGUAGCCUUGGGUUAAUGGGAGGUGUGUCAAUGGCUGCAUUUUGGGAGGCAGUCAAGUUUUGGGGGUUGUCCCCAAAGCUUUAGCAAAUGGGGACAUCAUUGGAAAAACAAUUGGAGAGGAACUACAGGUCCCACAAUGUCUGAUCGACUAAACGCCAUGUUUAACCAUGUUGAUGCUUCAUUGCCUUACCAGGUGGUCUGGGCACAUUGGAAGAGAUCUUUCAUAUUUCCUCUUGGGCCCAACUGCACAUUCACCAUAAACCUAUAGGUUUGUUAAAUGUCAAUGGUUUUUAUGAUAAGUUACUGUCUUUCCUUGAUCAAGCUGUGGAACAGGAAUUUCUAACAUCUUCGGCACGACAAAUCAUAAUCUCUGCUGCUACUGCUGAACAAUUGAUUGACCAACUACAAUCUUUCAUCCCUGUCAUUGAUCCCUGCAUGAGUCGCCUAAAUUGGUCAACUAAGGAAAGCCGUAAAAAGCUUAGAUUAGAUUUGAGCCUUCAUUUGAAACCUUGUGUCUUUUGGUUUUAUUAAUAACAUAUUAUUUUGUUUUGUUACUUAUAUUUGUUUAAGCGUGUUUCAGGUUUGUCAUUGUUCGCUGUUUCAGGUGAUGUCUUCUAUACUCUAUCUUUCUACCUUAGGACAUUGAGGACAAUCUCUCGUUUUGGUUGGGGGGGGAGGGUAGUAGUUAAAAAAACAAAAAACCUAACUUACUAACUGUUUUUGCUAUUAUUAAAACCAUUUGACAAAAUUGUUGUUAGGAUGGCAGAGUAUGGAGUCGGUUUUAUUAACUCUUGAGAUGCAUCUUAGUAAGUAUCCUUAUUAGGAUGGCAGAGUAAGGAGGAAAUUUUAUUGACUCUAGAGACGCAUCUUAGUAAGUAUCAUUACCAAGGUCUAUCAUAAUACUUCUUGAAAUAUUCAGGUUUACAAACUCUCACAUUGUUAUCACUUGAUUCUGCUCAUAUACUCAUUUAACAAGUAUUCUUAAACCUUCAUUUUCACACACACACUUUAACAUAUGAUUGUGGGUUGCACAUUGGAUUAUUACAUUAAUUAUGUUCUUUUGUUGAAGGUAACAACUAAGGGAAAUGGAUAGUAUAUAAAUUGCAAGAAAAAAAAAUAAUACAAAAAAAAUUGAUAAUAUUGAUGAUAAUAAAAACGUAGAUAAGUUUGGUUUCGUAGCCUCCUUAACCUAAGCAAUUAAGCCUGAAAGGGUGUUUUAACACCUAAUACCCUAAAGUCAACUGACUUGGGAGCUAUUGGCCCAAAGCUUGUUACAUGGGUUAUGGAGAAAGGCUUAAGGGAAUCAAACAUUUCACUAUCUACGUAUCAGUAUCUGCAACUCGAGUUGCUAAGCUCGUAGGGUUGUCUCAACACCUAAUGCCCUAAGACCAACUGGUCUGGGAGUCAUUAGCCUAAAACUCGUUACAUGGGUUAAAGAUACAUUGUGUUUUAAGUUGUAUGUGUAUUCAAAAAAAAAAAAAAAUAAUAAUAAUAAUAAUAAUCCUAACCCAAGGAAGUUAACCUUAAACAUUCGAACAUAAUAUUGUUUUCUUCCAACAAAAGCCCCAUCGUCUAUGUUUUCAUACAUUGAGCACAUAAAAAGAAGGUUUAUUAAUAUCUUGUUUAAGAAGUAUGAAGCAGAAAUAUAAAUUUAAUGAGAGUUUGUUUAUCUGGAUAGAUUAAUGGAAGUUGAAUGAUGAAUGCCUUGCUUUAUGGAACUUGCAAAUUGUUUUUUCUAUUUUAACGCUUUGAUUAUUAGGGACUAGUAAUAAGCUGGUUGGGGGGUGAUUAAUACUUAAAAGUGCAUGUUUAUUAAGGUUUUAUAUCAUCAUUUUGCACUUGAAGUAUCAAUAACUCCUUAACUAAAGCAUGUUUUAUAAUAACAAGUGUGAUACUAUAAAAUGCCUUAAUAUAUGGUAAAUAUUCAUCUUGAAUGCAGGCUUAUCACAUAAAUCAAAGGAUUGAUUGAUGAAUUCAACUACUGAAAUUUUGAAGAUAAAGAAGGGUGAAGCUUAGAAAAGAGAUGUUGGUGCAGUCCAAACUGGAACACUAUUUGGUAUUUGGGUCAUAUCUUGAGUUCUAGAUGUCCAAAUGAUCUCAAAGUUUUACACAGAUUUGGUGAGAUAUAAGCCUACAACUUUCAUGUGAACAGAAAAAUCUAAGAAGGCCUUUUUCAUGUCCAAAUUAUAGCAACAAUUGGAGAAGUCUGAAUCUAUCUUGCAGCCCAGACACUGUUCAGUGUUCAGCCCAUAUCUUGAGUUCUAAAAGUCCAAAUGACCUCAACUUUUUUUUCCUGGAAAGCUAAGAGAAUUUCCUAGAACUUUGAUGAUUUCAUAUGGUUCCAGUUCUGAUGUUAGAAAUGACAUUUUAUUCAGACAAGAAGAUAAGGAUUUUCACUAAGUCAAGAUGUGGCCACCCACUCAACAAUUGUUCAUCAAAUCAAUAGUUCCAAAUUUUGGUCUAUAAAAGGAGGCAUUUGCCAUGCAUUUAGGCAUCUUGGUUUCCAGAUCAAGAUCAUGCUCUUGCUUUCUCUCUUUGUAUUGCUUAUGUUUUGCUUUCAUUAAUAUCAAGUUUAUGCACUUCAUUUCCUUUCCUUUACUUAGUUAACUUCUUUCUCAUUUAUGUUCUUAUCUUGUUCAUUUAUGUUUCUUUCUUUCAUUAUGUUUACCUAAGUUAAUUAUGUCAAGGUGAAAAGGGUACACUAAUGGUGUAAGAAUAAGUAUAAUAUAAACUUAACAUGGACCUUAAUGUUGGAUACUAACAUGUUUUAUAUUUGUUAUCUUGUUCACUUUUAAUACUUUGCUUGUUAAAUGGUUAAUCUAUAUUUAUGUUGUAUAACACUUGGUACAACAAAUACUUGGCACUUUCAUAGCCCAUACUAUAUGGUAUAAUCGACACCUGAGCUAUGAAAGGAACUUGAUUUGUUGUUAACAUAAGUUAUAAUCAUGAAUGCCUGACAAAAUUUACAAGUAUUAGCAUUAUUCAAAUAAGAUAACUAAUGUAAUCAUGUUAACAAUUUACAAUUCGAUUGGAACCUCCUUUGUGUGUGGUUUCCAGUUGAGUAAUAAAAAGAGUUUAUAUUAUACUUGUUUGAAGUACCAUUAGUGGAUCCUCUAACCUUGACAAUUAUUUUAUGCUUGUUUAAUCCUUACAUCAAUAUCACAUCCCAAAGCUCUCUUUAUCUUAUUAUUAUUGUUAUUGGUGUUGUUGUUGUUGUUGUUAUUGUUGUUCAUAAUUUAUAUAGUUAACCUCCUUGUGGUUUGACCCCGGUCUUGCCGGGUUAUUUAUUACUUCGACACUCUUGCACUUGGGAGAAGACAUCAAUCUUUUGGUCAUGUCAGUGGUGAUGAAACACCGAUCUAACAAUGUUGAAAAUAAUGCAUUAUGAUCAAUAUGCAUGUAUACUUACCUGAGAAAAAUAGGUCCCCAUUUCUUCAUGAUGUCUUUCUUUUCUCAAAAGUUGGAGUGUUAGCAAUGAACUUCGAUGGCUUUUUGGCUCUUGCUUACUCGAGUCAUCUAUUGUGAUCUUGACCUCUAGGAAGGACUUGUGAUCAUCAUACUUCUUUGUCCUCCACCCUUUAUCUCAAAGGUUGCCGAUUUUGCCCAGCAGUUUCUUAGAAAGGGAAUCGUGGAGCCAGCCUUACCAGAUAUAUAUAUUUUUUUUGCUCCCCAACUUGAUCAUGCCCCCAAGUGUUCAAUUCAGGUUUGGGGAUGAGGCUAUGUGAAGGAAGGUUUGACAAGGAGUUUUUUUCAUGCAAAAUUUUUGGAAUUCCAAAGCUAUUCCAGACACAGAAAUCAGUUUGACAUCGAUUCAAAGCAAACUCAUUAUGAAGAAAUUCAAGUGAUUCCUAUAGAGAGGUUAUUCGAAGUGAUGAAAACUUUUUGUUUUGCUUUUGGUGAAAAAUAUGAAGUGACAUUUGGCUGGUCGAAAUGGUUCAAUAUGAGACUUUCAAAGAACCAGUCUUGAAAGCAUUCAUUUUAUUUGCAUGAAUAAUGAUUUGGUUCACAUGAGAAAGCAUUGCCUACUGAUCCAGAUUGCUUGCCUUUGAUCAGAAAGGACUUAAUUAGGCACGUAAUGUAGGCUGGGGCUCUUGGUUAUGAAGAAAAUGAUAUUUGUAGGCUCAAAAGGUGUUUAAGGGAUUUCAAGACUAAGGAUCACCUGUGCUUGUUUCCUGACCUUUUAUCAUUUGAAUGUCUUUCCAAAACUAUCUAUUGUGCCCCCUAGUGUUGGGCUUGGACUUUUUCUCUUUGUUUUUGUUCUCUUCAUUUGGUUUUGAGCAUCAUCGUAUUGGUUUCUUUUUUUUUCUGCUCAAAAUCAUUGGAUCCUUUGGAUUUUUCUUCAUGCCCCCAAGCUUUGUUUGGGCACCUUUGAUGAUUAAGAAUUUUUGUUGAUGCCCCCUAGUGUUGCUCGGGCACUUUCAAUCAUUAAGGUUUUUUUUUUCUAUAUCAUCGCACUUGCCCCCAAUGUGGGGUGUAAUCCUAGCCAAGGUUAUUCAUCUCAAGAAAAGUAUUAGGCUCAAAAGGGGACUGCAAAUGAUAUAUUUUAGCCUCGUGAACGGAUUAUCAAAAAUGGCCUUUCCUCGUCUCAAACUUAUGCACUUAGGAUCGGUAAGCUUUGCUUUCAUGCGAGUAUGCAACGUAAUUUCUCAUUAUUCAUUCAAAUAAAACUCAACUUUUGGAGUCACAUCAUGAUGUGUGUUUGGUUUUUUUUUUUGUGUUUUGUGUUUUUUUUUUGUUUUGUUUUCUAGGUGUAUGGUUACCUUUCUAAGGAAUCACCUGAAUUUCUGGAACUCAUUUGUUUUUUGGACAAACAUCAAUAUGAUUUCUAUUUUUGUACUAAACUUUGAAUUCCUAAAAAUCCUGAUGUGCGAUCAUGCAUAAUUUUGGAUGAAAGGGGAAACAUACCCAAGGAUUCUUGGUGUAAUGGCUUCAUACUUAACAGUUACGCUCAAUAUGUUCUUUUUAUGAAACAACAAAAAAAUGAAGGUAUGUUAUGAAUACAGGAAAACACAUUAUCUUAUUAACAAGAAAGGCUCAUUUGACAGGGAAAGUUUUUUUUUUUUUAUGAAAUUUUGAGCCAAAUUACCAACUAGAACAGGUUGAAACAAAAAUCAAGAAGUUUUCUAGGCAUGAUCAAACUAAGGUUUUUCUUUUUUCAGAACAACAACAGGCUCCAUUCUGUACUGGCGGUGCAAUUCCCUUUUAGUCCGCCUUCCCACAAAAGAUUUUGUAGAAAUACAGGAUUGUGUUGAGGCUCUUGACUACGUUUGCCCUCAAUUUCUUCGAGCUGAGUCGUUGUUAGGUUUUGAACAAAGAUGAUAGGUCGAUUGAAAGGAAACUUUCCUAGAAUUAUGUUUCAGUAUUUGCUCGAGUAAGCUAGAGGCAAGUCAAACUUGUCUUCAGAAACUCCAACUCUUCUUAAAAAGGGACCUUUCAGCGAACACACUCUUCAUCUUUCGUGCUUUUUGCUCAAAGUCGGGUGUUGUAGACUCGUAGGGGACCUACUUUUCAUCCCGGUGCAUGCAUGGCAAAUGAAUGAACAUGUGAUCUAUAUGAUGAACUCGCCCUUCAAGGGGCGACAAUAUGGUCAUAACUCUUGUAUGAUGGAACAAGAAUUGUGAUUUUUGCCCAAACUCUACAAUGAAAAUUUUCGAAGUGACGGCCAAUGUGUCACCCACAAGUCUUGAGUUCAAGAUGCUUCAAGAAGGGUUUGCUCUAAUGCAAAUAACGAUAACACAUACAACCUAAGGACAAGUUCUAUUUAUUAUGUGAACAUGGGUAGGUUUUCUACCUGGUCUCAAGAGGGUCUCAUAUAUGCCCAGUGAUGUUCUUCAUAAAGACAGUAUGGGGGCGUUGCAAGGAAUAGUUAAGGCACGUAUACCCACCAUUACCAAGCAGGCACUCAGAUAUGAGUUGGGUGUUUCACGCAUCUGAACCCCGACCAAUAGUCUUAGGGCAGAUUGCUAGUUCCCCACCUAUCCUAAAAGCUUGUGUGUGCUUUCAAAAUUAAAACAAUGUGAUGCAUGAGACAAUUCUAUAAAAUGCAUGGAAAAAAAAUAUUAACAAAAAGAUAAAAAUGCAAAAACUUAAACACAUCAAAUACACAAAGCUUAGUCCAAUAAUGUCAGAAACAGUACCUUCCCUAGUGGAGUCGCCAUUCUGUCGCACGUCAGAAAAUCUGUGCGGCAUCGGCUUGGCCAUUUUUUCAUUGUGCAUUGUGCAUUGCUUUGCUUUGAUUCGUUGGAGUCGCCACCUAGUAAUUUAUUAAAGACUACUAGGAAACCGAAUGUACUGGUCUUGUCAGAGAUUCGCGGGUAAGGGACUAGUUGUGGUUAGGGAAGGUAUUAGCACCCCUAACGCACCCUACCUGAGGUAAGUUGCUUCGUGGCUUUGACAUGUUAAAGAAGUUUUAAAAUUUUGUUUUUUCAUCGGAUAUUAGAAAUACAACUUACGUAUAAGUUAAUAAUUCUGGACCGUGAGUCAAUCAAAAUAUUAAAUUCUUCUUUAAUCUUUGCAAUUUUAUCAUAAAUAAUAAAAAUAAUAAAAACAUCCAUAAAACAAAUACCAACACACACAUACACUUUCACUAUAUUUAUUUCUGUUCUUUUCUUUUUUUGGUUACAUCCACAUUUACAACAUAUAAAUAAAAAUUAAUACUAAACAAAAACAUUACAUCAACCAAUUUAAAAUUACAAAACAUCCCCUAAAACAUCCUAGGGAUUCUGGAACAAUGCACGGGAAUAGUGGUGCGCGUCUUCCCACGCGCCCCGGCCACUAGCGGCGUGUGGGUUCACGCGCCGCCGCGAACAAGGCCGGAAAACGGGUGGAUCUGGCUCAGCUUCCUUUCCUUUUCCCUUCUCUGCUGGUGGUGACACCCACCGUCACCUGCAAACGAAGAAAAGAACACAGGCAGUCGAUUUUAUAUUUUUUGUUUUUGUUUUGCAGAUCUGCUUCUCUGGUUUGGUUUUUUUUCUGCAGCCAGUGUCUUUUCGUAUCCCCUUGUUCUCCGUUUCAAAUGGCCGGCAGUGUCACCAUAGGGCUUGUCGCACCUCAAAAAAAAUCCCGCGCGGCGUUCGAUGGCGAUUUUUUCGUUUGUUGUUGCUUGAUUUGGUUCUUUGGAGUCGCCACCUAGUAUUUUGGUCACUAGGAACCCUAACUGGUCUUUCAGAGAUUCUAAGGCAAGGGACUGGUUGCGUAAAGGGAAGGUAUUAGCACCCCUAGUACGCCCUACCAAAGGUAAGCUGUUUGGUGUUUGGUUUUCUCUAUAAUUGCUAUGGUGUUGGUGUUUUCUAAUCCCAUCAAUUUUCCCAAGUUUGAUUCAAAUAAAAUUUGUUUAGAUAGAAAUCCAAGGAGAUUUCAUGUGUUUUGAAAGCUCAUUUUUCCCUUAGUAUUUCAAGAGUUUGCAACUCGUAAAUCGCAAGGAGGGACAAAAAAUUUAGAAAUCUAAGGAAAUUCAAAGCGCUUUAAAAGCCUCAUUUUGCCUUAGUAUUUCAUACUUUCACGGCUUGUAAACCGUGGAGUCAAAAAUUUGAAAUUUUGAAAUGUCCUCGAUUAUAAUCAAGGCUUCUUUCAAGGAUGUGUGCGGAUUUAUUACUCCCAAUAAUAUUUUGGAUAUUCGUCCUUUACGGAUUUCUUUAUCCAAACAUUAGCGGUGAAUAAUAGAUGAAUUCCCCCUACCCAAAAUAAGAUUUUUAUAGUUUUUAGAAUACUGGCCAAUACCCUUUGGAGUUUUACAAACAUGUUGUAAAAUCCAGAAAUGCAAGAAAAUAAUUUGUGUUUAAGAAAUCUAUGCGAAAACACAUUUUCAAAACUUCCAAUAUUUUUUUUUAUAUAAAAAGAACAUUCAAAACAUGUUAGAGUAUUGGACGUAUGCAUGAAAACAAAAACAUUUUUUUUAAUAAAUAUUUUUUUGUUGACGAAAACCGGGUAUUUUAAUACCGGAUUUGUAUCUUUGUAGUAUAAAAAUACAAACCGAUAUUAAUCAAAAUACGGUAAUAAAAUUGCAGAAAAAUCACAAAUUCUUUAAAAUAAUUUUUUAAGAAUUUUUAUUUUUUUAAUAAACAAUUUUUAGGUUUGGCCUCGUUUGGCCCAUAUGGCUGGGCUAGACCUAGCAGGCCUAACCGGGUCACUGGCCUGAGCCAGUGUCCUGGGUGGAAGCUCACGUGUGCAUGCUUAGUACCAUAUACAAAUGGUACUGUUUAAGUGAAUUAUAAUUCGCUAUGAACAGUCAAAAUGCAAAAGGAAACCACGCAUAGUAACAUGCAAAAGAAAACCACGCAUAGUAAUAUAUGGUACUGUUCAAGUGAAUUAUAAUUCACUUGAACAGUAACAUUUGCACUUCACUGUUCAACUGAAUUAUAAUUCACUUGCACAGUGAAAAUGCUAAAGGAAAUCACAUGCACAGAGAUGCAAAACGCUUACCUGGACGUGGAACCGAAAGGAACGAAGACGAUGUCGAACACUCACAGUGAUGCUGGUGGCGGUGGAGAGGAAGCCGACGAGGGCUCACGGUGGUGCUGACUGUGGUAGUGGCUGGUUUGGCAGUGGCGUUGCUGUGGCUCCUCUUCCUCUUCCUUACUGUUUUGGCGCUGCUUCUUCUCUUUAUUUCCUUUGCUCCCUCUGUCAACAAGGUUCUUCUCUUUCUUCAACAGCUUCGCGGAGAUGCUGGUGGUGGCAGCCUGGGAAGUGGCCUGGAUGGUGGCCAGCCCUUCUUCCUCUUCUUCUGUGCGUUUUUCUCUUCAGCUCUGUUCUCCUCUGUUUUCGUUUCUUCCUUCCGCUUUUCACAGGGCUGUUGUUGACUGAGAUGGCAAUGGCAGCUGGUGGUUGGCCUUCCUCUUCUCUGCUGCUUCUGCGUUAUUUCUUCUGUUUGUCUAGUCACCUUGCUUCUCUGCUUCUUCUUCCAAGCAGCGGUUCUAAGAGCAAGGUGGGCGGUGGCAGUAUUAUUUCAAAUGGUGGGAAUAGAGAGAAAGAGAGAGGUUAUAGUUCUUCUCUUCCCCUCUGUUUUCCUCCUCUCUUUUGUUCCCGGUGUUCUCCCUCUCUCGUCUCUCGUUCCAAAAAAGCCCCCCCUCCUGUUGCUGGUGUCAAGAGCAGUAUUUAUAGGCUAGAAGGGAGCGGGCUGUUGAUGCGCGUGGGGAGCAGGGGAGCGGCCAGUGUCUUCUGUCGGUGGCCCAACGGCGUGGGGCCUCGGUUGGUUGGUGGGCUAGAGGGACCGGCAAAAAUUAAAAAAAAACUUCUUUUUCCUUCUUCCCCGCUGCAUGUUCGGGGGGAAGAAGAAAGGGGAAUAGUGCCGUUCAAAACGGCAUCGUUCGGCCCUUCUCUCUCUUUGAGUUUUUUUUUAAAUGUAUGAAACGGCGCCGUUUUGGAGAAAACGCGUCGUUUCAUUUAAAUGUGGCACCAGAACGCGCCAAAUUUCAAAUCAGCCCUUAAUCAUCUUUUUUCCUUUCAAUUGCAUCCCUGCCAAUUUCUGUCCCCGUCCCUAUAGUUGGCCACGUUUUCCACCUUGGUCCUUGGCCUCUAAUUUAUGCAAUUUAGCCCUCAAUUGAUCAAAAAACUUCCAAUUUCUUCAAUUAGGCCCCUGGAUCAAUUCAAUACAGCCCCCCUAUUUACGCGCCUUUUCCAAAUUGGUCCCUGGUUUCGGAUUUUCUCAAUUAAGCCCCUAAUUGGCCAUUAAACUUCAAUAUUUAUGCAAUUAAGCCCCUGAUUUGACCCAAUAAAAUCCUAAAAAAUAUAUUUUGGCCCUAGAACUUAAAUUUCUUCUAAUUAAAGCCCAAAUUGACUUAAAAAUCAAUUUUCCUCGAAAUCAAAUCCUCUAUAAAUCCAAUUAAAAAUCCAAUUAAGUCUAUAAACAUCCAAAUUUGGGCUUUUCUCCUCAAAAUUUAAAUUUUCCUUCUAAAUAGGGCCCUCAUCCUUCAAGAAUAUACUGUCAAAAAUCCAAUCUUUGUAUUUUUAUACUCCUUGACCAAUUUUCUGACCAUCUUCUGAGUGCUUCUGCCUUCCGUUAUUUUUCUAACCUCCUUUGGCUAUUUAUUUUAUUUAUUUUUGUGGGGACUCGAAAAUGGGUUACAACAGGGCUGCUGGCCUUUGGGUUUUGUCUGAUCUGCAACUAUCGGUGGCCGGUGAAUCUGUGGACGGUGCUGCUAUGGCUGACAGAAGAAAGCGGACCAAUUUGGGAUCUGUGGGUGCCGCUGUCGGGCUGCUAUCGGGCGGUUGAAGGGGAGAAGGCCGGGUCGGCUGAGAGAGAUACGAACUCAUGGGGGAGAUGGAGGCAGGUUCAGGAGCUGCUAUGGGUGAAGAAGAGUUAGUGUGGGUUUGUGAGGGAGAGGGGGCUGUGAGCCGGGAAGAUUUGGUGCGGUGAGGGGCUGAGAAUUUGUGUAUCUGGUAAGGAGGACCGACUGAGAGGAGAAUGAGGUGACUGGUCUCUGGUAAUUUGUGUUCUUUUUUUGUAUUUUCCUGAUGUUUCAAAAUUGCCUCCAUUUUGUGUGAGUUGAAAACCAGUAUUUAUAGGCAAAAAUAUUGCUAGGUUUUCAAACUUGGUCCCUCAACUUCUUUCUUUUUGUAAAUUUGAUUUUUCUUGUAUUUUUUGAAAACGAGCAAUAUCAACGUCAACUCGAUGAGGAAAAUCAAUGAUUUAAAACAUAACACGUGAAAAGUCGAACGCGUUCGAACGACCCUUAAAAAUUUUAAUUCUUUUUAGACAACGCUAAAAAUGCUAAAAAUGACACAAAUAUAUUAAAAAGGUAUUUUUUUGGAUUUUCGAUGUUUUUCUUUAUUUUUGGAUUUUUCUGAAAAUUUAUCAAAACAUAGGUCAAAAAUUGGGUAGCAACAAGCAUCAUGCAAGUAAUUUCAAUAUUGAUUAAUAAGAAUAUCCUUGUUGAUUUAAAGGACUAUUUUCAUCAUUCAUAUCGAAAAUAAUUAUGUUUUGCACAUAAUAUUUAACAAAAAUGAUUGAAGGAAUGAUAUAUUAUUGAAUAUGAGCAAAUUUAAGGUUACAAUCUAUUAGUAUUCUUACAACGGAAGGAUUACCACUCAAACUUUACAAAGGGACGAACGACAUCCUUUGCGUUAGGAUGCUCCCACUCCACUACUGUCUCCCACAAUUCUUUUGGAUACACUAUGAUUUCUUUAAGAGAAGGGGAAGGAGAUGGCUGGCCAUUUUCAAGCAACGGAAGACAAAUUGGCAUCCUCUUCGGCUUCUAACAACGGAUUACAGUAAUUUCUUUAAGAGAAUUGCAAAUCAGUUUUGCACUGCAAAUGUGUAACAACCCUAAUUUUUUUAUUAGUUUAUUCGUUAAUCUCCCCCCUAUAAAGGGUAGAUGAAGCAAACUUUUUAUUUUUUUUUUACUCGCCGAAAUGUCUAACGAAAUUUCAGAAGGGUCCCCUCUAUACCGGGAGAUCCCAAGUUAUCGACAAUGUACCUGCACACAUUUUGAAUCACAUCACAUCCAUGUUUAGUACAAUCAACUGCAUAACUCAUUCUAGAUUAUGCUCAGGACCAUAUUCGUUCCCAAACUCCAUCUUACAUCACACAUAAGUUAAUAAUUAAAAGAGCCAAUUUCAGCAUGAAAUUUCAUAUAUAUAUAUAUAUAUAUAUAUAUAUAUAUAUAUAUAUAUAUAUAUACACAACACAGUUUAAUAUUCUAACAUAGUCUAGUACAUUCUAAUAUCCCAAGCAUAGGUUGAUACAUUUAAUAUUUCAGAAACAAAAUAUUACGAAUAGAAUAUUCCAUAUAGGUUACAUGUUUACUACAUGACAAAAUUAUACCACAAAUCCCUAAGUUCCUAACUUAUACAAAAAAGGAUCAAAGAACUUUAAAUCUAUUCCUGACGUGAAUGGGAGGGACCUGCAAAAAUAUAAAUUUUUCAUAUAAUUAAAAACAAAUGAUUAAAAUACAAGCAAUUUACAGAAUAAAAUUAAACAGCAUAUAUAUCUACUUAAAUCAUAUGAGAUUCUAAAUACAACCACAAACCUCUUUUAAUGGUUAUAUAAGAAUUCUUUAUUCUUCUUUCUUUCUUUUUUUUCUGUUGACUACUUCUCCCCCCCCCCUCCUCAUCAGAAAGACUAUUGCCGACUCCAAUGACCUCCAUUAGUGUCUUUAGUUGCCCGUCCAGGAACAACUAAUUAGUUUCAUGAAAAUAUGAGAUUCUAAACGUUUGUGUCAUUAACUAUUUUUAAAACUAAAAUAGUUAAUCAUUGUUUCAUAUUACCUUGGGUGAUUCUCAGGUAUGCCGAUGUCAAGAUUCUUGACAUCAUUAGCUUUCACCUCAGAAAGCUAAUCAAGUAUAUAAAUUUUGCCGAUAUCGACGUCACCCGCCGAUAUCAUUAACUAUUCUGAAACCGAAUAGUUAAUCAAGUUUGUAAAUUUUGCCGAUAUCGACAUCACGUGCCGAUAUCAUUAACUAUUCUGAAACUGAAUAGUUAAUCAAGUUUAUAAAUUUUGCCGAUAUCGACGUCACCCACCGAUAUCAUUAACUAUUCUGAAACCGAAUAGUUAAUCAAGUUUAUAUUUCUCCUCUCAUGUACCAGUAAUGCCGAUGUUAUCCAGCUUGGUUAACAUCAUUAGCCUCCCAUAUCAAGGACAAACAAAUCAAAUUCGAGAAACAAUCUUUACCAAAAUUCGUUGUUACGAUCUAUUUCCUCCAAAAGAACCCAUAAAUUAAAUCUAGUCCUCCGUUUCAUUUUAUUUCAUUUUUUUUCCUCGUCAAUAAGCAUCAAAUUUUUAUAGUUCAAAAGUUAGUUAAAAUGAUUAUUAACUAGAGGAGAUAUAGAUACCAAGUACCUACUUGUUGUGGACGCUCGACUUGCGUUCCCUUGUGGUUGAUGUACUCCUCCUGCGGUUCCUCCUGAAACCAAAAACACCCAUCAUUAUUCCAUAUUAGUCCACAUAUCACACGCAAUAGCAACAUUGGAAAUAAUAUUGAUUUCUCUUUUACCAAAUCUUUUCUUUCUCACUUACAUUUCCUCAUUAUUAUCCUUUAACUUUUCAGCUCAUUAGUAGUCCAAGUGGAUAUCAUAAAUUCAAUUUUGAUCACAGUUUAUUCUUUUUGAAGAUCAAGACACACUUUAUGAAGGGCAAGAAAACAAAUUCUACCCUUAAUAUGGCUAAAUUUUGCCAUUUCAUCAACUUGGCCGAAUCUGCCAAUAGGGGUGGCAGCUUGACCUCUCCUCAAUUUUUUAUUUGUAUCUGGAGUUCUAGAACUCCAAAUUAGGCGGGGUCAGAUUCGUUGGAAAGCUAACAUACAACUUCUAUGAGGGGACCCUCCCUGAAUUCUGUAGUUUUCAGGUGCAAAAUCCCCCCAGGAAACAGGGCAACGAACCUGCCCUGUUUUGUUAAUGGAGAAAGUAUCUCCAAUUCAUCUUAAAUCCCUGCUUCCUCAUCAGUCACAGCCAUGCCUUCCUUUUAUUCAUGGCAUUCCCGUCUCAUUUUAUGUCCUCUUAAGGUCACUUGUACCAAAUUAAUUAAUUAAGCACAUCAUAAGUUCUCAUUCCCUCUCUACAGUAUCCAGCAGAGAACGUGGCCAAGGGAACCAAGAGUUCCCUUCCUCUCUUUUAUGCACUCAUUUCUUCUUUUUCUUUAAGGCACUUAGAUUAUUCUAAUCCAUUUAACCUCACUCAUUUCUACAUUUUCCCAAUAUUUUAUGUUAAAGAACCCUAAUUCCCAAUUCAAGAAAGGCAUAAACUUCUAAUCAAAUUGAAGUUGAUUUCAUAGAAAUUGGAAUUGCAACUCCUUACUUGGAUGGAAAUCUAAACUUUACUUCACAAAUUUUAGAAGAAUCUUAGCCUUCUUCUCCUUGUAUGUAGUCAACCACUCUUCCCCCUCUUUUCUUCACCAAUUCUUCACUUUUCUUCUUGUUAAUUCUUCCACCCGAUUGUGUUCCUCCACUUAAUAAUUCCAAGGCUUAUUUGGGUUUACUAAUUUUAGGUGUUUACUCCAAGUUUUGAUGAAAGAAAAAUCUGAAAUUCUCCCCUCCUCCUUAUUCUUAUUAUCAUCCGGCCAUGGAUGAGAGAAGGGAUGGGUAUUUAUAGUCCCAUCUCUUCUUAAUUCCAUUUUGGCCCCAUCUUUCACCCCUUUUUUUAUUUCUUUAUUUUGUAUUUUUUUUUUUUUGCUUUAUUUUAUAUUAUAACAUUUUGAAUUAUUAUAAACCUCUCCCUCUUUAUAUACUUUAUUCUCGGGCUUCAUAAAAUGCUUUUCAAUUCUGGUAAACCAAACUAUUCCAAAGUUCUUAACUUUGGGAGAAUGAAUUCCGUGAUGGAAUUGGAGAUGCUGCUUUCUACAUCUGUGUUCCUAUUAUCUCCUCCAUUUUCUCACAAUCACUAACAAUAAUCACUUCCAGGUUUAUGAAGUUUGGCAGCAACACAAGUGGGAACAACUUCUUCAUACUGUUACAUCCACCACAAUAAAGCUUUUUAAGACCAGAAAACAUACCAUUAUAUGAUGGCAAUGGUGGUGGAGCAGAGCAGAACCAAGAAGAUGAAACCCUGCUCUCCAUGCUAUUGCAAUCCCAAAUGUUGAUUUCCUCCAGUUCAGUUGCAUUCUCUAAUGACAAAACAUCGCAUAAACUUCUUGCAUCGAUGCAUCCACAAACCAGUCCUUGAAUGCCAUUUAAGAACUUGACCUGAAAAUCUCUAUCUUUGUUGAUAAUCAAACUACCCAACCCAACUGUUUUACUUGGAAAAUCAUUAAAGUCUCCCCAAAAAUCUUUAUCCACCAUUCCUACAAAAAAUUUGUAUGCGCUUAAUGAUUGGAUCCCAUCCCGAGAUCUGAGAUACUCCAUGAAGUCAAAGAGACGUUUGAAAUGGCAUUCCAAAGUUUCCAAAUUUCUCAAGGAUCCUACUUCCUUGAGAAAUAGAGUGGAUAGAUUUGGACACAUUGGUGAAUGGCUGGAAGAAAUUUCUACGAUCUCGUUUUGCAUUAGUGAAACUCUCGUCAGAUUCUCAGUCCACUCCUCUGCAUCUGGCAACUUUUUUAAUUGUGCACCAGCUUUAACCAUGCCUGUAGAGUUCUCUAGCAGUAUUUGGAUGACCAUGUCCCUAAUCAAGUCAUGCAUCUUGACACAUCUACUAUCAUCUUCCAUGGAGGUAGCACCUUCCAAUAAGCAGACAUUUUCAAGCCUAUUAAGCAUCGUGUGGCCCUCACCAAAUGUAUCUCCCCUGCUCCUCUUUCCUUUAAUUAUUCCCUCAUCGAUCAAAUAACCUAUCAACUCCUCCCUUUCAAUCAUAUCAUCUUCAAGAAAUAAUGCACAGUACAAGAGACAUUGUUGAAGUGCUAAAUCACCUAACCGAUCAUAACUAAACCUCAAUAACUUGAAUACUUCUGUGUCCCUAAAUUCUAUUUCUUUCAAUUUAUUCAAUGUAUUCCUCCACUGAUGGAGGUCAUCCACUCCCCUCAAGCUUCUUGCCACUGUAAUAAUUCCCAAUAGCAAACCAGCACAUUCCCUAGCAAUAGCUUUAGCAAUUCCUUCCACUUCUGAAACUGUCAUGUCAUGUCCAAGAUUCUCCUUCAACAAAGUCCAAGCUUCUCCCUCAAAAAGUCGCUUCACUUGGAUUUUGUGAUUGCAAGCAAUUCCAUGACAAACUGUUUCUGAUCGAGUUGUCAAAAUCAGCUUGCAUCCUUUCAAUGAGACAGGAAUUCCCACUUCGUGUAGCUCAAAAUUAUUCCACAAAUCAUCUAAAAUGAGAAUCCAUUUUUGUUUCUUCCUUAGUUCUUCUGACAAUUUGGCAGGUCUGAGCUGAACAUCAUCUUCGCUUGAAAGGUCUCGAUGAAGAUGUUUAGCAAUAAGAUUCUGCAAUCUAUUAAUGCUGAAAUCUUGAGACAGAGUCACCCACCAAACAUGAUCACAAAUAUCUGGUCUUUGUAGAAGCUCAUUAUGGAUAUGUUGCAGUAUUGUUGUUUUACAAACUCCCCCCAUCCCAUAAAUGCCAAUGGUUGGGACUUCAUCAUCCAUUAACAAAGAACAUAUCACCUUCUUAUUCUCUUCAAAUGCUUGACCCACAUUUAUAGAGCUAGUAGGUAAUGGAACUCCUCUAGUCUUGUUGUUUUUCAGACUUUCAGAAGAUCUAGUAGGUAAUUGAUCUUCCAUUUCUGCCCUUCCCCUUGCAGUAACUCCUACUAUUGUUGUAAUUCCACAGUCAUUAACAUUGACUGCAGUUGCUGUGAUUUUUUGUCUUUUGUUGCCACCACACAGAGCUAGAAAGGCUGCUUCUUGAACUUCUUUAGCCACCCCACGACAAAUGGCAACACCACGCCUUUCUU
This 127049-nucleotide long non-coding RNA is filed under the name Populus tremula. RNAcentral describes it as "long non-coding RNA (PTRE_LNC001697)". The stretch from base 55601 to 55690 matches the Rfam family "MIR478 microRNA precursor family". Lineage: Eukaryota; Viridiplantae; Streptophyta; Magnoliopsida; Malpighiales; Salicaceae. The record is from RNAcentral.